CAAUCUUAGCCUCUGUGACCGCCAGCUUAGCCUCCUUCCUAGCUGCCUUAUACCUAUCCAUGCACACUCGCCUCUCCUCCUCAUUCCACCACCAGUCUCCUUUGUGCCCACCAGAGACGCCCGUCGAGACCCCUAACACCUCUCUCGCAGCCUCCCUAAUAUAGUCUGCUGUCGUUGACCAUAUAGUGCUCGCGUCACCACUGCUCCUCCAAGCUCCCAUAGCUGACUACCGCCCCUCCAAUGCUUGGGCUUUAUCCUUAGUUAAGGCUCCCCACCUGAUUCUCGGUCUUCCUCGAGUAGACCUUUUCCUCCUCUUUAACAUAAUACCAACGUCCAUCACUAAGAGCAUAUGCUGCAUCGCGAAUAUCUCACUCGGAAUCACCUUGCAAUCCUUGCACAACCCUCUGUCACACCUCUUGAGGAGGAGAUAAUCAAUAUGGGUUUUCGCCACCGUAUUUUGAAAAGUAACCAAAUGCCCCUCCCUCUUCUGAAAGCUAGAGUUCGCAAUCAACAACCCAAAAGCCUUAGCGAAGUCCAACAAUGAUGUACCUUCUCUGUUCCUCUACCCAAAACCAAAGCCUCCAUGCAUCUCGCCAUAACCACCUGCUGUCGACCCAAUAUGCCCAUUGAAAUCCCCUCCUAUGAAUAGCUUCUCAGCAAGCGGAACAUGACGCACAAUCUCAUCUAACCCUUCCCAGAAGCGCCGUUUAACCUCCUCAUCUAGGCCCACAUGCGGCGCAUAGGCGCUAACGAUGUUUAGGGUGCACUCUCCAACCACCAACUUAAUAGUCAUCAAUCUAUCAUUCACUCGUCUAACCUCAACCACCGACUCUCUAAGUUCCCUAUCCACUAAGAUGCCCACUCCAUUCUUACCUUUCUGGACUCCUGAGUACCAAAGUUUAUACCCGUCCAUGUCCCUCGCCCUCGACCCUACCCACCUUGUCUCCUGGACACACGCUAUAUUGACCCUCCUCUUCUGGAGGAUCUUCACCAACUCUAUAGAUUUACCCGUUAAUGUACCUACGUUCCAUGACCCAAUUCUCAACCUACAGNNNNNNNNNNNNNNNNNNNNNNNNNNNNNNNNNNNNNNNNNNNNNNNNNNNNNNNNNNNNNNNNNNNNNNNNNNNNNNNNNNNNNNNNNNNNNNNNNNNNNNNNNNNNNNNNNNNNNNNNNNNNNNNNNNNNNNNNNNNNNNNNNNNNNNNNNNNNNNNNNNNNNNNNNNNNNNNNNNNNNNNNNNNNNNNNNNNNNNNNNNNNNNNNNNNNNNNNNNNNNNNNNNNNNNNNNNNNNNNNNNNNNNNNNNNNNNNNNNNNNNNNNNNNNNNNNNNNNNNNNNNNNNNNNNNNNNNNNNNNNNNNNNNNNNNNNNNNNNNNNNNNNNNNNNNNNAAGUUUUCCUGAAGCGUGUCGGAUCUGCUCAAGAGCACUGGUAAGUCCUGUUGUGUCUCGCCUGAAAGUUGUUCGGAAGUCGCCGGAAUUUAUGAAACUUGCCGGCAAUCUGAACUCACCGGGAAAUAGUCUGUCCUCGUCGGGAAGAAGCUGCACAAAAUUGAUUUUGCCGUGCCGGCAAAAGAGAUCGUGAGUUCGUCGUUUGCUUUGGAGUGACAGAGUGAGGGUGAAGAGAAAAGCUAUGAUUUGCUUAGCCAAUCUACAAUGCUAAAAUGGGUAUUUAGAUUUCACGGCCAGAUUCAGUGACGGAGACGGUGGUCCUUAUUGCAGCGGCAGAAAAUCUCAGCUCAAAUACAAUUGCAGUUUUGCGAAAAUGUCCAAUGAGAUAAGAAGAAAAUGAGAAAAGAGAAAAGGAGAAACAUCAAAAGCAGUAGAGGAAGAAAAUCUCUUGAAAUCCAAGUCUGAACCCUUUUGGAAACAAUAAAGAACAAGAAUAAGAAACAAUUAACUCACUUUAUAAUUAACAAAAAUUAGUCAAUACAUAAGCAUGAUAAGAUAUUUAAUCCAAACUUUAAAUAUGAAUAUUCCCAUAAAUAAUAUUCAAAUAUUGGAAUAAAUACAUCACACUUAGAUAUUCAAUACAAAGCAAGAAAAUUAAGAAAUGAGUAAAAAUGGGUAAGAAAAUCUCAACCAAAAGCUUCAAAUCUUCAAGUCCCAAGUGUGUGUGCAAGAACCCUUGCUCCAAAGCUUGUUUCUCUAGGUCAAGAGACUGAAAAUUAGCCAAAGAUGUGUUUCCAAUAAGCUAGGUCGUGUAUUUUUGGGUUUGGAAUAGAGAAAAUGUGAAUUGGCAAUUCUGCCCAAGUCUGAAGCCCAUUGACCACACUUGCGGAAGGAUCAUCGCAGGUGCAGCUUCGCAAAUGCGAAAUUUCUCUCGCAGGUGCGAGCCUUGUGGAAAAUUGACUACUCCACAGAAACGGACAUAUUGCCGCAAAAGCGUAUCCGCAGAUGCAGACUUUCAGCAGAAGUGGCUCUGUAGAAGCGAUAUCUAAUCGCAGGUGCGAUUCCAGUGGACUUUAUCCUUUACCGCAGAUACGACCUAAUUCUCGCAGGUGCAGGCCCGCAUAAGCGGGCACUAUUCUGCAGAUGCGAUUUUACUGAAGCAAUUUUGCACUUCUUUAACUCAUUUUUACUCAGUUCCACUUCAAUUGAAUUCAAUCCUCUUCAUAACUACUUUCACCUGAAAAUCUAGCAAUACACACAAUAAAUAACCUCAUAUUAUAAUUAAAGGAUUUAAAAACUAAAGAAAAAGGACUCAAAUUGUCACGGCCCAAUUCCAUUUUAGGCCGUGAUGGUGCCUAGCACCAUUGCUAGGCAAGCCAACAGUGAACAAUCUAGUGAUUUUCCUAUUUUAAUAAGUUUUUACCAAAAAAAUAACUUACCUUAAUUUACUAGGUUUAGUAAGAAACAAAUUUGAAUUAAUAAAACGAAAGCAGCUGAAUGUAUUUAUGGCCAUAUGAAUAAAACCAAAAUUACAAGUCUACUAGUGUGUGCCAAGAUCUAAUGUCAUAAGCGUGUGGGCUACUAGUAGAAUAUACAAAAGUUCUCUACUCUACUGUCUGAAAUAGAAUAAACAGAAAAUAAAUCAAAAGAGAAAUUCUGGCUGCUGCUGAACGGCUCGUAAGGGAAGCUCACCGUGUGGUCUCGGACCGGAAGUCAAGCGUGCGCGCUGGAUUGAUAACCAGAUGCACCUGCCUCAGAUCCUGCACAUCAAGUGCAGAAGUAUAGCAUGAGUACAUAAACAACAUGUACCCAGUAAGUAUCUAGUCUAACCUUGAAGAAGUAGUGACGAGGGGUCGACUUCGACACUUACUGUGGGCCAAAAAUAUAAUAGUAUGAAGUUCUAAUUAAACAUGAUAUAUAAAAUGAUAAUAGAACUCAGAGCAGGAAAUAUAAGUAAAUAAUCCUUCCAUUUCAAGUAAGAACCAAGUCAUUUCUCUCGUCUAAUCCUUUCACCUUCCAAGUCCAUGGAACAAUAUUAAAUAUAAAGGGGUUCCAAUAUCUUUACGCACGAAUUAUACCAAGGACGUACGGCCCGAUCCAAAUAUACAUAUAAAUAUACUGUGCACCGCCGAGGGUCGAACGACCUGAACCAUAAAUACAUCAAUUAACCCACCGAGGCGAAUAGCCCACUCCCAUGAGAUUAAUGGAAAUUUACCCCGCUCGCGGAAUAUACUUGCGAAGCUGUUGAAUAUAGAUUUUUCUUAAGUUAUCAUAAUAUUUCUCAAUUCUUUUUUCAAAAUAAGAAAUUGAGCUAUGAACCUUUAAAAUAUUGAAAUCCCCAACCUCCGCUUUAAUCCAAACAAUUAGUAAGCAUAAACAGGCAACGGUAUCAACUAAAACUUGGUUUAAGCCUAAAUCUACCCGGACAAAAGCAUGAAUAGUAGCUACGCACAGAGUCUCAUCACUUCGUACGUAUGUAGCCCCCACAAAUAGAAGUACAUAAUGAUUAAGUUCACCUAUGGGGUUAAUUCCUUCUUACAAGGUUAGAAAAGAGACUUACCUCGUUUCAAGGCCUACUUCCUGUUCCAAGAAUGUGCUCACCCUAAAUUCAGUGUCGAAUCAACCCAAAACUAAUCAAAUAGUAUAUAAACUAAUCAAUACAUGCUCAAAAGUUCGUAUUCUAACUAUUAAAGCUAUUACCCAACCCCAAUUGAAAAUUCCCAAAAUUCACCCAUGGGCCCACGUGCCCGGAUUCCAGAAAAAUUCAAAGAAAAUUGUUACCCAUAACCUCAUGAACUCAAAUAUAUGAUUUUUACUAAAUUCCAUAACAAAUUCUGUGGUUAAAUCUCAUUUUUGUCAAAAACCUAGGUUUUCAUCUAAACCCAUGAUUUUCACUAAUUUACAUGUUAUAAUCUACCCAUGAACUAUGUAUUACACUCACAUUAUGUGAAAAUUACUUACCUCAAAGUGCUAGGUAAAAUCCCCUCUCUAAGAGCUUCAAGAAUCGCCCAACAAUGAAAGAAAAUGAGCCAAAAUAGCCUAAGUCCCGUUUUUAAAAGAUGAUUCUGCCUAGGGGUCCUUAUACGCGAUCACGGCCAAGCUCUCGCGAUCGUGAUGGCUAAACUGAAGAGCCCAGGAAAAGGCUCUACGCGAACGCGAGAGGAUCUAUGUGAACGUAAUACACUAGGCUGCCUACUCCCCGCGAACGUGGGGCCCAACACGCGAACACGUAAGGCAACUAGGUUGCCCAGGCCCAGGCUUCUACGCGAACGCGGCCUGCUCAAUGCGAACGCGAAGGCCAAAGGGCCCAGGCCUCCUUGAACGCGUCCCUGCGUAUGCGAACGUGAAGGGAAAAAACCUACAGUCCCCAAAUCCUUCACCGCGAAUGCGAGGAUCUGUCCGCGUUCGCGAAGAAGGAAACCAGAACAAAAUAUCUGGUGUUUUCAACUUAACUCCGGGUGGUCCGAAACACACCCGAGCCCCUCGGGACCCCGUCCAACUACACCAACAAGUCUAUAAACAUAAUACAGACUUACUCGAACUCUCGAAACGCAUAAAACAACAACAAAAUCAAGAAUCACACCCCAAAAUCGAAUUAAAUCAAAAUAUGUAUUCCAAGUUUCCAAAUUUCUCCGAGCGCGCCGAAUCAUACUUAGACUACUCGGAAUGACACCAAAUUUUGCGUGCAAAUCUUAAAUGACAUUACGGAAUAUUCCCGGUCUCAGAAUCCCAUUUGGACCUCGAUAUCACAAAAACUUACUCCAAACUAAAUUUAAAGAACUUCAAAACGUUCCAAGAACAAACUUUCACUAUUAAGCGCCGAAACGCUCCCGGUUCAUCCAAAAUCCGAUCCGAACAUACGCCCAAAUCCGAAAUUAUCAUACAAACCUAUUGGAACCGUAAAAUCUCAAUUCUGAGGUGGUUUACUCAAAACAUUGACCGAAGUCACACUUAGCUUUUUUACCCAACCUUAAAGAACCAAGUGUUCCGAUUUCAACCCGAACUCUUCCAAAUCCCGAACGAACCAUCCCCGCACGUCAUAAAAUAGUAAAAGCAUGUACGAGAAGUUUUAUUUAGGGGAACGAGAUUCUAGAAAGAAAAAUGACCGGUCGAGUCGUUACAUUCUCCACCUCUUAAACAAACGUUUAUCCCCGAACGGGUUCAGAAUCAUACCUGGAAUGCUGAAUAGGUGUGGAUAUCUGCUCCGCAUGUCUUCCUCGGACUCCCAAGUUGCCUCCUUGACUGGUUGGUCCCUCCACUAGACUUUUACUGAAGAAAUCUUCUUAGACCUCAAUUGGCAAACCUGCCUAUCCACAAUGGCAACUGGCUCCUCCUCAUAACCCAGGCUCUCAUCUAACUGAAUCGUGCUGAAGUGUAACACAUGUGACAAGUCGGCAUGAUACCUCCGUAGCAUAGACACAUGGAAAAAUAGAUGAACUUACGAUAGACUAGGAGGCAAAGCAAGCUCAUAAGGAACCUCUCAAACUCUUCUCAACACCUCAAAUGGGCCUAUAAACCUUGGGCUCAACUUGCCCUUCUUCCCGAAUCUCAUAAUCCUCUUCAUCGGCUAGACUUUCAAAAGAACCUUCUCGUCCACCAUAAAUGAUAAAUCACGCGCCUUCUGAUCUGUGUAACUCUUCUGUCUGGACUGUGCUGUGUGAAGUCGCUCCUGAAUCAAUUUUACCUUUUCCAAGGCGUCCUUUGCCAAAUCAGUACCAUAUAACUUAGCCUCGCUGGGCUCAAACCACCCGAUGAGAGAACGACAUUGCCGACCAUAUAAAGCCUCAAAUGGAGCCAUUUUGAUGCUGGACUGAUAACUGUUAUUGUAAGCAAACUCGGCCAAAGGCAAGAACCGAUCCCACUAUCCCCCAAAGUCAAUCACACAUGCCCUGAGCAUGUCCUCCAAGAUCUGAACUGUCUGCUCCAACUGCCCAUCGGUCUGUGGAUGAAAUACUAUGCUGAACUCUACACGAGUCCCCAACUCACUUUGUACUUCUCUCUAGAAAUGCGAAGUAAACUGAGGACCUCUGUCUGAUAUGAUAGAAACAGGCACACCAUGCAGCCUAACUAUCUCCUGGAUAUAAUUCUAGGCCAUUCUCUCUGAAGUAUACGUAGUCAUCACAAGAAUGAAAUAUGCCGACUUGGUCAAUCGGUCUACAAUAACCCAAACUGCAUCAAACUUCUGCAAGGUCCGCGGCAAACCAACUACGAAGUCCAUAGUAAUGCGCUCCCACUUCCACUCAGGUAUAGUCAUCUGCUGGAGUAGGCCUACUAGCCUCUGGUGCUCACACUUAACCUGCUGGAAAUUUAGGCAUCUGGCUACAUAUUCAACUAUGUCUUUCUUCAUCCGCCGCCACCAAUAAUGUUGCCUCAAGUCGCGAUACAUCUUCGUAGCACCUGGAUGAAUGGAAUAUCGAGAACUGUGCGACUCCUCUAGAAUCCUCUCCCUCAAGCCAUCAACAUUUGGAACACAUAGAUGACCCUGGAGUCGCAGGACACCAUCCUUGCCGAUAGAAACCUCCUUGGCACUACCCUGCAGUACAGUCUCUUUGAGAACCGUCAAGUGCGGAUCAUCAAACUGUCGAGCCUUGAUCUGCUCCAAUAGUGAAGACUGGGAAAUGACGCAUGUAAGAACUCGGCUGGGCUCUGAAAUAUCCACCUCAUAAGUCUGUUAGCCAAAGACUGGAUGUCCAAGGCUAGUGGUCUAUCCUCCGCUGAAAUGAAUGCCAAGCUACCCAUACUCUCUGCCUUCCUACUCAAGGCAUUUGCGACCAUAUUUACCUUGCUCGGAUGAUAAAGAAUGGUGAUGUCAUAGUCCUUCAGUAACUUAAGCCGCCUACGCUGCCUCAAAUUGAGAUCCCUUUGCUUGAACAAAUGUUGCAAGCUACAUUGAUCAUUGUAAACCUCAUAGGACACCCCAUAAAGAUAAUGACUCCAGAUCUGAAGAGCAUGAACAAUUGCGGGUAACUCCAAAUAGUGCACAUGAUAAUUCUUCUCAUGGGGCUUCAGCUAACGUGAAGCAUAUGCAAUAACUCACUCCUCCUGCAUCAAUACACAACCUAAGCCAACUCUUGAAGCGUCGCAAUACACAGUAUAGAUCCCUGAACCGGAAGGCAACACUAGGACUGGUGCUGUAGUCAAAGCUGUCUUGAGCUUCUGGAAGCUCGUCUCACAAUCAUCGGACCAACAAAACUGAGUACCCUUCUGGGUCAAUCUAGUCANNNNNNNNNNNNNNNNNNNNNNNNNCGCCUGAUACAACACUGACCCUAGACCUUCACAGAAUCUAACCAAACACACACUUGGAGAACAUAGCAUAUAGUUUUUGUUCCUGCAAGGUCUGAAGCACCACUCUCAAGUGCUGCUCGUGCUCCUCCAUGCUACUUGAGUAAAUCAAAAUGUCAUCAAUGAAGAAAAUGACAAAUGUAUCAAUAUAAGGCCUGAACACCCUGUUCAUCAAGUCUAUAAACGCCACUGGGGCAUUAGUCAAGCCGAAGGACAUCACCAAAAACUCAUAAUGGCCAUAUCUAGUACGGAAAGCAGUCUUCGGAAUAUCCAAGUCCCGAAUCUUCAACUGAUGGUACCCCGACCUCAAGUCGAUCUUAGAGAACACCCUAGCACUCAGUAACUGGUCAAACAAAUCAUCAAUACGCGGCAGCGGGUACUUGUUCUUGGUGGUAACUUUGUUCAACUGGCGGUAAUCAAUGCACAUCCGCAUAGUCCCAUCUUUCUUCUUCAUAAAUAGCACUGGGGCACCCCAAGGUGAUACACUUGGCCUGACGAACCCCUUUGCUAGCAACUCCUCAAACUACUCCUUCAAAUCUUUUGGAGCCAUACAGUUCGGUGAGAUAGAUAUAGGCUGGGUACCUGGAGCCAAGUCAAUACAGAAGUUGAUAUCACGAUCUGGGCAUGCCUGGAAGAUCAGAAGGAAACACAUCGGAGAACUCCCGGACUACUGGUACUGAAUCAAUCGCCGGAGGCUCUGCAGUAGUAUCCCGAACAUAGGCUAGUUAAGCCAAACAACCCUUCUCGACCAUGUGUUAAGCCUUCAUAAAAGAGAUAACCUGACUGGAUGUACUGACAGACAAACCCUUCCACUCCAAUCUAGGCAACUCUGACAUCGCUAAGGUAACAGUCUUGGCAUGGCAAUCAAGGAUGGCAUGAUAUGGGGAUAGCCAGUCCACGCCCAGGAUGACCUCAAAGUCGGUCAUAUCAAGCAAUAGAAGAUCCGCUCUGGUCUCGUAUCCAUAGAAUGUGACUACACGGGACCGAUAAAUGCGAUCCGCAAUAACAGAAUCGCCCACAGGAGUGGACACAUAAAUAGGAGUACCCAAGAACUCCCGAGGAAUAUCCAGAAAAUGAGCAAAUAGAGAUGACACAUACGAAUAGGUAGACCCUGGAUCAAAUAGUACUGAAGCUCCCCUACCACAGAUAGAAUUAAUACCUGUGAUCACGGCAUCUGAGGCCACUGCAUCUGGUCUAGUCGAAAAGCAUAGAAUCUGGCUGGAGCGCCACCUGGCUAGCCCCCGCCUGCCUGACCUCCACCUCUGGAAAGGCCCCUACCCACCUGCCCUCCACCUCUGGGUGGCCGGAUGGCUGGUACGACUACUGGUGCUGAAAUUAUGGGUUGCCGACUCUGCUACACCGCCUUGCCCCGUAGUCUGGGGCAAUGUCUCUUCAUGUGACUAGGAUCCCCGCACUCAUAACAACCUCUCGAAGCGGUGGACUGAUGCCCUGAAAUCUGACCCUGAUGGCCUGAAUACCCAUCGGGAAAAUCCUGAAGAGCGGGUGAGCGGUAUGAACUCUCUCGCAUGGCACUGAAAUAGGCACUGGAAGAACCCUGAUGACCGGAGUACCCACUGGAAGAACCUUGAAUAGCUGGCAGGUGGUAAGAAAUCUCUAGCAUAACACUGAAGUAGGGUCGCGCUAAAAUACCCCGAGGAGGUGGUGGUGCUGAAUAUGGGGGCCUACUGGGCUGACCCCUCCCAAAAUGACCUCUGCCCCCAGCUGGGGCACCUCUAAACUCUCGAGAAAAAAUGGGACCUCUUGUCCCGCUGCAUCUUCUCUCUAUCCCUCUGACGGUAACCCCCAAUCCUCCGAGCAAUCUCCACUACCAACUGAUAAGAAGUCCCCAUAUCAACCUACCGAGCCAUACUAGCCUGAAUACUAGAGUGCAACCCCGCAACAAUACUCUGCUCUCGCUCCGCCUCAGUGGGAAGUAUCAUAAGUGCAUAGCGAUACAACUCAGAGAAUCUCGCCUCUUAAUCAGUCACUGACAUCUGACCCUACUGGAGCUGCUCAAACUGAAGCCGAAACUCUUCCCUUUGAGAGGGUGGAAUAUACCUGUCCAAGAAUAGGCGUGUAAACUGGUCCCAAGUCAUGGGAGGAGAACCUGCUGGUCUGCCAAGGAGAUAAGACUUCCACCACCUACGUGCUCUACCCUCUAACUGAAAGGUAGUGAAAUCCACCCUGUGAGACUCCAAUAUGCUCAUGUUGUGCAGUCUGUCCCUGCACCCAUCAAUGAAGUCCUCAUGAUCCUCAUGUUGCUCACCCCCAAGAUCGUAGGGUGAAGCCUGGUCCAUCUAUCCAGUAGCUUCUGCGGGUCGUCGGUCGCAGCUGCUCUGGACUCAGGUACAACUGCUGUAAUUGGCUGGGCUUCACCUACGGGUAGCGUGCCUAGGGUCUAAUAUACUGCAGCUGCAUGCCCAGGAGCCUGAGUAGUAGGGGCUUGUGCUCCCCCUCCUGCCUGAGAUGUGGCCCUCCUGCCUGAGAUGUGGCUGGGUAUGCUGGAAAUAAACCAGCUUGGAUCAUAGAAUCCAUGAACCGCAGCAUACGGCCCAUGACCUCCUGAAAUCCCGGUGCUGACAUGAAAUUAACCGAGGCUGGCUCUGCUGCGGGCACCUUGCCAUGCUCCUCAUCAAUGAGAUCCUUCACUGGAUCGGUUAGUGGUGCAACUGGGGCAACUCUGGGAUGUCCUCGUCCCCUACCUCGGGACGGUGCCCUCCUCUGGCCUCUGCCUUGGCCUCUAGCAACAGGUGGAGCAGCUUCUCCCGGGUCCGGAACAUUUGUCACGCGCGUUCUCACCAUAUGUGAGAGAGUAAGAGAAGAAACUUAGUACAUCAUCAACUGCACGAUAGGAGAUGAAUAAAGAGUAGUUUCCUAACACCAUAUAGCCUCUCGAAGAUAAGUAUAGACGUCUCUGCACCGAUCCGCAAGACUCUAUUAGGCCUGCCCAUAACUUGUGAGACUUACGUAAACCUAGUGAUCUGACACCAUGUUGUCACGACCCAAUUCCAUUUUAGGUUGUGAUGGCGCCCAACACUAUUGCUAGGCAAGCCAACAGUGAACAAUCUAGUAAUUUUCCCAUUUUAAUAAGUUUUUCCCAAGUAAAUAACUUUCCUUAAUUUACUAGGUUUAGUAAUAAACAAAUUUAAAUUAAUAAAACGAAAGCACCUGAAUGUAUUUAUGGCCAUAGGAAUAAAACCAAAAUCACAAGUCUACUAGUGUGUGCCAAGAUCUUGUGUCACAAGUGUGUGGGAUACUAGUAGAAUAUACAAAAGAUCUCUACUCUACUGUCUGAAAUAGAAUAGACAGAAAAUAAAUCAAAAGAGAGACUCUGGCUGCUGUUGAACGGCUCGGAAGGGCAGCUCACCGUGUGGUCUCGGACUAGAAGUCAAGCGUGCGCGCCAGACUGAUAACCAGAUGCACCUGCCUCAGAUUCUGCACAUCAAGUGCAGAANNNNNNNNNNNNNNNNNNNNNNNNNUAUAAUAGUAUGAAGUUCUGAUUAAACAUGAUAUAUAAAAUGAAAAUAGAACUCAGAGCAGGAAAAAUAAGUAAACAAUCUUUCUAUUUCAAGUAAGAACCAAGUCAUUUCUCUCGUCUAAUAUGUUCACCUUUCAAGUCCAUGGAAUAAUAUUAAAUAUGAAGGGGUUCCAAUAUCUUUACGCACGAAUUAUGCCGAGGACGUACGACCCGAUCCAAAUAUACAUAUAAAUAUAAUGUGCACUACCGAGGGUUGAACGGCCCAAACCAUAAAUACAUCAAUUAACCUGCCGAGGCGAACGGCCCGCUCCUAUGAUAGUAGUGGAAAUUUACCCCACUCACUGAAUAUACUUGCGAAGCUAUUGAAUAUAGAUGUUUCUCAAGUUCUCAUAAUAUUUCUCAAUUUUGCGGCCAAGAUCUCGCGAUCGCGAUGGCUAAACUGAAGAGCCUAGUAAAAGCUCUACGCGAGCGCGAGAGGACCUAUGCAAACACAAUACACUGGGCCGCCUACUCCUCGCGAACGCGGGGCCCGACACGUGAACGCAUAAGGCAACUGGGUUGCCCUGGCCCAGGCCCAGGCUUCUACACGAACGCGGCCUACUCAAUGCGAACGUGAAGGCCAAAGGGCCCAGGCCUCCUCGAACGCAUCCCUGCAUAUGAGAAUGCGAAGGGCAAAACCUCCAGUCCCCAUAUCCUUCACCGCGAACGCGAGGAUCUGUCCGUGUUCGCGAAGAAAGAAACCAGAACAGAAAAUCUGGUGUUUUCAACUUAACUCCGGGCGGUUUGAAACACACCCGAGCCCCUCGGGACCCCGUCCAACUACACCAACAAGCAUAUUAACAUAAUACGGACUUGCUCGAACUCUAGAAAUGCAUAAAAUAACAACAAAACCAAGAAUCACACCCCAAAACCGAAUUGAAUCAAAAUAUGAAUUCCAAGUUUCCAAAUUGCUCCGAGCGCGCCGAAUCAUACUUAGACUGCUCGGAAUGACACCAAAUUUUGCGUGCAAGUCUUAAAUAACAUUAUGGAACUAUUUCUGAUCUCGGAAUCCCAUUUGGAACUCGAUAUCACAAAAAAUUACUCCAAACCAAAUUUAAAGAACUUCAAAACCUUCCAAGAAAAAACUUUCACUAUUAAGCGCCAAAACGCUCCCGUGUCAUCCAAAACCCGAUCCGAGCAUACACCCAAGUCCGAAAUUAUCAUACGAAUAUAUUGGAAUAGUCAAAUCUCGAUUCUGAGGUCGUUUACUCAAAACGUUGACCGAAUUCAAACUUAGCCUUUUUAGCCAACCUUAAGGAACCAAGUGUUCCGAUUUCAACCCGAACUCUUCCAAAUCCUGAACUAACCAUCCCCGCAAGUCAUAAAACAGUAAAAGCUUGUACGAAAAGUCUUAUUUAGGGGAACAUGAUUCUAGAAAGCAAAACGACCGGUCGGGUCGUUACACAAAUAAAUGGUAAAAUUACUACUCAUCAACACCCCAACUUAAAACUUUUGCUUGUCCUCAAGCAAAUCAAAAUCAAAUACUCAAUGAGGCUCUACUAUUUAAAGCUCAAGUAGCAUCGCUAUCAUUCCCAAAUCAUAUUCUCCAAUUAAGCACAACACAUAUGGCUUUGGUUGGUACUAAUAAUUAGGCUCAAGCAUGUGAACUUCAACCAAAUAACUCCCUCAUUUAAAACUCAAUCUCAAGAAUGCAAAGGAGUUUCAAAAUAAUCAAGUAACAACCAAGCCUUAAGAAGUGAUUCAAAAGCAUUUGUCUACUACAUAUGCUCAAUUUACUUAAUUCAGAAUCUAUCAAUGUCACCAAUCCAUCAUAAUCCAUGUGCCAUCUCAAGAAAUAAAGUCCCAAAAAUUACCAUAGUUACAAUAACAACACAAGGGACAACUGCACAAAGACACUCACUCUCCACAAAGAAUUUCAAGUGUUACCAAUAUCAUGCCAUAAGCUUGCCCUUAUUUUAAUCUGCCGCCAAUCUAAGAAAGUUCGGUUGGAGAUCGCAUAAGGACUUUUUAAGCUUGUAAUAUAGGCUCAGGGAAGGGUAGGAUACGCAUUUGGGAUUCAAGUGACUACACCCCCCUUGAACACUACUCAUAAAUUUAUCUUUAUUUUUGCACUUUGUUUCUUUUUAAACCACAUAGCCCUUAUUGACCUCUAGUUACCAACAUAGAACCACCUUAAAGUACCUCUCAAUUUUCAUAUAUAUAUAUAUAUAUAUAUAUAUUGUUUUGCUUUUCUUUUGGAGCUUGAGUAUCUUCAUAUAAACAACUUUGAAGUAUAUGCUUUUAUACAUAAUGUACAUCUUCAACAUUUUUCAAUUAAUACCAACACCGCCAACUUAGGUUUUUAGCCUCAUGCUUAACAUUCAAGGAGGAAAGGGUUCAAAAGAGGAAAUUAUUUCACAAAUGGGAUAAAUGUUUGUAAUGUGAUAGCCAAAGAAAAUGUUAAAGGCUUAAAUGAGGUUAACUAGUGAUAAUAUUUAUGCAAUGAUAUGCUCGAAAAGCUAAAUUGGCUUUUUUUAAAGAUCACAAAAAAUACCUAAGGUCAUCCCUCCAACCAAACAUAAUUAGCAUUAGCAUUGAAAGACCAACCGGGUAAGUUCUAGAUGAUAACAGUAAAUAAAAGAAUUAUUUUUAAUAAAAAAUUAACACACAUGGCACAUGAACUUAUCAAGGUGAUUAAUUUAACUUCUUAAUAAGAACAAUUAGAGCAAUAUCAUGCCAACUAGUGGGCAAGGAGUCACAAAAUGAGCCAAAACGUUAUCAUAAAAAUUAUUCUUCCCCAUGCAACUUAUUUUUUUAAUUUACAACCAAAAGUCAGAAGGGUAUUCUUAAUUCACACUUAACAUACAAGAGACUAAUUUUAUUAGUACCAAACAAUCCAAAAGUCUCCACAUAACAAAACAAGACUAAUUCUCUUAAAAAAGUUGUCACGCCAUCCAUCAUAGGCAAAAGUCACCCGGUUCAACAUAAAAAUAUUCCCUGGAAAAGAAACGUAGCAUAAAAGAAAACUCAUGGAGAUUUAUUAUAAAGUAUAUUAUUACUUAAAGAAAUAAAAAUAAUAUAAACUAAAAACUACUAAAGAAAAUAAAAUAACAAAAGCGACUAAUACUAAAGGAACAAAAAAAAAAACAUAAACUAAAAACUACUAAAGAAAAUAAAUAAAUAAAUAAAAAUAAAAUAAAAUAACAAAACCGACUAAUCCGCAAAUACACCACCAGUCACAAACUACGUCCGGCAAAAACACACGAUACAAAAUAGUAACACAAGCCCUGUAAGGGCACACAAUAUUCCUACAAAAGCAUAAACCCGGCAAAGGCACAAGUUAGACAUUAAUGUACAAAUAAAGUAUAUUCCCUGAAGCCACCCCCAACUAAAAGCAUUGCAUUGUCCUCAGUGCACAAUAUCAGAAUAAAAUAAGAGUAGUUUGAAGGUCUCCCUGAGGUCUGCAUCAGACUAGCAGACUGCGGGAAAAGGCUCAUCACUGCUGUGUAGAGCUCUUGGCCUCAUCAUCAGCGGUAUCAUCAAUAUCAACAUCAACAUCAUUCUACAAGAAGGAAUACUCUUCACUAUCAUCUUUGUCCUCGACAGGUAUCUUCUUGUUCGGCUGCCCCCAUUUGAAGAUGGCCUUGAUGCCUCUCCAUAUCUUUACCAUGAACGUGCCCUUCUUCUUGUAUUUCUCUCUCUCCUUCUGGAAUUCUACCUGGAGAUCAACAUGAGCCUUGGCCAUAUUAUCAUAUGCUUCCUCGAGCCUCUUAACAAAACCUGCUAACUUUUCAUGAUACUUUGCCUAUUUUUAUGGGCCUCUAGGUAUGUCUUCAUCUCUUCUUUAGUACAGUACUCAAGCAUAGACUAGGAGUGCGGGGGUCCAGUCGGGAGCCGUGACACUAAGUCACGUAUGGAGACAAGCUGGGAGUUCAGCAACCCAAAUGGUCUCUCGGGCAGUGUCGUCUAUGAGGACUAUGGUCCGGCAACUGUGGUGAUCUUCUUCUUCUUGCUUUUCACUGCACUACCCUCACCGGUCACUCUCAACGGAUGAAAGGGUUUGUCAGCCGGUAACCAACGAUCGGUGCUACACACAUCAAUAUAUGCCUGCCGGCACAACUCUCUAACCAAUAAAAGGAACAUCAAGCCCGCAUUGUCUUUUAGCAAGUACUAUUUAAUCUCCAGGAUGAUAUAAUAACAGACAUUCACAUGAAUGUCAUUAAGUAUGCAAUAAUCAGGGCUCAGCCAUAUGAAACAUCAGAGACAUUGCCACAAGGGGAGACUCUGUUACAGAUGAUGUAGAGCCAUAUCAUGGCCUCAACUGUGAAGUCAAUGGAUUUAAAACCCUUUCUCUUGUUGGCCCACAUCGCUCGCCUAUCUGAGGGAUAAAGGUUAGAAUCUAGCCAUUUUUCAUUUGAGCAAUAAUCUUUUUCUCGCACCGGCUCAAGUGGAUGAUUCGGAAGCUCAUAAAUAUCAUUGAUCUGCUCAGGUUCAAAUCACAAUAUUUUGCCCAUUAUUAUGAGUUAUGGAUACUUGUAGUUUGUACGCUUCAGGUUGGCAUAAAACUCAUAAACCCAUUCCUCAUUGUCAUCACAUGGAGUAGGCAUGAAACAACUCCAACCGGUAGUCUGUAGACGGCCAAAGAAAUCUGAAAGUAGCUCGGCCAAUCUAUUCCCGGAGAUCCCCUUUUCAAGUAGAACCUUCUUUGUAAGAAGGUUGUCAUAGUAUCGGUGGUGAUAAUUAGCAGACAUGAAGAGGUCAGUGUCAAAUUGUUCCUCCACAGCCUCUUCCUUAAUUUCAUGAUCAAUUGCCACAUUUUCAUGUUUGGGUCCAUUUUUGAAGCUCAAAGUACCUAAAAAAAAUCAAAACCAAGUUAUUCGGGCAUUAGAAUCAAGUCAAUCAAUUCAAAACAAUGCAAUUAGGAAAAAGAAUCAAGCCAAACGGCCCCAGCAAGCCAUAUUUGCAAAGCUACUGCCCUGCUGAAAAUCUGUCCAGUUAUCGCACCUGCGGAAACAGCAUCGCAGGUGCGGUUUCGCUUCUGCAAAUUUUCACUUAUGAACAAAAAUCGCACCUGCGUAAUUUCAUCGUAAGUGUGGUUCCGCAUCUAUGGUAAAUUCCCGCUUCUUGGAUUUUCCAAAUUUCAGCCAAAUUUCGCACCUGCGAAAUAGUCAACGUAGGUGCGAGCCCGCAUCUGUGGCAUUUUCUUCACAGAAGUGAUGUUCACCCAAUUUUCAAGGGCUCAGAAACUUCCGACUCUUUUCAGUUCAAAUCAUUUUUUUGGCUCAAAAUUUAUAUUCAAGAAUUCUAAACUUGUACACUAGAUGAUUAUACGACUUGAUUAAACCUGCUUUUAAGGUACUUAACAUCUAAAAUUUUCUCGGACAAACUAUCGAACACUUAACGAGCAAAGAGAAUGCUAUGCUUCUUUAAACUAAUUGGGUACUUAGACUUCCCCAAUUUUUAUUGUUAGACACAUAGCAGAAACAACUCAUAACUACACUCAACCAAUUUUCCUCACCCCUAGAACUAGCAUUGAUUAAAGAACGAAAAAAACUGUGGGAAUUCGGCCAUGGAGAAGUGUUAGAAGAAAAUGAGAGAAGAAGAAAAUAGAAGUAGAGGAUAAAAAGAGAAAGAUGUUACUUGAGUUGCAUGUGUGCACAUAGUGGAUUGAGAUCAACAGUUGUGUGAGAGAUGAGAGGAUCUGGGGAUGGGAUUUGAGAGUGCAAGAGAAAGAGUUUUACCUUCUAAAAGAGGGUCUAAUUCAUUAAAGAUACCUGACAUGCCGCAUCUACGGACUUUUGAGCGCUUCUGUGAAGCCACUUCUACGGUUAGAAGAUUUCUUCUGCGCAAAACGCGCAUCUGCGCCCCAUUUUACGCUUCUGCGUUUCCGCAUCUGCGUUCCUUUUUUCGCAGGUGCGGCUACACCAAAAAUCAGAAAGAAAACUGGGCAGCCACUCAUUUGGCUUGAGUCCAACAUCUCAACCUGCUCAAAUCAACUUCAAAAAAUCUGAAACUUUGUAGAUUAGUUAACAAUACUAUAAUAAACUAUUCUAAAAAAGAAAAUUUCAAAAACGACCAAAACAUUUGAAAACGAUGGGUUGUCGUCUACCUAGCGCCGCAUUUAAUAUCAUGGCACGACACUUACCAACUUCAUCACUUUUCUCACCACUUGGAGGAUAUGAAUUGGAAACCUAACUUGGACUCAAGUUUGUGAUCAUGAGCGGCAGGGGGGUGGUAAGUAGAUGAGCAAGCCAAAUGAUAUUUGCUUCAUUUUGCAUUUCUUGGCUUUCAUGAGAGGAAUGUCAUUUUGCCUUCUUACACCUUCAAAUUGUAAAAUGUAUGGCCCUUGACUUUCCUCUUUGCAAUCCCUCAUUGACUCGUGUAGUUCAAUUCCCAUAUCACUACGCAACUCCAAUGUUGAGAAAUGCUUGAAACGUGACAUCAAGCCUCCAAAUUGCAAUUCUUUCCGGACUUUGACAUCCUCUUUUUCCCCCGAACUAGAGUCAACUUCAACCAUAUUUUCAAUUACACCGGUUGACUCAAACUCUAUAUUUUUCUCGGCAUCACCAACAAGCAUGAGUCAGUUGGUGGAUGUUCAAUCCUUGAUUCCUCAAAAUGAAUCUCACUUUCUUCCUCGAAGUUGGACUCUUCUUGACCACUUUCCACACUCUCAAGUUGGUGAGCAUUAUGAGCCUCAACCAAUGAUUUCAUUUGAUCUUCCAAAGUGCGGAUAGUCUCAUCAUUCUGAUUUAAUACUUGUUUCAUGUCUUUGAGUGCAAAGUUUUGCUUCUCCUCAUUUUCAAGAAUGGCCUCCAACAUGAGCAUUAAUCUCUCAUUUUGAGCAUUUGAGAGUUCUUCUUGAUUUGGAUCAAGUGCCAAAGAAGGAUUUUCAGGUUCAACCUCUAAGGAAGGUUCUUGGCUAUCAUUCACUUUCGAGGCUUUAUGUACCUCUAAAUCUUCAAGCAUUUCUCCCAUUUGUAAGUUCAACCUUUCAAGCGCCAAAUCAUUUUGGAGACUGAGCUCCUCCAAGGAUUUUUGCUCUUUGUUUCCUCCUUCAAGUAAGAAUUCCAUCAUGAGCUUGAACUCUCCAUUUUGACUAUGCUCAAUUUCUUCCACUUCCAUAUCCCUAUACUUGUCAUCACAAAGUAGAAUCGUCAUAGCGAGGGUUCGGGAAAGGGAAGGACAAAUAAGCACAAUUAGCCCAAUGACCAUUUUGACCACCACACCUAUCACAUGUACUCCACUCACGGGUUUGAGAUUGUGCGCACAAUCCGCCCAGGGAGAAUUUAAACAAUUUUGUCAUGAGUGUGAUCCUCCACAAUAAGGACAAAGGUCAUCAAAAUAUGAACAACUACCAUCCAUCCAAUUUUCAUUAUGCGAUGCUAUUUUUAAAAACUAAGAAAAUACACAAGUAAAAUAAACAAGAAAACAAACAAGAAACUAAAUAAAGAUAAGAAAAAUAAUUACACAAAUAUUCACAAGUUUGGAUCAAAGCACGUACGCUUACUUCUCAAACAACCUAAAUGUGCCAUAUUGUUCCCCAGCAACUGCGCCAAUUUUGAUGACAUCCAAUUCCACUACUAAAAUGUAAAUGGACACGGUCGCAUGCAAUAUAAUAUACCCAACUAUGAGUCGGGGUCGAAUCACAUAGAAAAAUAUGUAGGCGAUUAGGCAAUGUAAGAGAAUUAUCAUUUAUUAUGCUAAGCCAAAUACUUAAAAGGGUUUUGGGAAAAUAUUUAUGUCUAAAUUCAAAAAUUGUAAACUAACCUAGAAAGCAAGUAAAAUUAUCAAUAGCUACAAGCAUGUAUGCAAUGAGAAUUACACUCAAGUAACGACCCAAUGUAUUUAACGAUUUUACAAAUAUGAGCGAGUUUAUGUUAAUUAGUCUCGGAUAUUAAUUCUUUAUUAGCUUGUUCUAAUGACUAACAAGACUUCCUAAUUGAAUUAGAGAUUAAGAGCACCUAAUGUGGCUACAAGUAGUUCAAUCCUAUCCCUAGGCAGAAGCUAUAAAAUGAGGGUUAACGCCUAAAGUUUUUGUUAAUUAAUCUUUCCCAACUCCAAAUUACCCUUUCCAAGAUUAAUUCGAAGUUAAUGGGCGAGUCCUAGGGUUAGUUAUUCCCUUUGAAAACAUUAAAGAACAAGAAUAAUUAAAGAAACAAUUAACUCACUUCAUAAUUAAUAAAAAUCAUUCAAUACAUAAGCACAACAAGUUAUUUAAUUCAAACUUUAAAUAUGAAUAUUUUCAUAAACAAGAUUAAAAUAUUGAAAUAAAUGCACCACACUUAAAUAUUCAAUACAAAGCAAGAAAAUAAAGAAAUGAGUAAAAAUGGGUAAGAAAAUCUCAACCAAAAGUUUUAAUCUUCAAGUCCCAAGUGUGUAUGCAAGAACCCUAGCUCCAAAGCUUGUUUCUCUUGGUCAAGAGACUAAAAAUUAGCCAAAGAUGUGUUUCUAAUAAGCUAGGUCGUGUAUAUGUGGGUUUGGGAUAGAGAAAAUGUGAAUUGUCAAUUCUGCCCAGGUUUGAAGCCUAUUAACUGCAACUACGGAAGGAUCAUUGCAGGUGCGGCUCCGUAGAUGCGGAAUUUCUCUCGUAGGUGCGAGCCUUGUGGAAAAAUGACUCCUCCACAGAAGCGGACAUGUUGCCGCAGAAGCGCGUAUGUAGAUGCGGACUUCCAGCGCAAAAGUGGAUUUCCAAUCGCAGGUGCGAUAACAGUGGACUUUCUCCUUUUCCGUAGAUGCGGCCUAAUUCUCGCAUGACUGUUCCGUAGAUGCGAUUUCACUGAAGCACUUUUACACUUCUUCAACUCUUUUUUGCUCAAUUCCACUUCAAUUGAAUUCAAUUCUCUUCAUGACUACUUUCACCUAAAAAUCUAGCAAUACACACAAUAAAUAACCUUAUAUUAUAAUUAAAGGAUAUAUAAACUAAAUAAAAGGGACUAAUACAAAUGGUAAAAUCAUCACUCAUUAGUGACUUUAGGGGGAUGUAUCCUUAUCUACAUGAUGCACGGACAAGUCACGUGCUACAUAUAACAACCGCACAGACUACUCACGUGCUGUCAACCUAAUCCAUAUCACACAUAAAGCAUAUACAAGAAUACAAGUACACGAACAAUGGCUAUCAAAUUAAAUACUCAUGAACUGAUAUAAGUGACAUGCUAAGGUGUAUGCACGCGCGAAGUAUACUGCGAUAGAUCAAAUUAGGAGAUUACGCCACAAAAUAGCAAUUUUCGUCAUUUGAAUAGGAGAUUAACCUACAUGUAACCUCUAACAUGAAUCAAUUAUAUCACAAAGGGAAAAAAAUAUAAGAAGCAUUACCCCGAGCAUGGAUAAAACUCCGGUGCACGCACAUGGGCUCAAUCCCUCGCAUGUGCGCCACCCAUAGAACGUAGCUAAUACUAAUAACUCAGGAAACUAGUGCCUCAACUAAGUUUAGGUAAGAUACUUACCUCAAGCAAGCCAAGUCAAUACUAUAAAAAUCUCUUGCCGUGAAUCGACCUCCGAAAACCUUGAAUCUAGCCAAAAAUAACUCAAUAACAUUAAAUAACGCCAUAGAAAACAACCCAAAAUAAUAAAGAUUCGAUCUUUAUAUAAUUGCACAAAGUCAACCAAAAAGUCAACCCGGUCUUGCACCCCUAAACCCGACAGAACUCAUAAAUCCUGAACACCCAUUCGAAUACGAGUCCAACCAUACAAGUUUCAUCUAAUUCCGACUCUGAAUUGGGGUUCAAAUUCCUAUUAUUUAUUUUAGAAAUGUUUUCCCAAAACCCCUAAUUUUUCUCACUUAUAUUCACCAAUCAAAUUCCAAUAUCAAGGAUGAAUCAUGAAUAAUAAUCAAAUCCGAGUCAAAAAUACUUAUACCAUUCCAAGUCGCGGAAAUAACCUCUACAAUUGCCCAAAUCCGAGUUUCUAAUCACAAAAUAUGAUAAAUGAAAUUAACCCCCCCCCCCCCCCAAAGAUAUAUUCUGCCCAAACACUUUUGCUUCUAUGAUACUGUAUCUGCAGAAAAACCAUCGCAGAUGCAGAAUUCACUUAACCCCCUUCCAUCCACUUCAGUGGGCUACACAUUGCUUUUGCGGAUCCCCUUCUACGGAACAAGCUUCGCACCUGCGCUAGAGCAUCUGCACUCAAAUAACCGCAUCUACAGACUGUGCCUUUCCCAGCUAAUCUUUGCAUCUCUAGCCCAGGUUCACUUCUACGAACUCGCACCUAAAAACCUCGCAGGUGCGAAAGCACCAGAACAGGACUGCCAAACAAGAUAGAAAUGAUUCGAAACUCAUUCAAAACACACCUGAAACCCCCGGGACCCUGUCCAAUCACACCAACCAGUCCCAAAACAUUACUCGGACCUACUCGAGGUCUCAAAUCACACUAAAUAACAUCAAACCACGAAUCACAUCUCGAUUCAAACUUACCAAACCUCAUGUCGAACCAUGUUUAUUCGGCUCGUAAUAAUCUCAAAUUUUGCACACAAGUUCCAAAUGACAUAACAAACUUAUUCCAACUCCAUGAACAAUAAUUUGAAUUUGAUAACACCAAAGUCAACCCCGAGUCAGACCUAAGAACCUUGCAAACCUUCAAGUUUCCAACUUUCGCCAAUUCAAGCCAAAAUAACCUAAGAACCUCCGAAUCCAAAUUUGGACAUACGCCUAAGUAAAAAAUCACCAUAUGAACCUAUUGGAAUUAUCAAAAUACCAUUCUGAGAUCAUCUACAUAAAAGUCAAACCUUGAUGAACUCUUACACUUUAAGCUUCCAACCAUGGAUUUAAGUGUUCCAAUUCACUUCAAAAACCUUCCCGAACCCAAACCAACCACCCCCUCAAUAACAUAGUACCAAAUACACAUACUGGAAGCAUAAAAUAGGGGGACGAGGCUAAUGACCGGCCGGGUCGUUACAUAUUUGCUCCUAUAUUUUCUCUAAGAUUUGUAAUAAUUCAUUAGAAAAUAUUGUCCAAGACUUGCUCCAAUAUUUUCUCCAAAAGCUAGAAUAAUUUGGUUAACCAAACAACAAUAACAAACCCAGUAUAAUCCCACAAGAAAGGUCUGGGGAGGGUAGUAUGUACGCAGACCUUACCCCUACCUUUAAGAAAGUAAAGAGACUAUUUCCGGUAGACCCUCGGCUUAAGAAAGGUAAAAGAAAGGAAAACCACAAGCACACCAAUUAGAAAACUGAAGAAAAAAUAGAAAACUAAUCCUAGUACUGCAAUCAGAAAGCUGAAAGCAAUAACAAGUAAUAAGAGGAGUCAAGGAAUACGAAAAUACAUAUAUAACACUAAGUCAUGUACUAAAGCUACAGUUACAGAAAAGGACAAUGCUUGACUACCUAUCCUAACCAUUUACCUUUAUUCUCAACCUCCACAUCUUCCUAUCCAUGGUCAUGUCCUAGAACAAUGCCAUAUCUUGCCUAAUCACCUUUCCCCAAUACUUCUUCGGCCUGCCUCUACCUCUAUUUAGGCCCUCCAAGGUCAACCUCUUACACCUCCUCACCACUGCAUCUGUGCCUCUCCUCUUCACAUGCCCGAACCAUCUAAGUCUCGCCUCCCCUGUCUUGUUCUCCAUAGGGGCCAUGCCCACCUUGUCUCGAAUAACUUCAUUUCUAAUUCUAUCUAACCUGGCAUGCCCGCACAUCCAUCUCAACAUACUCAUUUCAGCCACCUUCAACUUUUGGACAUGGUAGUUCUUAACUGGCCAACACUCUGCUCCAUACAACAUAGUCGGUCUGAUCACCACUCUAUACAGCUUAUAUUUAGGUUUAGGUGACACAUUUUUAUCACACAAACCAUCAGAAGCGAGCAUCCAUUUCACCCACUCUUCCCCAAUACGAUGUGUAACAUCCUCGUCGAUCUCUCCAUUCCCUUGUAUAACUGACCCAAGGUAUUUAAAACUUUCUCUCCUAGGGAUGACUUAAGAAUCAAUCCUCACGUCUUCAUCCACUACCUGAGUUGCACCACUGAACUUGAACUCCAAGUAUUCUGUCUUUGUGCUGCUCAACGUGAAACCUUUAGACUCCAGGGUUUGCCUCUAAACCUCUAACCUCUCGUUAACACCGCCUCAUGUCUCGUCAAUCAGAACAAUUUCAUCUGUAAAUAACAUGCUCCACGACACCUCCCCUCGGUUAAUCCAUAUAAGGAAAACAAAUCUUAAGAGGAUAAUUUCUUAAAAGAUCUCCUUUACACGCCCUUUCUUUCUAUGCAAGUAUUCCUAUAAAUUGAAGUCUUUGUUCGUAAGACCUAUGCAUUCCAGUAAAACACUUAUGAUGUACUCAAUAAGUAUCGUAAAUAAACACGGCAAGGUAAGAGAAGCAUAAAUUGUUAAUGAUACUAGCUAUCACCUGUGCAGUUCCAUCUUUUAAACCGACACAAAACAAUAUUGAAAAUUAACUCAUCAAGUUUCGCGAGAAAACAACCGUGUGUGUAUGUGUACAGUUCUCAAAUACUCUGCUCGGACAAUAUCAUGGCAUGUAGAGAUGAUGAGUAGUUAAAUCAGGUAAAUGAUCAAGGAAAUACAAAAUCCACACAACACUGGUCGGAUUCUCUCAAAUUCCAUAUCCGUUCCAAACCACUGAUCAGUAUUCUCAAUAACCGUGUGUACACCAUCAAGAGAGAAACAUGAGAGAGUGACCCUAGGGGAUGGAUCCAUAUCCACACGCUGCACGGAUAACUCACGUGCUGUAUGGAUAACUCAUGUGCUAAUAAUAGAACCCCGCACGGACAACUCACGUGUUGCACGAACAAUUCACGUGCCAAUAACAUCAAUAUAUGGAUCUGCAUGGACAACUCACGUGUUGCACGGACAACUUACGUGCCAAUAAUACAAUCCGCCUGGUAUGGUGACAGCCUUCUAAUCCAAACAUAUCAUACAGGAGAAAUUAAACAAGUAUACAUAUGUGUGAUGAAUGAAUAACAAUUCUCACACUCCUGGACUGGUAUAAAUGACAUGCUAAUGUGUAGGCAUGUGCAAAGUGUGCUAUCAUAGCUCAAAUCGAAAAUUUCAUCACUGAAAAGCAUUUAUGAAGUUCGUUCAGGGCUUAAACCUUUAUGUAGCCUCAGCAUGGCUCAAAUAGAUAACACAAACUGUUACAAAUAUGACAAAUAUCAUAGCUUAAAGCUUAACAAUCAAAUUCAAGGCUUGUAAGAGCCCGAGCACAACCCGAACAUGAAUAAAUGAACCUGGUGCCCGCAUAUGUGUUCAUCCCCACGCAUGUGCGCACCCAAUAACACAUAGCUAUCAUAACAAUUCAGGCAACUAGUGCCUCAACCGAGUUUAAAAAAGAUACUUAUCUCAAGCAAAUCAAAUCACUCCGCUAGCAAGCCCUUCCCACGCGUAUACGCCUCCGGAAGGAUCGAAUCUAGCAAAAACUAACGUAAUACUAUCAACAAAAGCUAUAGGAAUUGAUUCCAAUUAAUAAAGCUACGAUCUUUAACUAAGGUCAAAAGUCAACUCAAAAGGUCAACCCCGGGCCCACAAAAAACCAACCCCAGACCCACGUCUCCAAAUCCGACAAAAUUGAUAAAAUCUGAACACCCAUUCAAUAAUGAGUCCAACCAUACCAAAAUUACUCAAAUCCGAUCAUAACUCGACCUUCAAAUCCUCAAAUUAAAGCCUAUAAAGUUUCUACAAUUUUCCCCAAUUCUUCCAACCCAAAACACUAAUUAAAUGAUGAAAACAAUGAUAUAUUCAUGUAUAUUAACCAAAUCCCAGUUAGAAUCACUUACCCCAAUCAAUCCGUUGAAUAUCCCUCCAAGAAUCGCCUCAAUCCGAGCUCCCAAAAUCAAAUUAUGAAAUAUAACUCAAACCCUCAUCUUUGAAAACUUAUAUUCUGCCGAGAUGCCCCUUAAUUGCGAUCACGGGAAGUGCUUCGUGAUCGCGAAGCACAAACCAUAAGCUGCCAAAAUUUACUCUCCACGAACGCGAAUAACCCGACGCAAAUGCGACUCACAAACUCCCAUACCUACAUGAUCGCGAACCUCUUCACGCGAUUGCGAAGAACAACUUCGCGUGAACCUCAGUCUCUUCCAUUCUUCUUCGUGAACCCGACUCCCUUCACGCGAUCACAGACUUCUUCUCGUGAUCGCAUGGAACAAAUCUUACACCAACCCAAACAACUCUUCGUGAUCGCAUAUAAGGAAACCACCAACAGAAAUCAGCAGUUCUUCAAAGUUUCAAAAUGCACCGAACAUGAUCCGAAUCACACCCGAGGCCCCCGAGACCUCAACCAAACAUACCAACAAGUCCUAAAAUCAUAUACGAAUUCGGUCGAAGCGUCAAAUCAUAUCAAACAACAUCAAAAACAUGAAUUGCAUAUUGAUUCAAGCCUAAUGAACUUAUGAACUUCUAACUUCUACGUUCGAUGCCGAAACCUAUCAAAUCAACUUCGAUUAACCUCAAAAUUUGCACACAAGUCAUAAAUGACACGACAGACCUAUUCUAACUUCCAGAACCAAAAUCUGAGCCUGGUAACCAUAAAGUCAAGUUUCGGUCAAACUUCUCAACUCUCCAAACUUUUAUUUUUCCAACUUUCGCCAAUUCAAGCCAAAAUCAUCUACGGACCUCCAAAUCAAUAUCUGAACACACUCCUAAGUCCAAAAUCACCCUACGGAGCUAUCAGAACCAUCAAAACUCCAUUCCAGAGUCAUUUACACACAAGUCAACAUCUGGUCAACUCUUUCAACUUAGGCCUCCAACAUUGGGACUAUGUGUCCCAAUUCAUUCCGAAACAUCUCCGGAACCAAACCAACCACCCCGUCAAGUCACAUAACAACAAUUGAGUACAUAAUAAGUAGUAAAUGGGGAAACAGGGAUACAACACUCAAAACGACUGGCCAGGUCGUUACAACUGCGUACCCUUGGACUGCUUUGCUUGUUACCUUGCUCAUCCCUUUUCUUAUUCUUAAGUUUUUGAAUAGCUCAUUUACUGUUUUGUUGGGAAAUGAAUGUGCUUAUUUGGGGAAUUUUUUUUUCUCGAUAUUAGGCUAAUCAGAAACUUGAGUUGGAUCCUCUUUGGGCCUUCUUUAUCGUUGUAUAUUGUGAGGCCUAUUAGUUUUGGGUGGAUCACUAGUGGAAGCAAAAGUAGUCCUUAAAGGUGAAAACCAACACAUAAACGAAGUCAUAUCACGGACUACAGCCAAAAAGAAUAUGACUAUUAGAGAAUAAUUUAAUUUACAUUAGCUAACAAUGAAAAUAAUUUUACACUAUUAAUAUUAAUUUAAUCAGUAAUAGUAGAUUAGCACAUUUCUUAUUUCACAAUAUCAUACUUAUUAUAAAUAGUUAUCUAUUGUUGCAAGUCAACUUAACAUAAUUAUAACGAAGUUAAACUCAUCAGAAAUACUACUCCCCCCAUUCCAAUUUAUAUGACCUUAUUCCCUUUUUGGUCUAUUCCAAAAAGAAUGAACCUUUCUAAAUUUGGAAAUAAUUUAGCUUAAACUUUCAGUUCUACCCUUAAUGAGAAGCUUUUAUAACCACACUUAUACUUUUGCAUGUUUACCACCAUACGUUUCAAAAGAAUUAUAGCCAUACAAAUAUUCUGACUAGUUUACGCCACAAAUUCCAAAAGUCUUCAUUUUUUUCUUAAACUCCGUGCUCGAUCAAACGGGUUCACAUAAAUUAGAACGAGGAAAUAUUGUAUACUCCCUCCGGUCCACAAUAAGUAAUUUUUUGGAUAUUUUUACACAGAUUAAGAUAUUCACGUUUUAACGUUAAUUAGCAAUAAAAUUGACCAUAUUAACCUUUACUAUCUCUUCACAUAUACACACCUAACACAUACUCCAAUAUUAUUUACUCCAAGGGCAAUGUAGGGAAAAAUAAUUAAUUUAUUCUUGAAAUCUGGAAAAAUCACUUAUUUUGGACCACAAAAAAAGGUCAAAAAAUCACUUAUUAUGGACCGGAUGGAGUAUCUAAAUACUAUACAUGUCAUUCUCGAGAUUGCAAGGAAGUAAAAUUUGAUUAUUAUUUUUAAUAUUUUUUGUACAAUUUCGAAAUAUCUAAAUGUUUAUCUUAAAAACGGAUAACAAUUGAAUUUAUAUGUGGUUUUAAGGACACGUGAUUUUACUUGCAAAUUGAUAUUGAAAUUGACUGUAAAGAAAAGUAAAAGCAAACCAAAUGAGAUGUGUAGCUUUGGCCCUCGAACCAAAUGAAAUAGCAAAUGAAAUAUGAGUAGAGUAACAUAGUAUUGAGAACCUAAAGAAAAGAAUAGUAUAUUGGUUUUUACUACCUCAGUCCCCUCUAUAAAUAAUCAGAUCCCCUUUAUAUAGUAGGGGAGUCCUACUCUUGAUACAAUUCUAAAUAUAGUAAGGAUUCUCAUGAUAAGCUAAUUAAUCGGCCUCUUCUUGAUAUGUGUCGUGAUUUCCGUCGAGAUCCUCCCCUUAAUUGCGGCUAUAACGGCUUUUUUGCUUCUUGGCUCGAUCUUGAUCCUGGCCAAUCUCGAUCUUGGCCGAACUCGAUCUUGAUCGAUCUCUGGGUCUUUGAGCUCGAUCUUGGCCGAUCUCGAUCUUGAUCGGUCUUUGGGUCUCGAGUUCGACAACAUAUACUUCGCACCAUGGAUCAAUAUUACAAUUAUGAUACUUGGGCCAUCAUGUUCCAAUCUCUAUUAAUCAUACAAAGGGAAAAACUCGGUUUUGACCGUAUACAGAUAGUCCCCUCGUUUCUCGGAUAGAAGAUAAUGAGAAACGAUAUGAAUUUCUGAACUCCGACUUAGUUGAUGAUGAUAUCAGCGACGAGCCCGAUUAUGAUAUAUGUAACAAACGUCCCGUCGGUCCAGUUACUAAGGCAUUAAAUUCCUAUCAGUCGUUGGUCGGCCACUACCGGUUCUGAACCGUCAUCACCAGGCUAUAAAUAUUUUCACUUUCAUCCUCAUCCAAACUUUUCACUCAAAAGCUUUUUCUUUACUCUUGCAUCUUCUUCAAAAAUUCCCUUUGCUUUAUACAUUUUACAUCGCAUACAACCCUAAUUCUCAUUCCCUUUGUUCAUCAAUGGCGAAAACCUCUAAAAUGGUGCCGCAAAAGGAGGCCGCUUCUUCAUCGUGACCCGCCGGCAGCGAGGAUGCGAUGGAGCCUCGCCUUGAGGAAUUCGUUCCGGUAGGGUGCUCAACUGUCAUCAAUUUUAAGGUUGAAAAACCUUCUUCGGUACCGGGCCGAUGUGAGCCGAUCUCGAGGUACCAGUGUUCAAUCACCGAGAAAAUUCUCGAUAAAGUAAAAUACGAAUGUAACAGGGGCGACAAGCACGUGGUAGUCCCAUCGCCUGAAGAAUCAGUUACUACCCACGUGGAAGGGUUCUUAAGUGUUUAUACUUAUCCUUUCACGCUGGGUUCAUUAGACCCCGUCAUCGUCGCCUUUUACAAGAGAUACGACGUGACCCUUGGCCAAAUCUACCCUUCCUUUUGGAGAAUGGUGAUUCUUCUUCGAUUCUUCUCAAGCAAAAUUGAGGGGUGUCUUUUCACCCUCGAUCACCUUAUACGCCUUUAUAGUCCCCGACUCUAUCGAGGAGGGUUAAUCAAGAUUGCUCGCCGAGCCACCAAAGCGUCAUUCUCGAGUAUAGACGAGACUCGUGAUCAUGGUUGGAUGGGCCGAUUUGUUCGAGUCAGAACCUUGGACUUAAUCUGUGCCGAUGACAUGCCGUUUCCUAAGAAAUGGAAUAUGAACCGUGAAUACUUAUUUCCCUUCGAGCGUUUUAAUUUAUGACAGCCUUCUAUUUUCUUGAUCCACUUUUUCUUUCUUGUUACAGUCAUGGAUCGGAUGCCGGAACCGAUUCCGGGUCUUUAAUAAUGGGUUGAAGGUUUGGUGUUACAAAGACUGUACUCCAAGCGCAUCAAAGGGUCGAUGGGAGGCCCGCAGUCAUCGUAAGUCUCUUUCUUAGUUUGUUUGUAAUUUGUUCAUUUUCACUUGCUUACCCCCCUUUUUCCCUUUGCAGGACUUGGGAAGGAUGUUGCCAUAAGGCCCCCAUUUGAUGAUGAAGAGGUCCCUACCCCGAAGCAGGUUAAAGAGAAGAAGAGAAAAGAUGCACCGAGUUCCCCGGUCUCAGAAAAGAAAAAAUCGGCGAAGAAAUCUCACAAGCCCGGGGGGACUCCGGUAUCAUGCCUCCGGACUCAAUCCGCCGACUAAGGGAUGAACUUGAAGAAGGAGAAGAGAAAUUAGCCUAUGUACGGGCUAAUGUUGUGAUACAACAAUCCUCUGAAUCGGCGGAGGUAGAUAAGGGAAACCUGGCCAUAAUUCUUGAACAAAGAAAAGCCGAGACUAUCCCUUCUCGAGCUAAGAUGGUUAAAGGGGAGACCGAGGGAAAGCCUUCUCGGGCAGAAAAUGAUAUCUUGAGGGAUGAGCUCGGGGUAAUCAACAUUAGCACUGAUAUCCACGGCUUUCUGGAUGGGCUCGAGUUAGCUACCUCGGAGGAGAUUAUCAGGUUCGGUGGAUUACCGGUGCCGAAUAAAGCAUCAUGGUCGGGCUCUACCGGGUCUUCAUCGGUUCCAAAACUAGUAGACCGAUUCCUGGCCCCGAGUGCUAAUCCCGAUCGUAAGCGGAAGAUAGUGUUCUCCAUCUCGGAGGAUGCCUGAAUUUUCUCUCCCCCUGAGGGGAUUGCUAGUUACCUUCGGUCCUUGGUGACCGAAGAGGAUCAAACCAUGAUGAAUGCGGUAGGACCCGUUUUCCUUUUCAACGAGGCUCAACAUGCUUUGAAUCGAAUAACUUCGAUUGUAUCUCUACCGUUUCUUUUACACUUAGAUUUGUAGAUAAUUCUAACAUCUGUUUCCAUGUUUGUAGGCUUCGGUGUUGCAUCACAAGGCUUUCCUCCGAAUUCGGGAGGAGCAUGGGGCCGAAGUUCGGAACCUCACUGAGAAGAGUGACUCCUACAAACUUCUUAGUGAGAAGCUUCGGGCAGAUUUGGCAACGGCUUGAGAUGAGCACAAGGAAAUAGCUGAGCAGGCAUUCCGAAUUCUUCACGAUAGUGAAGAUGAAUUGGAGAUAACCACUAACGAUCCGAUUCUGCAGGUUUGGCAGAGGCUUGAACAGAUUGGACAACUCAAUUCGCAGGUAGAUGAGCUACUGGACGAGGCAAAAAAAUUCAAAGAUAUAGACGUCCUUGCCUUGAAAAAGGAGGUCGUCCAAGCGCAAUUGGAGUUGGCUGAGACCCAGCUUCGGGCUGCAGAAGAAAAUGCCUCGGUGCAGAUCAAGAAGGUUAAGGAGCUUCAACAUCGAUUGGAUUUGGCCACUUCUAAUAAGGCAGGCUUGGCCGAUGAACUCGAAGUGGCCAAAUCCGAGGUGGCCGAGGCAAAUAAAAGAGUUGAUGCUAAAGUGGCCCAGUUCAGGAUCGAUGUUGAGGUCAAUCAGGCCAAGGCCAAGAGCAUGGUCGAACAUGCUAAAUGGCAGGCUUGGAGGGAAGCUUUCUAGGAGGUCAGUGCUCAGGGCUUCGAUGUUGCGGCCGAAAUUGAAAAUGCCAAGGCGGAGGAAACGAGAGCUCGAAGGCUGGACUUCCCUGAGGAAGACUCCAAGAGCUUGAGCAAAUUUGAGGACGGAGAAAAUCCCGAGGACGCAGCCUCCGAUGAACAUCAAGCCACUUAGGAUAUUAGGUUUCUUGUUUUUCUUUUGUAUCUUUUNNNNNNNNNNNNNNNNNNNNNNNNNNNNNNNNNNNNNNNNNNNNNNNNNNNNNNNNNNNNNNNNNNGUGUUUUUCCUUUGCUUUUCUGUAGUUUACGAAGGUCAAAAAUGCCUUAGCAUAAAAUUGUGUCCGAGGUUUAGACAAUUUGAUUGGAACCAAACUAGUAUAGCCCUUAGGUUUUUCGAUCGAGUGAGUGCUUACUCGAACUCGAAGUAAUAUAGCCCUUAGGAUUUUGUAAGAAAGGUUGUUUAUGGCUUUCUCCCCUUUUCGGCUUGAAAAGGUUUUUUAUCAUUUGUAUUCGCAAAAAACUCGUAAUGCCUUGGCUUGAAAUAAGGAAUCGUUCAAGAGUUCGAACAAUUUUGUACUUAUUAGAGAUUUCGAGUCUUGACAUUAUCAAAGUCUUUUAUGAUUUUGCUGGGGGUAACCUUUUUAACUGGUUUAUGAAAGAAUUUGGAGGCCUGUUUUGUUACGAAAUUUGGACGUCUCCGAUCCGUGUUAAUUCGGUCGUAGCCUCUUUAGUUCGGGAUUUUGCCCCUUGGGCUUAUUUUCCCGUUUUACUUCGAGCUUGCCCGAAGUUGGCCGUGGCCUAUAAAAAUCGAGGGUUGCCUAAAAAGUCUUAUGAUCUCAGAGUUUUAAUAAUUCGAUCUCGUUUAUUUUUCGGACGGCAGUUCCCGAGCGUGGGGGUAAUUAUCCGAACUCUGAUUAUGGUCAGCCCUUAAGCCUAUUUACAUAAUAGGUCGAGAGUAUGGAAUUGUAAAGAAAAAUACUUUUCUUUAUAAAUGAUAAUACAUGCAUACAUGUUAUAUUCCAGGGCUCGAGCAAACUAUGCGGGCACGGUUCGUUUGACCGUUUGUCCCUUACAAAUUUUUCCUAUCGAGACCCUGCUGCCAUGAAGUAACUUUCUCGCAUCAAAGUUGACAUUCGAGGGCAAUACUCCCAGUGUUCGAGGUUGAUUAUAAAGAAACCUCGGAUACUGUUGAAUUGUUCUAAGUUAGCACAAUCAAUGGUUGCCUCAUUAAAAAUCUCGCCGGAAAACCUAUUUGGGACAAAACCGGUCUAAGGGAAAAAGAGUGCAACACAUGCUUUCAGACCUAAAAGCUUCGUGUCGAAGAAUCCAUUGAUGUUUCUGGUCGAACACCUGCAAAGGUUAGUUUAAAAUAUAAAUGAAAACGGAAAGAGUCGUACCUUAGCAGUAGUAUCUUUUAGGUGCGAUACGUUCCAAUUUCUCGACAGUUAUUCGCCAUUUAUCGUGCCGAGCUUAUAAGAUCCUUUUUCGAUGAUUUCGAGAACCUAGUACGGUCCUUCCCAGUUCGGACCCAGUUUCCCUUCAUUCGGAUUUUGGGUGUUGAGGAUGACUUUUCUUAGCACCAAGUCCCCGAUGUUAAAAUGUCGAAGAUUGGCUCUUCGAUUGUAGUAUCUUUCGAUCUGCUGUUUUUGGGCGCCUAAUUAGACGGGGGCGGCUUUGCGUCUUUCGUCCAAAAAUUCUAGGCUCGUAUUCAUGGCCUCGUUAUUUGACUCCUCUGUUGCAUAUCAAAACCUGAUGCUAGGUUCUCCGACCUUGAUCGGGAUCAGAGAUUCGGUGCCAUAAACUAACGAGAAUGAUGUUGCUCCGGUACUGGAUUUCGAUGUUGCGCCAUAAACCUCGGAUAGUAUUUCUCUCCAUUUUCCUUUGGCGUCGGUCAAUCUCUUCUUAAGAUUUUGGAUGAUGGUUUUGUUGGUCGACUCGGCUUGUCCGUUCCCGCUGGGAUAAUAAGGUGUUGAUAGGAUCCUUUUGAUCUUGUGAUCCUCGAAAAAUUUAGUUACUUUGCUGCCGAUGAAUUGUUUUCCAUUAUCACAAACAAUCUCGGAGGGCAUCUCGAAUCGAUAUAUGAUGUGGUCCCAAAUGAAGUCUAUGACUUCCUUUUCUCUGACUUUCUCAAAAGCAUGUACUUCAACCCAUUUAGAGAAAUAAGCAGUCAUAAACAAAAUAAGUAGAACUUUACCUGGGGCCGAAGGGAGAGGGUCAACGAUAUCCAUUCCCCAUUUCAUGAAGGGCCAUGGGGACAGGACCAAGUGGAGUAGUUCCCUGGGUUGAUGAAUCAUGGGCACAUGCCUUUGGCAUUUGUCACAUUUUCGAAUGAACUCCCUUGCAUCCUUCCCCAUAUCAGUCCAAUAGUACCCUGCUCUGAUUACUUUGUGGACCAGCGAUUCGACACCGGAAUGAUUUCCACAAGUGCCCUUGUGAACUUCUUGUAGGAUGUAGGCGGUAUCUCCUGGUCCCAAACAUAUUGCCAACGGUCUAUCGAACGUCCUUCUAAACAGUGUUCCGUCUUCGGACAAAGUGAACCAUGCUGCCUUUGUGCCCAAAGUUCUCGACUCCUUUAGAUCCGAUGGAAGCUUCCCGUUCUUUAAGUACUCUAUGUACUUAUUUCUCCAAUCCCGGGUUAAACUUGUAGAGUUUAUCUCGGCAUGACCUUCUUCACUUACUGAUCUCAUGAGUUGUAUGACAGUCCCCGAGUUGAGUUCGUCAUCCUCGACCGGCGAACCUAAGUCUGCAAGAGCGUCGGCCUCGCUGUUCUGUUCUUGAGAUACAUGUUGCAAGGUCCAUUCCUUAAAUUGAUGUAGAGUCACCUAUAGUUUAUCUAAGUACCUCUGCAUUCGGUCUUCUCGGACUNNNNNNNNNNNNNNNNNNNNNNNNNNNNNNNNNNNNNNNNNNNNNNNNNNNNNNNNNNNNNNNNNNNNNNNNNNNNNNNNNNNNNNNNNNNNNNNNNNNNNNNNNNNNNNNNNNNNNNNNNNNNNNNNNNNNNNNNNNNNNNNNNNNNNNNNNNNNNNNNNNNNNNNNNNNNNNNNNNNNNNNNNNNNNNNNNNNNNNNNNNNNNNGACCUGCAAUCAUGGCCCCAUACUCGGCCUCAUUGUUAGUCAAUUUUGUAGUUCUGAUAUGCUGUCUAAUUACAUUACCUGUGGGUGAUUUUAGUAUGAUGCCUAGUCCGGACCCCUUCACGUUCGAAGCACCGUCCGUAAAGAGGGUCCAGACUCCCGAAGAUGUAUAUGAUUUUAUCAGUAAUUCUUUUUCAACCUCAGGUACGAGGGCCCACGUAAAGUUAGCCAAGAUUGAGACUUGAUGGUGGUUCGGGGUCGAUACUCAAUAUCGUACCAACUGAUUUCUACGGCCCAUUUGGCCAAUUGACCCGAAAGCUCGAGUUUAUGCAAAAUAUUUCGAAGAGGAUAAGUUGUUAUGACACAUAUUAGAUGACAUUGGAAAUAUGGUUUUAGUUCCUAAAGGCGCUUAUUAAAGCAGGCGCUAAUUUUUCUAAGUGUGGAUAUCUAGUUUCGGCCUCAUCUAAGGUCCGACUAACAUAAUAGACAGGGAACUGCGUAGCUUGUUCUUCUCAGACCAGGACUCCACUUACUGCUAUCUCCGAGACUGCCAAGUACAGGUAAAGUUGUUUGUCCACUUCUGGGGUGUGAAGCAGCGGUGGGCUCGAUAAAUACCGCUUUAGUUCCUCUAAGGCCUGCUGGCAUUCCGGAGUCCAUGCAAAAUUGCUCUUCUUCUUAAGCAGCGAGAAGCAUCAGUGGCUCCUAUAUGAGGAUCUCGAAAUGAAUCGUCCUAGGGCGGCUAUCCGCCCCGUCAGCCUCUGCACGGCUUUUACAUUAUUCACUACCGUGAUAUCAUCAAUAGCUUUUAUUUUAUCGGGGUUGAUCUCGAUUCCCCGGUUGGACACCAUGAAACCAAAAAACUUCCCCGAGCCAACUCCGAAUGCACACUUUUUGGGGUUGAGCUUCAUAGUGUACUUCCUUAAUAUAUCGAAAGUCUCCUGCAAAUGCUUUAAAUGGUCCUCUGCUCGCAGGGACUUAAUUAACAUGUCAUCAAUAUAAACUUCCAUUAGUUUUCCUAUUUGUUCUUCGAACAUUUGGUUUACUAGGCGUUGAUAAGUUGCACCAGAAUUUUUUAGACCAAAUGGCAUUAUAUUAUAACAGUAGGUGUCGUACUUAGUGAUAAACGANNNNNNNNNNNNNNNNNNNNNNNNGGCAGGAAACGAAUCCUUGGGGCAUGCUUUAUUCAGGUCUUUAUAAUCUAUACACAUUCUAAGUUUGUUUUCCUUCUUAGGGACUACCACUACGUUUGCUAACCAUUCGGGGUACUUUACUUCCCGAAUGGAUCCUUUUGAGAAGUUUGGUUACCUCGUCCUUGAUGAAGGCAUGUUUUGACCUCGGACUGGGGCCUUCAUUUUUGCUUUACCGGGCGGAAUUUAGGGUCCAGGCUUAGUUUGUGAGUGGUAAUUUCUACUGGAAUCCCUGUCAUAUCGAGGUGGGACCAAGCAAAGCAAUCUGUGUUAGCUUUAAGGAAAUGAAGAAGGUUUUUUCCUGAGCUCGAGGGUUAGCCCCGUGCCCAGGUAUACCUUUCGUUCGGGCUGAUGCUUGGCCAGUGUGACUUGUUCCAGCUCUUCAACUGUUGACUUGGUGGCGUCAGAGUCAUUGGGAACUACGAAGGAUCGAAGGAUCCAGUAGUCGUCAUCCACAUCGAUCCCUUGCUCCUGCAAUCGGGUCGAAGGUGGUAUCUGUGGUUGCUAUUUGGCCUCCUGUUUUCCCUUCAAUCCCUUCAUUGAUGAGAGUGCCAAUACCGGUAUUACUUCAUUGACUAAAAACAUUUCCUUGGUGGCGGGUUGCUCCCCGUACACUAUUUUGACUCCCUCCGACGUCGGGAACUUCAGAACUUGGUGAAGGCUCGAGGGUACUGCCCUCAUGUUAUGGAUCCAAGGCAUUCUGAGCUGGGCGUUGUACCUCAUGUCACCAUCGAUCACAUGGAAUUUUGUUUCUUGGAUGGUCCCGGCCACGUUCACUGGCAAAGUAAUUUCACCUUUGGUGGUUUUGCUUGCCAUGUUAAAGCCGUUAAGUACUUGGGCUGCCGGCACAAUUUGAUCUUGUAGGCUGAGCUGUUCCACGACCCUCGAUCGAAUAAUGUUGUCCGAGCUACCUGGAUCAAUCAAAACACGUUUAACUUGAAUUUUAUUCAUAAGGACAUAUAUACCAGUGCGUCGUUGUGGGGUUGUAAGAUCCCCUCUGCAUCCUCGCCAUUGAAAGAUAAGGUCCCUUCCGGUACGUAGUCUCGAGUCCGCUUUUCCCUCGUGAUCGACACCUUGGUGCGUUUGAAUUCGGGUCCCCGAGGAAUAUCAACCCCUCCAACAAUCAUGUGGAUCACGUGUUUUGGCUCUUCUUGGUCAUUCUAUCUAUUUGAAUCUCUGUUCUUGAAAUGGUUUUUUGCCCGAUCGCUUAAAAAUUCUCGAAGAUGCUUAACCCGAUAGAAUGUUUUUUAGCCCGAUCACUUAACAAACGUGCUACAUCCUCCCUCAGUUGUCUGCAAUCUUCUGUUCUAUGACCAUGGGUGCCAUGAUAUUUGCACAUUUGAUUAGGAUUUCUCUGGGCCAGAUCAGUCUGUAGAGGUCGGGGCCACCUGGUGUCUUUGAUGCACCCAAUGGCCGAUACAAUAGCCGAUGCAUCAAUGUUGAAGUUGUAUUCUGAUAGUCAUGGUGCUUCUUUGGGUUCAACAUUUCUAUCGAAACCACUCUUACUCAUGAGCCCUCGAGAGCUCUGUCUUCGAUCAUUUCUUCUAUCAAUUCGAAUGGGGUUGCGUCUAGGCCCAUUGUUUCUCCGAUCUCCACCGUAUGGUUGAUAUCGAUCUCUGUUUGACCGUGAUUACAUACCCGGAAGGAGUCCCCAACUGGUCAUCCCCAACCCUAAUCUUUGACUGGUACCGAUUAUGCACGUCGGCCCAGGUUACAGCUGGAUAUUCGAUCAAGUUCUGCUUCAACUGUUGUGAGGCUACCGAACUUCGUAUGUUUAGGCCCUGAGUGAAUGCCUGAACGGCCCAAUCGUCGGUGACCGGGGGCAGAUCCAUACGCUCCAUUUGGAACCGAGAUACGAACUCCUUGAGCAUCUCGUUGUCUUUCUGUUUUACUUUGAAGAGAUCCAAUUUUCUAGUCUCAACCUUUAUCGUUCCGGCGUGCACUUUGACGAAGGAAUCUGCGAGCAUGGCAAAAGAAUCAAUGGAGUUAGGUGGUAAAUUAUGGUACAAUAUCAUCGCCCCCUUUGAUAAAGUUUCUCCGAAUUUCUUCAGCAGUACAGACUCAAUCUCGUCGUCCUCUAGAUUGUUUCCCUUUAUUGCGCAUGUGUAAGAAGUGACAUACUCGUUGGGGUCGAUAGUUCCAUUAUACUUGGGAAUUUCUGGCAUGCGAAAUUUCUUCAGAAUGGGCUUUGGAGCCGUGCUCGGGGGGAAGGGCUUUUGUACAAACUUCUUUGAAUCCAAACCCUUCAAAAUUGGUGGUGCUCCCGAAAUUUGAUCAACUUGGGAGUUAUAUGUUUCCACUUUUUUGUCAUUCACUUCAAUCUUCUUCUCCCCCGAUUCAAUUCGCUUUGUCAGCUCCUCGAACAUUUUCAAGAUAGCGGGGUCGGUUCCUGACUCAUUCACAUUUGACCUCCCUAACACUUGUUCGGCCCUGUGAACAAUUUCCUGUGAUGGCUCGGGUUCGACCCUACUCGGUGUGUUGUUCUGAUUUUGAAGUUGUGCUAUUGCAGCUUGUUGAGCCUGCAGUUUGUCUUUCUAUAUCUUUGUGUUAUUGACAAAACAUGACUUGUCAAGAAAGUUAGUUGGUGACAUAUAGAAAGUUGGGUACAUGUAGCUUUUUAUUGUCUAUUGCUUUCUAUAAUUUGGACCUCGGUAUUCUGGUUUGCGUAUUUGAUUCAGAGGCUCUUCAGCCAUAUUAUUUUGAUGUUAAAUCAAAAUGAUCAUCAUUUAGAGAACCUAGUUACUUUACGAGAUAUAUAUGAAUUGGCAUAUUGCUCUACAUCCUUGUUUUCUUUAGACAUAAGAGGCUUGAGAAGUAUGAUUGAUACCUUGUUUUGUAAAUUGCUAGAUAGAAAUUUGAUACUCGAUUGAAGUUUAAGUAUUUUUCUUGAGGUGUGUCAAGAGAAUAUACUAUGAGCAGAAGUUAACAUAAUCAGUACUGAGAUAUGCAGAAAUAUGUUUUCAAUUUCUUUAGUCCGCUAAGUCACGCAAUUGAGUCAGUUGUUGGUUAGCUUUAUUUGAGUUUCCUGUUGAAUUGACAUCCAUAUUUACUUUGAGUCUGAUCAACAACUUUUAUGUAUUUUAUGAGUUACAUGGUGUCAUUGCUAGGAGUUAGAGUUAGACUAAAAGAGUGUUUGCUUCUUGUAAACACUCGCCGAAAUUUAACUUUUAUAUGUGAUAUAACUUUUUAUGCAGGGAAUAUGAAUUGGAGCUUCUGAGGAAAGAUAUCUGAGAAAAGAUAUUCCGGGAGAUGAAGAUGAGUUUAAAAAAUUAGUUAAAAAAUCCCCCAAAUAGCAGUUCUGUUUGGUUAAAUAGACAUGACAUUUCUGGUAUUUUUAGCCGAUGUUAAGAAGGCAGACUCAAUGCAGAUUACACCGAGUGCUCAUUCAAAAAUGUUGCAAGAAAUGACUAUGAUUCUUUUUGGAAUUUUAGUUUAUCUGAUGAUGUAAUAUUGAAGUACCUAUACUUAUUUUUUAAUAAUAUAUAUUUUACUUAAUUGAUGGCUUGUAUUUGUGUCAGAAUUAUUCUAUAGUAUUUGACAUGUUUUGAUACAUUUGCAUGAUAAAGAUGAUUAAUUAUAAGAAGAUAAAUAAGUAAAUAAGAUAAUGAAACCUAAUUGUGGCAGUUUUGACUGCCAGUUUAAACAUGUAGUACAUAUGGGAACACAAUUCGGGCGAUUCGGAACCACCGUAUUAUGCAAUUUUGAAACCGCCGCUUUAUCAAAUGUUAGAUUAUGGCAGUUUUUGAAAAACCCCGCAAUAUGUUAUUGGCGAGUGAAAUUCUGGCAUUUAUCGAAAUCGCCAUUUCAGUCUAUUGUGGCGGUUUUAAACCGCCAUUAUACGCCAAAAUAACCGUCGUUAUAACACUGCUUUUUUGUAGUGCGCCUUCUUCGCCGCCCUGUGAGUUCUGACCGGCUGAUCGAACGUCUUUGCGGACGCUAUUUUUGGGGUCGACGCCCAAAUUUGUAUUCAGGGCAACAUAGGAACUGGCGUCGACAGGGUCUGCAACUGGUACUCCCUCGAGGUCAACUGGAAGCACUUUGUUUCCUGGGAUAGCUACGUUGUCGUUUUCUCCAUGAAAACCAAGGCCGUUAUCGAUGUGUGUGGGCACUGCUUGAGAGUUCGACAUGCUGAUCUUGGAAUCAAAAACGCUUACAAAAACAAGUGUAAAGUAGUGUGUGUUAUGAAAAUUAGCACCAGACAAUCACUAUUAUCCUUAGCCCCACGGUGGGUGCCAAACUGUUUAUCCUAAAAACGAAUAACUAUUGAAUGUAUAUGUGGUUUUAAGGACACGUGAUUUUACUUGGCACAAACUGAGAAAAUAUGCAAAUUGAUAUUGAAAUUGACCGUAAAGAAAAGUAAAAGCAAACCAAAUGAGAUGUGCAGCUUUGGCCCUCGAACCAAAUGAAAUAGCAAAUGAAAUAUGAGCAGAGUAACAGAGUAUUGAGAACCUAAAGAAAAGAAUAGUAUAUUGCUUUUUACUGUCUCAGUCCCCUCUACAAAUGAUCAGAUCCCCUUUAUAUAUUAGGGGAGUCCUAGUCUUGAUACAAUUCUAAAUACAGUAAGGAUUCUCAUGAUAGGCUAAUUAAUCGGCCUCUUCUUGAUAUGUGCCGUGAUUUCCGCCAAGAUCCUCCCCCUAAUUGCGGCUAUAACGGUUUUUUUGUUUCUUGGCUCGAUCUUGAUCCUGGCCGAUCUCGAUCUUCAUCGGUCUCUGGGUCUUCGAGCUCGAUCUUGGCCGACCUCGAUCUUGAUCGGUCUCUGGGUCUCGAGCUCGACAACAUAUACUUCGCACCAUGGCUCGAUAUUACAAUGAUGAACCUUGGACCAUCAUGUUCCAAUCUCGAUUAAUCAUACGAAGGACAAAACUUGAUUUUGACCAUAUACACUAAACUGAACUAAAAAUAAGUUAAACAAAUCUAUUAAUUUUAAAAGUCUAUGUAAUUGAUACUUAAUAGACGAAAACAAUUGCCAAAUAAUUAGGAUUUUGGGAAAAGGAAUGAAAGAAGGAAAAUCCGUAAACGUCAAUGAAUGCAAGAAGAGCAAAUUGGGUCAUUUAUUAGGUUUUGAGAUCCAAGGGGAAGCACGUGCUAAAGGGCAUCUAAUAAAGCAAAACUCAUUCGCUUUGGAAGUACUUUUCCCAAAGUAGGCACGUGUCAAGGAUUUGUGACGGCGUCAGAUUUCAGAAUGCCCUCCACCUUUCUAAAUGACCAAAUUAUCCUUCUAAAUUUUCUUUUCUUCCCAACUUUCGAAAUCUCAUUUCGUCGGGAAAAUGUGUCGGUCGGUGCUUUUUUUCAUUUUUUGGGACGGAUAGACGUGCACGCUUUAGUACGGUAGGCAAAUAGCUUUCUAUUUUUUUGUCAAAAAGUUUAGACACGUAAUUUAAGUGGUGUUCUGCAUCCGUCCAAUUUCACAUAGGAUAAAGUACAAACUUAAAUGAAUUGAAAUUUAUAAAUAAAAUGUGUUAAGCAUAUUUUUGUGGUAAUAAAAUCAAAUUAUUAAAGAAAAAUUAUAAAUUUAAAUUCAAAUAAUUUGUAAAUAUAAAAAAUAUCUUUCUUACUAAAACAGAUUAAGAAAAAGUGUUUUGAAUAAAAUGUGAUAGGAGUAGGGGUGUUCAUGAUUCGGUUUGGAUCGGUUUUUUCCUAAAAAUAAACCAAACCAAUUAAGUCGGUUCUUCAAAUAUUGGAACCAAACCAAACCAAAUAUUCGGUUUUUAUUGGGUUUUGUCGGUUAUUUAUCAAUAUUUUUUUUAAAUAUGAGACAUACACUGCCAAACACAUAUUUCGGCGAGUACAUUUUCAACGUAACACUAUCAAACCAAUUGUUCUUUGAGAAAUCUAUCAAUUAUCAAGAUAUAUUGAUGAUAAUUGAAUGAAAUAGUGAUGAAUAAUUUAAUUACCAAUCAAACUAGAAUAUAAAAAUAAAUAUUAGAUUAUUAUAAUAACAAAGAACUAACCUAAAAAUAUAAAUGACUAAUAUGUACCAUAAAAUUUUAGAAACUUUAUAUAUAUAUAUAUAUAGGUAUAAUAAUAAAUUUAAAUAGCUAUUUCUAUAGUCGGUUUGGUUCGAUUUUUUUUCGGUUAUUUUUUUAUUAAAACCAAAACCAAACCAAAUUUGAUCGGUUUUUAAAAUUAAAAACCAAAACCAAACAAAACCUAAAAAGUAUCAGGUUUUUUUGUCGGUUUAAUUCGAUUUUCGGUUUGGAUCGAUUUUUUGGGUUUGUAUAAACACCUGUAGAUAGGAGUAUCAUAUAGUAUUGUAACCAAAAGGUAUUCUAUUUUUGUAUAUUCUUAUAUCGUUUUAGAUAGGAAGCUCUAAUUUCUGAUUGUAGUAUCUAUAUCCGUAUUAUGGAUUUUCUAUUACAGUCCCUUUAAUUGGUAAAACUGUAUUUAUAGUCCAAUACAGUUUUGGCAAUAGCACUAGAACGGUUGCCGCUAUUAUCUCCUCAUACCAACUUUUAGCUUUCAGCAUGUAGUAAACAUUUACUGCACUUUUAUCUUAUAGCUAUUGAAUUUUUUUUUCUGUAGUUGACUCCAAUGAAAUUACAACGACCUUCAUAAUUUACUCUAUAACAGUAAUCACCCUCUAAAAUGAGGAAAACUUGAUCUUUUUCCUAUUGUGUUUGAUGUGCUAUAACACCACAUAUCCUAAGAAUUACCGCAUUUAUCAUAAAUGGCUAUAAGGGAGUACAUGUCCUUUCAAGACCAAAAUAUAUUUUCACUUUUACUUGUUAAUUUCAACAAAUCAAGAGAAUAUUUUUUUUCUUAUUUUACUAUUAAUAUUAACUACUCAUUUCUCAAAUCAUUUUCUAAGACUCCUUAAAAAUUAUCAUUAUUAUGAAUAUUAUGAUAAAAUAUAUACUUUAUUUAUUAUUUUUAAGGAACAUGCUAAGUUAAUUGUGAAUAAGUAAAAGUGAAUGAAGCAGUACUACUUAUCCUUUGUCUAGACUUCUAUUUUCCCUCUAGUUAAUGACCUUUUGGCUACUGAUCAAGGUUCAUUAAAUAUGUUACUACUGACCUGUUGUGUUUGUUGAAUUUUACUCUAAAAGUAAGUUAGCAUUGAUAAGCACAUAUUGACGUAAUCGAAAACCAAUCAUUCAUUUGAGAGGAUAAUCUCCAUCAAUACCUAUCGUAGUGAUUCAAGCUCACAAAAUUAUAUUUAUCCGUAAAACGAUAUAGUUGAAUUUAUACGUGAUUUAUAGACAAAUGAAUUAAUUUGAUCCAAAAAUAAUAGAUGAAUUAGACAGAAAUAUAAGACUUAAUCUUAAAAUCAAAAUAGACGGCAGAUAUCUUGGUUUCGGGCGCAGAGCUACCGGGAGCAAUAAGAACAAUACAAAUAAGCAAGAAGUAAAAUAUUAUUGUACUUUUGAUAGAAUAUAGUGUAUGCUUGUCAGAAAAUUGGUCUCCCUUACAAUGAUAGUAGAGCUCACUAUUUAUAGUUGUACCUAGGGAACAAAGUCCUAGGAUUAAGCUCCUCUUUAAUGAUAAUUAUGAGGGCCAUUAAAGGAUGUGUAAUAACGGGUAGUGAAUGUCAUAUUCUCUGUAACGGAUCAUGCACUUAAUGCUGUAGAAUAUUUUUCAUUGAAUGCCACCGAAUGGCGGCAUUAAUUUUAUCGUUAUGACUAUCAUUCUCUCCGAUGACAAGCGAGAUCAUUGCCUUCGGGUUUAGCUAUCUCCUGCCUUUGGUUCCAUAUGUCUCUUUCUCAUGUGAUCAUUAAAUAUGAACAUAUUUUAUCCCAUACAGAUAGUCCCCCUACUUCUCGAUGGCAUAACUUUGUGUCACCGGAAUAUUGGUAGAAAUAUCUUUUUUGGCGGAAAAUUCUCUGAUCCCCUCUGAAAAGCUUCUGACGGUUGAUUAUACGUACAUUUCUCCGUAUUUAAUGCCCCAAACACGCGUCAUCCCAUGAUUUAGCAUCACUUUUGCCGGUUAUCGAGGUAAUUAUGUCAAUAAUUUUAGCCGCCUAUACCUUUACUUAUACGCAUCAAACCUCUUCAUUUACAUUUCAUAAUUCUCUACACUUCCUCAAACUCUCUUUACUCAAAUCGUACUUUGUCUUUAACCUUUCUUUAACCUUCUUCUUGAUAGAAAAACCUACCCUUAUUUCUGAUAAAAAAUGGCCUCUUCUUACAGAAACCCUAGUUCUUCAAAGAGCAAAGGUAAAGUUGAUGACGCCGUUCCUCUUACGGUAAGCACUAUCAUCCCAGAGAGUCUUGUCACAACCAAAGAUUUUGAAGAGAAGUUUCCUUCUGCUAACACUCGUACGUGGGUCGUGGGGUAUACCCUUCUUCCAUCCGUCCUUCCAGCAUUUCCACUGUGAAAGAAAACUGCAAUUACCAAGAUUUAGAUAUUAUUGCUCCUGAUCUGGCGGAGCCAAUAACUCUACCCAAGAAGGGUUUCACGUAUUUUUAUAUGUAUCCCUUCACUUUGGGGCCAUUCUCUUUGAGCGGGGAGCUUGAUUCCGUUAUUGUGAAAUUUUGCAUCUGUUACCAAGUGUGCAUGGCACAGGUAAGUCCUUCUGUGUAGAGGACAAUCAUUUUGUCUUCGGUGUUUGUGCUAGGAGACGGGAGAUGAGCUAACCCUAGAUUGAUUAAUGAAUCUUUAUUCCCCCAAAAUUUUUCGCAAGGGAAUGAUAAACUUCAGCAAGCAUGGCCACCAUGCCCUACUGGCCAGCAUGGGUGAUGAAAAUGACCGUGGAUGGAUGGAACAGUUUGUUGCAGUUGCCCCCAAGGACAUCAUUCCGGCCAUGGCGUCAUCCUUUUCGGAGUUGUGGAACCGUGCUUGUAAGUCCAUCUUUUAUCCCUUAUUCUAGUUAAAGAUCAUCCCAUGUUGUCACUGAUUCCUUUUCUUUUACUUGUUUUAGCAACUCGGUGGGUUCCACUACAGGUUGAAGGUUUGGACCAGUGGGUCCAAAAGAUUUUGGACGUCACUACGCCAGAAACCCGUACGUGGAAGGAAUUAGCCCUCAAAUACUGAUGGAAGGCCAAAAAUCAUGGUAAAUAAAACUCAAUCUUAUUUUUCCCUUUCAUGUAAGGAAGUUGUUUACACCUUUUUUCCUUUGUUGAACUCAGGUCUAUCCCAGGGGCUCAAUUGUUGUCCCUGAGGAGGAUGUUUUGGAUGAUCCUACUGAUGCAGCGAGGCUGCUGCAGAAAGCCUUUACAAAACAGGUAUUUUUGGACCUGCUUCUGGUGCAAGUGCUUCUUCUCGGAGUCCUCGGUCGGAGAACAAGCAACAAAAGAGGAGACGCUCAUAUGUGGCCGGGGAAAAAAAUAAAAAGGCAAAGAGCGCAUCAGCUGAGUUCUUCGGAUGUUGUGGUGAUGAGCGUUGCGUCCGAGCCGGUCCUAGAAACUAUGGUGAUCGAUGAUGAUGGAGAAGCCAAUGAUGAUGAGGCUUCUCUAUAUAGAAGACGACGACAUUCAUCAACUCAACGGAAUGCUCAAUCUGUUGAGUUAGCUACACCAACCGAGGACGAUGCCUAGGCACUCUAGGGGGAGUUUGAUGUGGUAGAAGAUGCCAACUCACGCUUCUGAGUCCCAGCUGCCGCGCCCGGUACUAUAGGGCUAAGUACCGGGCCUCUUCCGUCUCCUGUUGACGAGCAACCAUUAACCAACACUGCACCUGCCGCAACUGCUUCUCGUCCUACAAUGCCAUCUGCUUCAUCUCCCUCUUCUCCAACUCAACCUUCGCCACCAGCAGCUGCUACAUCAUUUUCGCCAGCCGCAGCUUCCCGAGAGGAGGAUGUCCCUCUUCCCUAGUCCCCAGUUCAUGGGAACCUGGGGCAAAAUUAUGCUGCCCCCUCAGAAGAUCCCCAAAGGAGGAGGAGCGCCAUCCUCUCAAUUUCCACCGGAUGCAAUUUGUUGUUCCGGUCGGUGGAACUUGCUAACUAUCUAAAGCCCCUGGCUUCAGAGAAAGACUAAAACAAGAUACAAGCUCUCUCGGGAGAAGUUUUGUUGAACAAUGCCAUGCACAACGCAGCGGCGGUAUAGUCUUUGUUUUCUUCUAUUGUUUCUUCUACUUGUGUUAUGGCAAAGUUUUGAAUUUGCAUUCUUGUUUUGUAGGCCAACUUCCUUGCCUCUGAGGGUCUUCAAAGGUUGAUUCGUGAUAAGGAGAAUCUUACCUCCGAGCGGGAUUAACUUUCGGCCGAGAGGGGCCAAAUUGUUGCUCGCCUCUCAGAAUUUGAAGCUUGAGUUGCUGAGGCUGUUGAAUUGGCAGCUCGGUUUCAGCAAAGUGAGCAGGAAGUAAUGACCCUUAGCCGAGAGGUUGUCCCAUUAAGGGCACAAUAUGAAUAAACUAAGGCCAAAUGGGUUGAAGUCCAUAUGUCGUCCUUGCUGCAUCCGAUCGUGAGGCUGCCUCUGAUGAAAGAUUGCAUAAUUUGGAGGCAACCUUAAAUUCCAAGGCUGAAGAACUUGCUAUUGUCGAGGAAAAGCAUGCCCGGUUGGAGGAGAAAUAUAAGAAAAUCUUAGAGCGUAAUAAGAUUUAUGGAUCCACUGUCCGUGAUUUUAAUUCCAGCCUCCGAUCUAUGAGAUUCGCGUGAGAUAACCUCUUUACUGAGAUUGACCAGCUUAAAGGAGAACUUCAGCGCCGAACGGCUUCCCUCAUUGUUGAAAAAAUAUAUGCCAUAUAUAGCAUGAGGAGAAAGACCUUGGAAGAGGCUAAAACGGGUGUCAUUGACUUUGAUGCUAAAAUCGCUAAAGCCCGUGAGCUGGAGUUGGCUGCUAAAAGGGGUCUUCCGGCCAGGCGUGAUGCUACCGAUUCUUCUAGUUUCGGUUCUGAGUUCUCGGGAACUGAAGAGGAACCGAAAGGCUAAUGAUGCUGAAAGCCAAAAUGACGAAGGCCAGGAUAUCAAACCGGUGGCAGAUCUAUCUACUUCUCCUGGGGGAGAGGAUGCUUCUCUUCCUCCGGGUUCCGGAGAUGCAACGGAUUAGUCCUUGAUUUCCUUUUCAAAUUUUUGUAUUGGUGCCAUUUGGCACACUUAUCAUAAAUAAAAAUAUGUUUUCGUUCAAGUAUCGUAUAAGUUUCCCUUUCUGCGUACCUUUGUUUAAACAUUUGCGCAAGUUUGCCCUUUGCGUCUUUUUUCGUUUAAGUGUUUGCGCAAGUUUGCUCUUUGCGCCUUUUUUCGCUUAAGUGUUUGCAUAAGUUUUACUGUUUGUGUCUGAUCAUGCAAGGCUUUGGGUGUAUUUUCCCCCGAAAGCAUUUGGAUUCCGGGCAUAAGUUCUUCCGAAAUCAACCCUUUCACGUGAGGGUUUUCAUAAGAGAGGGCCCUAUUAUGUUUACGGUACUCUUAAAGAGGACGUCUCUUGUUCGUUACGGCACUAGCAUUUUAAGUACUUGUUUAACUUUCAAAUGAUAAAAUCAAUACAUCAUUUAGACAAGAAACAAGAUAGGAAUAAAAGGACUUUAAUUUAUUCCUUCCAUUUUCAAAAGUACACAAGCAUUCGUUGUGCUAAAAAGAAACUACCAUUUCUUGUGGCUAACUUGUACAACUUGUUUCAACGGGGCUUGCCAUGCAGUACCCGGUCCCGAUGAUACAACUCUGUUUCCGGGUUUUAUAUUCCAGUCGAAGUGGCAGUCGUUGUUUCCAUAUCCUCAUAUCAUCCCCCCUAGUGUUCAAAUGCGAAGAAUGUGAAUUUGAACACUGGAGUUUCACACCCUCGAGGAUUCCACUAGUGAAUUGCUAGAUAAUUUUCAGUUCGGUAACAAACUUCACUUUCCCUUAAGAAUUUAUGCUAUCGAGCCAAAUAUUAUCUAACAAUCCCCAAGUGAUUUUCACUUUUGAACGGUCGGGUAAUCUCUGUUCGGCAGCAAACUAAACUUCCCGGUAGGAACUUUGCUAUCGAGCAAAAGACUAUCUAACCGCUCCGUAGUGGUUCGUCGCUUGUAUGCCUUGUCAUUAAAAGGUCUUAUUGCUGCUGUUGAAGCUUCCUUUGUAGAAUGCUUUCCGUUGUUGCCUCAUUAAAAACCUUGCCAGAAAAAUCCAAUUGGGACAAAAAACGGACGAAGAGAAAAAGAGUGCAGCACAUACUUUUAGUAUAGGUGAUGUUCAUCAACAAUAUUACCUCUUGAGGUGUGCCACAUUCCAGUUGAUUGGAAACAUUUCUCUAUCUUGAUUCUCUAACUCAUAUGACUCUUUCCCGGUGAUAGCUGAAACCUGGUAAGGGCCUUCCCACGUUGGACCCAACUUUCUCGCAUUGAGUUUCCAGGUGUUCUGAGUUACUUUCCUUAAAACCAAGUCUCCUACUUUGAAGUAACGGAGGUUGGCCCUUUGAUUGUAAUAUAUCUCUAUUCGCUGCUUUUGAGCUGCCAUCCUUAUAUGCGCCAAGUUCAUGCGUUCAUCAAGCAGCUCCAAAUUGACUAACAUUGCUUAAUUAUUUGCUUCUUUGUUUGACCGGAAAUAUCUCAUGGUAGGUUCACCUACUUCCACCGGGAUUAUGGCUUUUGCCCCGUACACAAGAGAAAAAGGAGUCUCUCCCGUGCUUGAUUUGGCUGUUGUUCGGUAUGCCCAUAGUACGUCUGGAAGCUCUUCGGGCCAUUUUCCUUUAGCUACUUCUAAUAUCUUUUUGAGAUUUUAUAUGAUCACUUUGUUCGCUAAUUCUGCUUGGCUGUUUGCGCUCAAAUGAUAAGGUGAUGAUGUGAUCCUCUUGAUUUUCAAAUCUUCGAAGAAUUUUGUGAUUUUUGCGCCUAUGAAUUGUGGCCCAUUGUCGCGGGCUAUUUCUUUUGGUAUCCUAAAUCUGCAAAUUAUGUUCUCCCAUAAGAAAUCUACUACUUCACGUUUGCCGAUCUUCUGAUAAGGACCUGCUUCAACCCACUUAGAAAAAUAGUUAGUUAAAAUCAAAAGAAAUCAUACCUUAUCGGGGGCCGGUGGAAGCGAUCCGACGAUAUCCAUUCCCCAUUUCAUGAACAACUAUGGUGAUAGAACUGAGUGCAGUGGCUUUGCCGGUUGAUGUACCAACGGUGUAUAAUGUUGACAUUUGUCACAUUUUUGAACAUAUGCUUUGGCAUCUUGUUCCAUCCGGAGCCAAUAGUAUCCUGCCCUUAUUAAUUUUAGUACUAAGGAAUCUGCGCCCGAGUGGUUCCCGCAGAUCCCUUCGUGGACUUCUCGCAUAAUAUAGUUAGCCUCGUUGGCUCCCAAACAUCGGACCAACGGGCCUUGAAAAGAUUUUCUGUAUAAUUGACCUCCUUUGAAACUAUAUUGUGCGGCCUUAGUUCGCAGCGCCUGAGAUGCCUUAGGAUCCUCAGGCAGUUUUCCGUGUUUGAGAUAGUCAAUAAUUUUGUUUCUCCAGUCCCAGACCAAAUUAGUCUCGUUUACCUCGUAAUAGCUAUCUUCGUCCAAAACCGAGUGCAUAAGCUGUAUGAACGUACCGUAGUUCGAUCCUUUCAUUUUUCGUGGACGAGCUAAGGUUAGCUAAUGCAUUUGCUUCUGCAUUUUCUUCCCUCGCGAUAUGCGUGAUUGAACACUCCCGGAACUGAGCGAGUAGAGCCUGAACCUUCAUUACGUAUUGUUGCAUGCAUUCCUCCUUGGCAUCGAAGAUCCCGUAGAUCUGAUUAACCACCAGCUGGGAGUCACAUUUGAUUUCUAUGACUUCGGAGUCCGUUCCUCGGGCCAUUUCGAGCCCUGCAAUCAAAGCUUCAUACUCCGCGUCAUUUCUAGUCAGCAGGACCGUUCUUAUAGCCUGCCUUAAGGUUUCCCUCGAGGGCGUGGUUAGUACUAUGCCGAGCCCGGACCCUUUUACGUUGGAAGCUCCAUCCGUGAAUAGGGUCCAAACUCUUGAUGUAGAUUCUUCCACCAUCACUUCUUCUUUGGUUGCCAAAGGUAACAGUCCCGGACUGAAAUCGGCCACAAAGUCGGCCAAAACUUGUGACUUAAUCACAGUCCUAGGUUUAUAUUCUAUGUUAAAUUCACUCAUUUCAGCGGCCCAGUUGGCCAGCCUACCUGAAAGUUCGGAUUUAUGAAGGAUAUUCCACAGGGGAAAGGUGGUCACCACAGCUAUCGGAUGACAUUGGAAGUAAGGCCUUAGUUUUCGAGCGGCGACUACGAGAACUAAGGCCAAUUUCUUUAGAUAUGUGUAGCGAGUUUCUGCUCCCGUUAAAAGUUUACUAACUUAAUAGAUAGGAGAUUGCAUACCUUCAUCCUCACGGACUAGAACAACACUUACCGCUACCUCCGAGACUGCUAAGUAGACCAACAGUUUUUCGCCUUCCUUCGGUUUCGAUAACAACGGAGGACUUGACAAAUACCUUUUCAAAUCCCUCAACGCUUGUUGACAUUUCGUGGUCCAUUCGAAGUUCUUCUUCUUUUUGAGUAGCGAGAAAAAAUGAUGGCAUUUCUCCUAAGACUGUGAAAUGAAUCCACUCAAAGUGUCCAACCUCCCCGUUAGCCUCUGAACCUCUUUUACGCUUGAUAGCUAGUCCGGGAUGUCUUCGAUGGCCUUGAUUUUAUUGGGGUUAACCUCGAUCCCCCUUUGUGACACUAGAAAUCCCAAGAACUUACCGGAGUUGACCCCGGAUGCACACUUCUCAGGGUUAAGCUUCAUGUUAUGCUUCCUUAAGAUGUAAAAAGUUUCUUGCAAGUGUUUGAGAUGAUCACCUGCGUUUAAAGACUUAACAAGAAUAUCAUCUAUGUAAAAUUCCAUGUUUUUCCCUACUUGCUUUUCAAACAUCUUGUUCACGAGCCGUUGAUAAGUGGCUCCGUCUUUCUUUAGCUCGAAGGGCAUCACAUAGUAACAAUAUGUGCCAAAAUUCAUGAUGAACGAAGUUUUUUCCUGAUCCUCCGGAUUCAUUUUGAUUUGAUUGUAUCCGGAGUAAGCAUCGAGAAAACUCAUUAACUCGUGCCCGGCCGUUGCAUCAAUCAUUUGAUCAAUAUUUGGAAAUGGUAAAGAAUCUUUUGGGCAUGUAUUAUUUAAGUCCUUAUAGUCUACGCACAUGCAAAAUUUAUUCUUCUUCUUUGGAACUACUACUAUGUUAGCUAGCCAGUCAGGAUACUUUACCUCUCGGAUUGAACCGAUAUCAAGUAGGCGAGUUGCCUCUUCCUUGACGAAUUUAUUUCUAGCCUCGGUAAUAGGACUUUUUUUUGUCUUACUGGAGGAAUGCUGGGAUCCAAGCUUAGCUUGUGUACGGCCACCUCGAGCAGGAUAACUGUCAUAUCCGCAUGCGACCACACAAAACAAUCGACAUUAAAUUUAAGAAAUUCAAUAAAACCAAAUCUGAGUUCGGGAUGCAGUCCUGUUCCCAAGUGGAAUAUCCUCUCCAAGAAUUUCUCGAACAAUGCAACUUGAUCAAGUUCUUCUGCUAUGGACUUUAUUGUGUCGGUAUCCUCUAGUACCUGGAAAUACCUUGGCACCUGAUGGGAUUUCGAUGCCCCUUCCCCCUGGUUGACUUCGCUUGGCUCGGGAAUAGGCGCCGACUCCUGUAAUUGCUAUGCCGCAUGCUCCUUCCCUUUGCUACUGGAGACUGAGAUUGCAUUCAUCUCCUUUGCUUCCGGUUUUUCACCUCUUAUUUGUUUAACUCCCUCGGGAGUUGGAAAUUUCAGCAACUGGUGAUAUGUUGAUGGCACAACCUUCAUUUCGUGUAGCCAUGGCCUCCCUAUGAUGAUAUUAUAUCCCAUAUCUCCGUCCACUACCUCUAAAAGGGUCAUCUUCAUCACUCCCUCGACAUUCGUAGGCAGGAAGAUUUCUCCCCGGGUUAUCACGCUUGCCAGAUUGAUCCGGCGAGGAGUUUUGUGGAGGGAAUGAUACUUCCCGUGAGCUUGGCUUGCUCCAACACUCUCCAUUAGAUGAUAUUGGCCGAACUUCCUGGAUCCACCAGAACACUUUCAAUCUUGAAAUAUAAGACAUUUAGAGAAAUUACCAGGUCGUUAUGCGGUAGCAGCAGUCCAUCAACGUCUCCCUACGUAAAAGUGAUGUCGUCUUCAGCAACUUCCUGGAGUCUUUUGUUGUGGGUCACUGACACUUUCGUCUUUUUCGCCGCCGAAAAUGUAACCCAGUUGAUCUCGUUCCCCUCUAAAAUCAUAUUGAUCACCAGGCGUGGGGGAUCUUCUCCUGCUUUUGAAGGCUCUACAUUAUUACAAUUGCGACCGUAGUUGUUUUUAGCCCCGUCGCUCAAACAUUCCCUGAGAUGGCCGUUUUUCAGCAAUGUCGCCACCUCUUCGCGCAAAUGCCGAUGGUCCCUAGUCCGGUGACCAUUUGUCCAGUGGUAUUCCCACCACAAAUUAGGAUCUCUCUGGUCGUGAUCAAAUCUCAUUGGAUUCGGUAAUCGUGCUUCUUUAAUAUUCCUUAUAGCCGAUACCAGCUCCAUUACGCUGACGUUGAAGUUGUAUUUGGAAAGUUUGGGGUAGGAAGAAUUCGACGUUUCCUUGUUCUGCAAUGACCUGUUGUUCCGGCCGUGACCGAUUCUCCUAUCGAUAAUGAAUCUAUCCGCCGAUCGAAAACCUCUACCACGUCCUUCGGCCCAUUCAUAGCGCAAAAAUUAACUCCUCGAAGACCGUCGAUCCAUAUCAAAACUGUCUUUCGAUUUCUCUUUAUUUUUCUCCCGGUCCCGAACUUUAAUUGACGUCGAGAAACCGAGCUGAUCAUCUUCAAUCCUUAUUUUUGACUUGUACCGAUUGUAAACUUCUGCCCAAGUUGUUACUUGAAACUCGAGCAAACUUUUCAUCAACUUCCAAGAAGCGUCGGAACUUCCUGGAUUCAGACCUUUGGUAAAUGCUUCGGCUGCCCAUUCGUCCGGAAUGACUGGUAGCAACAUCCUUUCCUUUUGGAACCUCGUUACGAACUCCCGCAAUAACUCAGACUCUUCUUGCACAAUCCUAAAUAUAUCGGCCUUUCGGACCUCUACUUUUCUGGCCCCAACAUGAGCCUUGAUGAAAGAAUCCGCGAGCAUCUCAAAUGAGUCUUUGGAAUGCUCAGGCAAAAGCGAAUACCACGCCAGCUUACCCACUCCCCUUUCCCCCAUUGCUAUGAGCCUUGCCCUCUUGACUUGAUAUGUCAAGAAGACUACAACCGAUAGUGGAUCAACUUUUGCUUAAAAAGCCCCCCAUCUCAUAUAUAUGAUAAAGGAAGCAGGCUGUUUUUAGCUUCUUUUUUUUUUCUAGGGUCUAUGGUCUCUCUUAGUAAGAGUCUCCCCGAAUUUCUUCAGCAAAACGGACUCAAUCUCGUGGGGAGCUAAAUCAUUUUCCUUCACCGUCGUUGUAUAGGUGGUGAUAUGCUCCUGAGGAUCCGAAGCUCGUACUUACAUCGGCACGUCUUGAAUUUUAAACUGCUUCAGGAUUAGUUCUGUGCCGCGCUUGGUUUGUACGACAAUUAUGUGUACUUCUUUGAGUCCGGCCCUUUCAGCACUGGUGGUGCGCCCUGAAUUUGAUCCAUUCGGACAUUUACUUCCCUCAUAAAUUGCAUGAGUUUGAUUUUAAAGGGAUCACUUUCAUUGUUGUGAUUGAAUCCGUUCCCCCAGCCCCAUCGGAGCCGACCUCGCCCCUCGGGGUAUUAUUAUCGACCCUCUACAUCAUUUGUUUUUUGGGAGGACCGGGGAGAACUGGACCUCACCCAUUCGCGUUGUUGACAUUCCGUCAUAACCUUAUCCUGCCGUGUGAGAUGGCCUAUAAUGGCCUCUUGUUGCUCUUGCAAGACCCUGACUGCUUUGAUGACGUUCUCUUCUUCAGCAUCAUCAAGGGUUGCCUCCCGAACAUGUCGCGGAUAUCGGUCGCCGUUGUCUGGCUUGGUCUCGUUCCCCUCGUUGCAUGUAUUACUGACUGAAUUCUUGUGCUGAGGCUGAUUUCUUUGGGCCUCAACGUUGUGUGUAUUGUUAACACCAUUAUCUGCCAUUUUUAAUGAUUUUUACUAAGAACAAAGAAUUAAACAAGUUAGUAACAGAUGCAGGGAUCAAUUCAAUUGCACGACUGUCUAUGCCCCACGGUGGGCGCCAAACUAUUUACCCGUAAAAUGAUACAGUUAAAUUUAUACGUUAUUUAUAGACAAGUAAAUAAAUUUGAUCCAAAAAUAAUAGAUGAAUUAGAUAGAAAUAUAAGACUUUUCCUUAAAAUCGAAAUAGAUAGCAGAUAUCUUGGUUCCGGACGCAGAGCUAUCGGGACAAUAAGAACAAUACAAAUAAUCAAGAAAGUAAAAUGUUAUUGAGAUUCUGAUAGAAUACAGUGUAUGCUUGUUAGAAAAUUCGUCUCCCUUACAAUGAUAUGCUUGUUAGAAAAUUCGUCUCACUAUUUAUAGCUGCACCUAGGGCAAGGUCCUAGAAUUAAUUUAAUGACAAUUACGAGGGCCAUUGAAGGAUGUGUAAUGGCGGGAAGUGAAUUCCAUAUUCUCUGUAACGAAUCAUGCACUUAAUGCUAUAGAAUAUUCUUCAUUGAAUGCUAUCGGAUGACGGCAUAAUUUUAUCGUUAUGAGUAUCAUUCUUUCCGAUGACAAGCGAGAUCAUUGUCUUCGGAUUUAGCUAUCUCCUGCCUUCGGUUUUACGUGUCGUUUUCUCAUGCGAUCAUUAAAUAUGAACAUAUUUUACCCCCACACAAACCCCUUUUUAGAUCCUUGGUUUCUUAGCUUUGGAGUACCUAUUAGUAUGUGGUAAACGAUAUCAAUUUACACUAGUUAAUGUCGUUUAAUGUAAGGUUUAAGUUGUAUACACUAAUAGUAUAGAAAUUAUUUACACAACCAUGCUAUUUAUUAGGCAAUUGCAUAUAAAUUUGUUUAUCACGCACUAAUUUAUAAUCUUGUAAAAACGGUAACUACCUUGCUAAUAUGUAAAUUUGCUAAUAGUGUAAUAAAAGUUUUAUGCUCUUAGUGCAAAUAGCUUAACUCUUAAUUAACCAUCUUUUAUUAGGAAAAGUAACACCAUCCUCUUAAUUUGAGUUAUGGUAUGAUGAUGGGUGCACAUGACUUUACAUCUUGUUUGGAUGAUUGUUAGUCACUGUAUCGUAUUGUAUUGUUAUCCCAUAACAAUAUUUGUUUCGAUUGUUUCAUUAAAAUUAGUUGUAUUGUACUGUUAAAUCUAUUGUUCUGGAACAAUGAAAAGUCUCAUUUUUUGAAUCAACCGAUUUGAUGUGCUGGGAUUAUUUUCUAUUUUUCUUUCCAAUUAUGUCCUAACUUAUUACUCUAUAAUUUUAUUUUUCCCUUUACCUUUUUUUAUUUUUAUUUUAACUCCAAAUCUCCAACCUAUAACCUACUUUGCCAUCGUCCCUUUUUUUUUUUCUACAACUUCUGCUGCUUCCAACUAUAACGUCAAAGGUGUUUUGCCUUCUUUUGUUUUCUCCUAAUUUGAUUUUAUCUCCAAUUCUAAUUUAUCUUUGUUCUAAUAGUUCUCGUUCCUUUCUUUAUCAUAGUUCUUUAACAUUUUAUUUAUUAUUAUUUAUUAUUAUUAUUAUUAUUAUUAUUAUUAUCUAGUUAGGAAUGGAGUGUACUUAUUAUUGUUUUUAAUAUUAUUAACUUGUUCCACUAGUUUUGUUAGAAUUUGCAUGAAUUUAAUUGCUUAAUCUAUUUAUAAGACAUAUUUGGUAAUAAAUUAGUAGAAAGAGAUUUUUUAAAAUUAUUUUUUUGCGUAAUUCAUGAUAAAUUUAAUAUUUAAAUAAUUAAGGGUAUUUUAGUAAACUUAUCGGUUACAGUACAGUACGAUACAGUCAAACCAAACAGCAAAAUGUUAUUUAACAAUAGCAAACAAUACAAUCUAUCCAAAUGUUGUAUUUAUAAAACGAUACAAUACAAUACAUUAUAAAACAAUAGGUAAUAAUGAUCCAAAUAGAGUGUUAGUUCAAAUUCAAAAGACUAGUGGUCUAGGAGAAAUGAGAAUGAAAGAAAUAAAUUUGAAAUUCAGAUCAAUUUAUUUGAAAAUAAAUUCUCUAGUAAUUCAAACCCCACAAGUCAAAGAGAAGUGGGACAGUUGGGUAAAAUUUAAACUAUUGCAAUGUAAUUUUCACCGUGUGUCCUUUACACAACGGGAGAGAAAAGAAACCUUUUCUUCUACAACACUGUCAUUACUACCCUAUCAUCUUCUGCCUCUACAAUAAAACGCUCGCAUAUGUUUUUUCUUUUUUCCUUUUUCCAAAUCUCCCAGGAAUAUCAUUCCUCUCCAUUCCAUUGUAAUUUCUAAAAGCAUCUACGAAAUUCCCUAGAGAAAAAGGGUUGUUCAUAUUGUACUAAUUGGUGUAUUCUACAAAGAAACGUAUAGGAGUACAUUUUUUUUUUCUUCCAUUAAUCGCUUUUUCUGAAAUGGGGUUUCUUUGAACUGGUUGUAAAUUACAAUGGACUUAAAGAAACUUUCAUUUUCUGAUCAAUUUUCUUACUUGGGUUCUUCUCCAAGAUGGAAGGUAGUUGUUUCUGGCUUUGGUUUGUUUCUUGCGUCUUCUUUCAUUUUCCUUUGUAUUUUACUGUUGAAUUAUUCCUUCAAGUCUCCAUUUUUAAGCCCUGUUUUUAGUGGUUUUAGUUAUAGUGAUAAUAGUACCCUCAUUUCUUGGCCAUUCUCUUCUUCUAGUAAUGUUAGUACUACUAGUGUUAGUUUUAGUUCUAAGGGUUCUCAUCAUUCUUUAGUAGUGAAUGGAACAAUUGAAGGAAGCAUACAUGAAGGGAACUUGUCUCAGAUUGUGAAAAAUGGAAAUCUUAAUGUUGAAGAAUCAGGGAUUACUAAGAAAAGUCAUGAAUUAAAUGGUUCUCAAGUUGAUGGAAGUGGGAAUUUUUCCAAUUUUUCUGGGAAAGGAACAGUUUUGGGGGAAAAGGGGGAAGUUUGGGGAAAUACCCAUGUGGGGAAUUUCUUUGAGAAUGUGAAAAAUGGAAGUUUUGUUGUUCAAGAAUCAGGGAUUCCCAAGAAUACCCCUCAAUUGAAUGGGACACACAUUGAUGGAGAUAUAACAUUUUCCAAUUUUUCUGGUGCUAGUGAUAGUGGUUCUGUAAAUAGUAAUGUGGGCACUCCUACUUAUGUUGAGGAUGUUGGAUCAAAUGGUGAAAGAAAAAAAGUUGCAGUGACUGAAGGUAAAGGGGGUGUAUCUGUGGAGCAGUUUGGUGGAAUUGGUUCAAAUGAUGGAAAAUCAUUGACUGGACGCGGCAAGGACUUUUAUGGGGAUUGUGAUAUAUUUGAUGGCGAAUGGGUUAGAGAUGACACGAAGCCACAUUAUCCUCCAGGUUCUUGUCCUAUUAUUGAUAGAGAUUUUGAUUGUCACCUUAAUAAGAGGCCAGAUGAUGGGUAUAUCAAGUGGAGAUGGCAGCCAUAUGCAUGUGAUAUACCGAGGUAAGAGUAACUAGUAAAUAAUCCUUCCCUUGGUGAAGGUCUUAUUCUGAGUUAUAAUAUUAUAUAUUGACUAUGAAUUAGAACGUAGGCUUUAGAAACCCUCAAUCAUGGAUAUUGCUAUAAUGUAUAGAGGUGAUACUUCAAAUUUGACUUUUGCCUUGAACUUACUGAACAAGUGUUGUGGAAAUACCUAAGGCAGAACAUAGAACCCUGUAAUUCCAAUGCUACUUGAAACACUAUAAUGUAUUUUCUGAUCAGUUGAUCCAGUAUGUUUCAAUUGCUUGUAAGUUUCUUAGGGGUGAUAUUUGUUGACUAUAUCUUGUGUGAAGUUUGAGUGCACACCUUCGAAUUGAACGUUUGACAUUAUUCACAUUGCUACUGGAACUUAUUUGAUUUAGAUAGUCUAUUUUGCUCAUUGAGUUAUAUUAGUCAGUUAAUUGAUUUUACUUUUUCACUUACUAGCCUCAAUGCAACUGAUUUUCUGGAGAGAUUGAGAGGGCAAAAGCUUGUUUUCGUGGGGGAUUCUUUGAAUAGGAACAUGUGGGAGUCCCUUGUUUGCAUUCUUCGCCACAGUAUCCGAGAAAAAAAGCGAGUUUAUGAGAUAUCAGGGAGGCAUGAAUUCAAAAAGAAGGGCUUCUAUGCAUUCAGAUUUGAGGCAAGACUUACCUAACAUCUUUCUGUGAGCUGCGAAUUGCUAUCUCUGUUUCCUUGUCAUCUUAUCAUGCUGUGACUUGCUUGCAGGAUUAUAACUGUUCUGUGGACUUUGUUAGCUCACCGUUUCUCGUCAGACAAUCAGCUUUUAAGGGAAAGAAUGGUCCUUUCGAGACACUAAGAUUGGAUUUGAUGGAAAAGACUACUUCAAUGUAUAGUGACGCUGAUAUAAUAAUCUUCAACACUGGUCAUUGGUGGACUCAUGAGAAAACCUCCAGAGGGUUAGUGCUGUAUUUUAUUUCUAAGGCUUCUUCUUUAUGGAGCUGUAUUGUCUUGUUAUUUCUUUUCGUAAAAGCUGGAUAUUGCAUGUCAUUGUUGGUUGAAAUAUGUAAAGUUGUGCUCUUUGUGGGAUUGUAGGGAAGAUUACUACCAGGAAGGUAAUCAUGUGCAUGCUAGGCUCAAGGUUUUAGAGGCGUACAAGAGAGCGCUUUCCACUUGGGCAAGAUGGGUGGAUAAGAACCUUGAUGGAAGCAGAACUCAAAUUAUUUUUAGAGGAUAUUCCGCCACUCACUUCAGGUACAAUUCUUUCUUACAUGUUAAUUUAGCUAGAACUCUAAUGGAGGAUGUCAUGAUCAGGAAUUCUACUUGUAACUUAUAUGUUGCAUUCCUUUGGUAUUGAGGUGUUCUUAAGGAAUCUUUUGUUUGAAAGUGGGCGUGAACAAGUUGAAUUGUAAUCCUUUUGUCCAAGUGCCAGGAGUCAUACACUUAACUGACAUUGUGGCUUGGAUUAAUCAACAUGUGUCGGUUAUGAGCUGAUGCCAUGUAUUUACUGUGUAUUCGGUUCUUAACUGACUGCAAACAUUGAAUAUUAGGGUAGAAAUUAGGGAAGUCCCGAGGUUACUGGCCGGGACAAUAUUUGUAUAGUAUAUUUCCAUACAUCGAAGGACCAAAAAUGCUGUGUAGCAUUUAACAGAACCGCUUCAAGUUUCAGAGGCUAAAGAAUAGAAUCAAUGUGGAUGUUGCAAAGAACAUAACAGAAUGCAAGCAAAGGAUCCAUAUAGGCGAUGCGGGAUGAGGACUUCGAGAGAGGUCUGGGAAGGUUUUCUCUAAAAAUGAAUGUUCUCCUGUGUUGCUAGUAGUCUUGUUUUGUGGUUAGAUGAAGGUAUAUGUUGUCAAGUGAGAUGGUCAAGUACUUGUGCUGGCUGCAAACUUACUGGCAGUAGAAGAAUGAUUGCUUUAAAUAUCAACUAGUAGCAAGAUAUGUUGAUUCCUUCAAAAUUAGAUAAGGUAGCACAUUUUUUUUGGAAUUCUUUUCUUUCAUUUACAUGUACUCUCCGAUGGUGUUGUCUCAUAUAGAAACUAGCAUGCUAUCAAUUUUGUUACAAUGAUCGUUCUCUUAUCCAUGUUCAUAAACAGUUUUAUGCUGUUUUACUCAGGGGAGGUCCAUGGAACUCAGGCGGGCAGUGCCAUAAAGAAACGGAACCAAUAUUCAAGAAGGCUUAUUUAAAAAAGUACCCUUCAAAGAUGAAAGUCCUACAUCACGUGCUUCAUAAUAUGACGACCCCUGUCAUCUAUAUGAACAUUAGUAGGCUCACAGACUAUAGAAAAGAUGGUCACCCGUCGAUAUACAGAAAGGAGUAUAAGACAGUAGAAGAACAAAUGGCGGGAGUGCACGCUCAGGAUUGCAGUCAUUGGUGCCUACCAGGAGUACCGGACACUUGGAACGAGCUGUUAUAUGCAUCUCUCCUGAAGAGCAGAAAAGGUUUGUGGAAAAACUGAAGUUGAACUGGAUUAUUUGUCCAGAUUCGUUUUGGUCAUUCUUUCAAUUUUUGGUACUUGUCUUUAUAGAGCAGGUAGCAUUACAGAGAGUUCUUGUGUAUUCUUGGAGUUGGAAAGUUGAUCUGUACAAUUUGUACAACAUUCUGCUAUUGAGGAAAAUAAAAAAAAGGAAAUGAUAAAGCAAAUUAUUGAUUAGCUGACAUUACCAGUAUAUUGAACGCUUAAGCAUUAAAUAUCCACAAUGAAUGGAGUUUGGUAUGCUUAUAGAAUAAUGCGUUUGCAGGUUAUAAUUCAGUAAUUUGCUUACCUAUCAAAAAAUUAAAAGGGCAUUAUAAUUCAGGGAUUAAAUAGUAAAUAAAUUGUGAAGUGGGAUUGGAUUGAAUGCAUAAAGAUUAUGGUAGAAUGUGUGAAUUUUUCACCGUAUUCGGAUAUUUGAUUGAUCACACUAAAAUAUGAGAUAUGGAUUCUAAUAUUAUAGCCUAUUUGGUUUGCAAUUGGAUUAAUUGUUUUCUUUUCAACCUUUGGCCUUGAUUUGAAAUUCGAAUCGUUCACAAACUAAGGGGGAUUAAAGUUUUUUUAUCAGCGUUAACCAUACUAACAAUACCAUCUUUCCUGUGAUAUUGGACAUUAUAUAGUAUAGUGUGUUGCUAAUACAUAGAACUACACACAGUUUGAAGAAUGCCAAGAAAUUACCAUCCAAGUAUCACGCGACCUUAGGGAAGCUAUAAGUAGUUUAGGUUUCUUCAGACUUUAAUUCUAAUUUUGAAAACUCGUGGUAGUGAACUUGUUUUACAAAAUCUACACGGUAUUCUAGAAUAAGAACAUCUAAAAUGUUUUAUACAGGAUGAACAGACAGAACCGUGAUUUUGAUGUGCAUAGAAUUAUUACAAUUUGCAAAUCGAGUACGUGUGUGUAUAUAUAUAGGCAGAAUACAUAAUUUGCCCCUGAACUUGAGGCUAAACAUAUAUACAUACAUAUGGUUUGAACUGAAAUUUGUGACUUUAUGAACAGCUGAUACCAAAAUGGCAGAAUCGGACGAGCCAUAUGUUCUUGAAUCACGAUCUAAAUGAGGCAGAUAAAGUAAUUGAUGAUUUUAGUCAUCGCCACUAAUGUUAGUCGGCGAAAUUAUAUGGCAUGAAAAUUGAGACAGUACAAACACAAUUCCAAGAUAGAACCAAAGAACACAUCAACACAACAUUUCAAGAGAAAGAGAUCUAUGACAAUCUUAACAACUCUAUUAUAAAUUUUUGAUAAGCCAUAUUAACUACACACUGCAUGUGACUUACAAAUAAAACACAAUUAUAGAAGACUGGAUAUAACAAUAUAAAGUACAACAAUAAGUAAAAAGCCAAGAAAGACUCCAAAACGGAGUCCAUUGCCGUUUCGUGACUUGCCGGUUCGCCAUGCUUUUGCCAACAUCCUUUGCUAUUAGUGUGAUUAUCAAUCCAUAAACACUUUCCUUUUUUGCUGCAUUUUCUGGAAUUCUAGCAGAGAAAUUGGCAAAGUAUGAACAAACUUGAAAUUGUAUUUGGAGGAAGGGCAUUUAAAAGUCCUUAAUUCACUCCAACUAAUUGCCUCUCUUUUCCUAAGACCCAUGGAUUGCUUCAUCCCACUGCAUUUUUUCUCACUUAAUAAUCUAUCAGAGUUUGAAACUGAUAGUUAGUGUGUUCUUGAGACAAGCUAGUGGUAAAUUUGCCCAUUGAUUGUUGCCUUAAAUAGAAGAAACUCAACUAAUCAUUACAUCAUAAAACCACUAUUAUUGUUCUUUAUCUUUUUCUUUUUUCACUAUUGCACCCCACCCAAAUCCCUUUUUCACCAUGAAAAGUUGGUGAGUCACAAAAGCAUUUUAGUGUUACGUGUAUGGUGGCACUUAGCAAUGAAAUCUCAGUUCAAAUAUCCUUUACCUAACAUUUUAAGCACACGAUCAAAAAAUUGUAUAAACGUGAAUCAAUGCACUUUAUAGCUAGAAAAAGUGAGUCAAAGGUCAAUUAUAAUUUAAAACACCAAGAUUAGGGACAUAGUAAAAGGUUGUAAUCUUGUUUCUUUCUAUGAUUUGUAUGUAUUUGUAAGCUGAAUAGUGAUAAGCAGCCAUUAAAAGGUAGUGGAGUCCAUAAAAUAUUGUCAAUGAUGCAUUAGAAUAUGAGAUGACUAGCUUGUAAGUUUACUAUAUUCUUUCCAAAUAAAUGGUGCAUUACUUUUAGGUCAUUGGAGUCCUUUUUUCUAUCUUUUAUCUUUGAGCUGUUGUACUAGUGAAUCCACUCACCAAUCCAUCAUGCUCCUCCACAAUUUCCCUUUUAACUCUAUAUAUCAAAUCAGUACUUCACUAAUCACAUAAUACAUGUCGGCCAACCACAAAAAAGGAAUAUAGAUAUAAAGUUAGUCUUUUUUUUCCUCUUCCAAAAGACAAUUCCCAUUUUUCUAAUGACUUACUGUUUUGUAUAUAUCAUCACCAUUAAGGGUCGUCAAGUUUUAUGUUUCCUUUCACUUAUUCCUAGUUAGCUCAAAUGGUAUUUCGACAUAGUUGGUAUGCUGAGUUGAUAAACUUUUGACACACUAUUUACGUACCGUAAGUGCAUUCGAAGUGGAAAUCGCUCAAUUAUUGACACUGCUACUUCUAUUCCAAUUUCUAUUUCUUUCUUUCUUUUUGUUCUUUCCCUCCAUUUUAUAUUUAAAGUUUAAAUUGAAACUGUUAUAAAAUCUUGAAUUAUGGUAGAUGUGCAUAACCACCAAAAGAGUAAUGCUCACUACUCUUUUUCAUUAUCUCCAUAACUUUCACUACUAUAAUAUUUAUGGAGUUAUGAUUGUAACUCCAUAAUCUGCCCAUGAUCUUCCUCCAUGAUCUCAAAUGCUUAAUGACAUAUUCAAUGACAUAUUUCUUCACUUUUCAUGCCUAUAUAAAGGUCUUGUAUAAGAUAGAAAGAUCAACACAAUUGAAGAAGAAAUAAGAAUCUCUCAUCUCUUUCUCUCUAUAUCUCUUAGCUUGUUUUUCCUUGUUCUAUAUUGUUACUUUCAGCUAUAUUUUAUAAAAGAAACUUGUUUUUCUUACUUGUUGUGGUUUAUUGCAAAAAGACAACGACCUCCUAAGAAAUGCACUCAAUAACAAAAUGUUUACACAAAUAUCCUCUAAGUUGAUUGUUCUUUUAUUUGAUCUUUCUUUUGCCUUAUGAAUGCAAAUUAAACAAAGAAAGAGAACCUUAACAAUUCUAAUUCUAUAUUACCUAGAUGACAAAAUUUCGAUGCUCCUGCUUUUAUCUUUUGAUCUCAAAAUGACAGUGGAAAUUAUUUAUAUUAUCAAAUUAGUGAAUAAAGAUUUAUUCAGAUCAAUUACUGUAACGACCCGGUCGGUCGUUUUGAGUAUUUUAGCCUCGAUCCCCAAUUUAUUGCCUCAUUUGUAUUAUAUUAUAGUUACGUGACUUGUUGAGGUGUUUGGUCUUGGUUUCGGGUGAGUUUCAGAGUGAAAUAGGAUACAUAGUCCCAAAGUUGGAGGUUUAAGUUGUUAGAGUUUAACCGUAAUUUGACUUUUGUGAAGACGACUCCAUAAAGAAGUUUUGACGGUUCCAAUAGCUCCGUAUGAUGAUUUUAGACUUAGGAGCGCGACCGGAUAUUGAUUUGGAGGUCUGUAGGUCGUUUCGGCAUGGAUUGCCGAAGUUAGGAAAAUUAAGGUUUGGAAGAUUUAGAAAGUUUGACCCGGAGUUGACUUUUUCGAUAUCGGGGUCGGAUACUGAUUCAGAAAGUUGGAGUAGGUCCGUAAUGUCAUUUAUGACUUGUGUGUAAAAUUUAAAGUUAAUCGGAGUUGGUUUGGUAUGAAUCGACAUUGGUUUCGGAAGUUUAUAGUUCAUAGGCUUGAGUUUGGGGUGCGAUUCAUAGAAUCGGUGUUGUUUAAUGUGAUUUUUGGCCUCGAGUAGUUCGUUAUGUAUUUUGGGAUUUGUUGGUAGGGGUGUUCUUGGUUCGGUUUGGAUCGAUUUUUUCCUUAAAAAAAACCAAACCAAGUAAGUCGGUUUUUCAAAUAUUGAAACCAAACCAAACCAAUUAAGUCGGUUUUUUAUCGAUUCGGUGUAUGCCGGUUUUUCGGUUUUUUCGGUUAUUUAUCAAUUUUUUCUUAAAUAUGAGAUAUACACUACCAAACACAUAUUCUGGCGAUUACAUUUUCAACAUAACACUAUCAAACCAAUUGCUCCUGGGAGUUGUAUAUGUUGAGUUGCAAAGUUGUUUUAUAAAGUUGGUGAGUUGAGAUUUAAUUAUUAAUUAAGUUAUUCUGCAUGUUUGUUAGGCUUACCUAGUCUUAGAGACUAGGUGCCGUCACCACAUCCUACGUAGGAAAAUUAGGGCCGUGACAAGUUGGUAUCAUAGCCCUAGGUUCAUAGGCGUUAUGAGUCACAAGCAAGUUUAGUAGAGUCUCGCAGAUCGGUACAAAGACGUAUGUACUUAUCUUCAGGAGGCUAUGGAACUGUUAGGAAAAGUUUCACUUCUUUGAUCUCUUAUCGUGCGAAUUUGUUGACUUCGGAAUUCUAAAUCUCUGUCUUUCCAUUCUCUCACAGAUGGUGAGGACACGCACAGCUGGAUCUGAUGAUCAGACACCCGCGCCCCCUGUUAGAUCUGGGAGAGGCCGGGGCUGGGGCAGAGGCUGAGGACGAGCACGUGGUGAAACCAGAGCACCUGCUCGAGUUGCUACAGAGGAGCCACUAGUAGCUCCAGCCGGAGAGCAAGCACCUGAGAUGCCUAUUACUACCCCAGCACUUCAGGAGACCCUCGCCCAAUUUCUGAGCAUGUUUGGCACUUUAGCUCAGGCAGGGUUGAUUCUACUUGCUCCUGCCACAUCUCAGGCCAAGGGAGGAGCACAGACUUCUGCCGCCCACACCCCAGAGUAGUGGGUCCAUGUUGACCAAGUCCUAGAGGUCAUACCAGUACAUCCGAUUGUCCCAGUUCAGACCGAGAUUAGGGUAACAACUUCUAAAGGGGAGCAACUCGAGCUCUAGAGGUACAAGAAGUACCGCCCUCCUACUUUCAGCAGUUUGGCUUCUGAGGAUGUCCAGAGUUUUCUUGAGGAGUGCCACUGUAUCCUCUGUACUAUGGGUAUUGUAGAGUCGAGUGGGGUUGCUUUCACUACUUUCCAACUUAAGGGAGCGACUUAUCAGUGGUGGCGAGCGUAAGAGUUGGGUAGCCUGGCUGAGGCAGUUUCACUCACCUAGGAUCAGUUUUCAGAGAUGUUCUUAAGGGAGUUUGUUCCCCAGAGUCUUAGGGAUACAUGGCGUGCAGAGUUUGAGCAGUUGUGCCAGGGUUCUAUGACCGUAUCAGAGUAUACAAUUCGGUUCAGUGAUUUGUCGAGGUAUGCGCCAGCCUUGAUUUUUACUGUCAGAGAGUGAGUUCGUCAGUUUAUCGAGGGGCUCAACCCUGGUAUCAGAUUUAACAUGGCCCGAGAGUUGGAGAUGGACAUCCCACACAAACAGGUAGUUGAGAUCUCUAGGAGAUUGGAUGGUAUGUGGGCCCGGGAGAGAGAGUAGAGGGAUGCCAAAAGGCCUCGAGAUUCUGGAAUAUAUAGUGGUGCCUGUGCCCUAGUUGCAGCCUGUCAUAGUAGGGGCUAUAUGAGUUGCCCUGUUCAUUCAGCACUUCCAGCGGUAUUCCAGCCACUCCUAGCGAUACUCCAGACACUCCCAAGCCUCAGGUUCCCCAUUAUGCACCGCCAUUGUCUAGUGCACCUCCUGCACGGGGUGCUUUCAGUUGUCAGUCCAGCCGAUCAGGACCGAGCCAAUUCCAGCAGCCACGUCCUCUGAGGGCUCGUUUUGACUGUGGUGACACUCGUCACAUGGUGAGGGAAUUCCCAAGACUCAGGAGGGGUGCACCUCCACAGACUAUUCAGGCCCUACGUAUUCCACACGGCCCUCAGGCUUCUCAAGUCGUGGUUACCGCACCAGUUGCCACUCCACCUAUACAUCCAGCCAUGGAUGGAGGUCGAGCAGGUAGAGGUCACCCUAGAGGGGGAGGCUAGGCAAGAUAUUAUGCUCUAGUUACAUCCGGAUCAAUUAUCAUAGGUAUUGUUCUGGUUUGUCAUAGAGAUGCAUCAGUCUUAUUUAAUCCAUGCUCCACUUAUUCCUAUGUAGCAUCUUAUUUAUCUCCGUAUUUGGGUAUAUCCCAUGAUUUUUUGAGUUCUCCUGUCUAUGUGUCCACGCCUGUGGGAGAUUCCCUUGUUGUUGACCGUAUGUAUCAGUCGUGUUUAGUUGUUCUUGGUAGUUUUGAGACCAGAGACGAUCUAUUGUUUCUUAGUAUAGUAGAUUUUGAUGUUAUUUUUAGCAUGGACUGAUUGUCUCCCAAUCAUACUAUCCUUGAUUGUCAUGCCAAGGCGGUGACAUUGACUCUGCCAAUCUUGCCGGGAUUAGAGUGGAGAGGUACUUUAGAUUAUGUUCCUAGCAGAGUGGUGUUUAUCCUUAAGGCACAUCGGAUGGUUGGAAAGGGAUGUGAUGUGUAUCUAGUAUAUGUGAGGGAUGUCAGUAUUGAUACUCCUAUCAUUGAGUUAGUUCCGAUAGUGAGGGAUUAUCCAGAUGUAAAUUCGGCGGAUCUUUCGGGCAUGCCGCCCGACAGGGAUAUCGAUUUUGGUAUUGAUUUGUUACCGAGCACUCAACCUAUUUCUAUUCCACCAUAUCGUAUGGCCCCAAGUUGAAGGAGUUAAAGAAGAAAUUAUAGGAGUUUCUUGAUAAGGGUUUCAUUCUUCCCAGUGUAUCACCUUGGGGUGCUCCGGUCUUGUUUGUAAAGAAGAAGGAUGGUUCUAUGUGCAUGUGUAUUGAUUAUCGCCAGAUGAACAUGGUUACUGUGAUGAACAUGUAUCCAUUGCCAUGCAUUGAUGACUUGUUUUAUCAACUACAGGGUGCCAGAGUGUUCUCCAAGAUUGACUUGCGUUCAUGUUAUCAUCAAUUGAAGAUUCGAGAGCUAGAUAUCCCGAAGAUUGCCUUCAGGACUCGGUAUGGUCAUUAUGAGUUCCUUGUGAUGUCAUUUGGGUUGACCAAUGCCGCAACAAUAUUCAUGCACUUGAUGAAUAGUGUAUUCCGGCCCUAUCUUGACUCAUUCAUCAUUGUGUUUAUUGACGACUUCCUGGUGUACUCCCAGAGCUGGGAGGAUCAUGAGUAGCACCUAAGGACCGUGCUUUAGACCUUGAGAGAAAAGAAGUUGUAUGCAAUGUUUUCGAAGUGUGAAUUCUGGCUUGAUUCAGUGGUAUUUUUGGGUCAUGUAGUGUCGAGUGAGGGGAUCAAGGUAGAUCCGAAGAAGAUUGAAGCAGUGCAAAGUUGGACUAGACCGUCUUCAACUACUGAGAUCCGGAGUUUUAUUGGUUUGGCAGGGUAUUACCGUCGAUUCAUAGAAGGUUUCUCAUCUAUUGCUGCAGAUAUGACCAGAUUGACCCAGAAGGGGGAUCCGUUCAGGUGGACCGCAGAAUGUGAGGAAAGUUUUCAAAAGCUCAAGACAAAUUUGACUUCAGACCCAGUGUUGGUGUUGCCUACAGGUUCGGGGUCUUAUACUGUGUAUUAUGAUGCGUCGCGUAUUGAUCUCGGCGCAUUGUUGAUGUAGGACGGUAGGGUGAUUGCCUAUAUGUCUAGAUAGCUGAAGGUCCAUGAGAAGAAUUAUCCCGUCCACGACCUUGAGUUAUUGUUCAUGCCUUGAACAUUUGGUGUCACUAUUUGUACGGUGUCCCUUGUGAGGUCUAUACCGACCACCGGAGCCUACAACAUCUGUUCAAACUGAAGGAUCUUAACUUGCGGCAGCGGAGGUGGUUAGAGUUGCUUAAGGACUAUGAUAUCACCAUUCUGUAUCAUCCUAGAAAGGAUAAUGUGGUGGUCGAUGCCUUGAGUCGCAAGGCGAAGAGCUUGGGAAGUUUAGCAUAUCUACCGGCAGCGGAGAGGCUAUUUGCAUUGGAUGUCCAGGCCUUGUCCAACCAGUUUGUUAGAUUGGAUGUUUCAGAGCUGAGUCGCAUUUUGGCUUGUAUGGUUUCUCGGUCUUCUCUUUAUGAUCGUAUCAGAGAGCGUCAGUAUGAUGACCCCCAUCUGCUUGUCCUUAAGGACACGGUUCAGCACGACGAUGCGAAUGAGGUCACUAUUGGGGAUGACGAUGUGUUACGAAUGCAGGGCAGGCUAUGUGUGCCCAAUGUAGAUGGUUUGCGUAAGCUGAUUCUUCAGGAGGAUCACAGUUCGUGGUACUCCAUUCAUCCGGGUUUCGCCAAGAUGUAUCAAGACUUGAGGCAGCACUAUUGGUAGAGGAGAAUGAAGAAGGACAUAGUGGAGUAAGUAGCUUGGUGCCUAACUGUCAAAAGGUGAAGUAUGAGCAUCAGCGGCCAGGUGGAUUACUUCAGAGGCUAGAGAUUCCAGAGUGGAAAUGGGAGCGGGUUACUAUGGAUUUUGUUGUUGGGCUCUCGCGGACUCAAAGGAAGUUCGAUGCAGUUUGGGUGAUUACGGAUAGGUUGACCAAGUCGGCUCAUUUCAUUCCAGUAGUGACUACUUAUUCUUCAAAGCAGUUGGCUCAGGUUUAUAUUCGCGAGAUUGCUAGACUUCAUGGCAUAUCGGUAUCCAUCAUCUUUGACCAGGGUACACAGUUUACAUUGCGGUUCUGGAGGGCCGUACAACAUGAGUUAGGCACGCGGGUUGAGUUAAGUACAUCAUUUCACCCUCAUACGGACGGACAGUCCGAGCGCACUAUUCAGAUACUAAAGGAUAUGCUUUGUGCGUUUGUGAUAGAGUUUGGGGGUUCUUGGGAUCUGUUCUUGCUGCUUGCAGAGUUUUCCUACAACAACAGCUACCAGUCGAGCAUUCAGAUGGUUCUGUAUGAGGUUUUGUAUGGGAGGCGAUGUCGGUCUCCGGUGGGUUGGUUCGAGCCGGGUGAGGCUAAGCUAUUGGGUACAGACUUAGUUCAGGAUGCUUUGGAAAAGGUUAAAUUGAUUCAGGAUCGACUUUGUACCGCCCAAUCUAGGUAGAAGAGUUAUGCAGAUCAGAAGGUUCACGACGUUGCCUUCAUGGUUGGGGAGAGGAUCUUGCUCCGGGUUUCGCCCUUGAAGGGUGUUAUGAGGUUCGGGAAGAAGGGCAAGUUGAGCUCUAGGUAUAUAGGACAUUUUGAGAUUCUUGAGAGGAUUUGAGAGGUGGCCUACAAGCUUGCACUGCCACCUAGUCAAGCUACAGUUCCUCCGAUGUUCCAUGUUUCUAUGCUCCGGAAGUAUCACGGUGAUCUGUCUCAUGCUUUGGAUUUCAGCUCAGUCCAGUGGACAAAGAUUUGUCUUAUGUUGAAGAGGCGAUGGCCAUUUUGGACAGGCAGGUUCGAAAGUUGAGGUCGAAGAAAAUUGCUUCAGUGGAAGGGUCAGUCGGUCGAGAAGGCGACUUGGGAGACCGAGCAUGAUAUGCGUAGCCGUUACCUUCAUCUUUUCAUGACUUUAGGUAUGUCUCUAUACUCGUUCGAGGACGAACGUUUGUUUAAGAGGGGGAGGAUGUAACGACGCGGCAAGUUAUUUUGACAAUUUUAGCCCCGAUCCCCAAUUUAUUUCCUCCUCAAUGUUAUAUUGUGGUUACGUGACUUGUCGGGGUGUUUGGUCUUAGUUUCAGGUGAGUUUCUGAGUGAAAUGAGACACAUAGUCCCUAAGUUGGAGGUUUAAGUUGUUAGAGUUUACUGUAUUUUGAUUUUUGUGAAGACGACUCCGAAAUGGAGUUUUGACGGUUCCAAUAGCUCCGUAUGUUGAAUUUAGACUUAGUAGAAUUACCAGAUGUGGUUUUGGAGGCCCGUAUGUCAUUUUGGCGUGAAUUGGCGAAGUUAGGAAAAUUAAGGUUUGGAAUAUUUGGAAUGUUUGAUCCGGAGUUGACUUUUUUGAUAUCGGGGUCGGAUCCCAAUUCCACAAGUUGGAGUAGGUCCGUAAUAUCAUUUAUGACUUGUGUGCAAAAUUUGAAGUUAAUCGAAGUUGGUUAGGUAUGAAUCGGCAUUGGUUUCGGAAUUCGGAAGUUUAUAGUUCAUAGGCUUUAAUUUGGGUUGCGAUUUGUAGAAUCGGUGUUGUUUGAUGUAAUUUUUCGCCUCGAGUAGGUCUGUUAUGUGUUUUGGGACUGUGGUAUAUUCGGACGGGCCCCGGCAGUCCCAGGUAUGAAACGGAUUAAAUCCGGAUAAAAAGAUUGGACUUGUGCAAUUGCUGAAGUUCCAGCCUUUUGGUGUCAUCACACCUACGGAGGGAUUGGUCGAGGUGCGGACUCGCAAAAGCGAUCAACUGGUCGCAGAAAAGAAGCAGGCUUUGCCCAGCUGGGAUCGCAGGUGCGAGGAGAUAACCGCAUCUGCGAGUCCGCUGGUGCAGAGGUGUGAUCGCCGAUGCGGACGAGGCUGGCCUGGGCUAUGGUCGCAGAAGUGGAGGGUUCUCCAAAGAAGCUGGCUCUCAGGCGUGAGCCAUGGUCCGCAGAAGCGGAAAUUGUGGACUUAAUUAGGAUCCUCACCUGCGAUGGUUUUUUCGCAGGUGCGGCAUCACAGAAGCGACACAAAGGCCGCAGAAGCGGUUUUGCUGGGCAGUAAAGAGGGAUUUACGAGGGUUUGAUUCAUAAUCUAUUUUUGGACUUAGAGAGCUCGGUGGGAGGCAAUUUUUUGAGUGGUUUCAGAGAGAUCAUUGGGAGCAAGGAAUCCUAACUUGGUUUUGGUUAGUUUACAAGAAGUUAUUGUUAAUUUCAUCAUUUAAUUAGUGGUUUGAGUUAAAAAUUUGGGGGAAAAUGGUAGAAACUUCUUGGGCUAAAAUUUGAGAAUUUGAAAGGCGAUUUAUGAUCGGAUUUGAGUAAUUCUUGUAUGGUUGGACUCGUUAUCGAAUGGGUGUUCAAAUUUUCUAAUUUUGGUCUGGUUCCAAGGCAUGAACCCGGGUUGACUAUAUUUAUAGUAUGAAGGUUUUUUUGGCUAGAUUCGAGCAAUUCAGAGUUGGAUAAUCGAGGAAAAGGCUUACUAGUGGAUUGAUUUAGCGUGAUUUGAGGUAUGUGACUUGGCUAACCUCGUGUGGGGGAAUUAUCCCUUAGGAUUUGUGUGGAUUGUGAUAAUUGUGAUAUGUGAAAGCCGUGUACGCAAGGUGACGAGUGUGUACACAGGCUAAAUGUGGAAAUUACCAGUUUUAGCUAUGUAUAUUCCUUUCAUGCCUUAAUUGAAUUAUCUUAACAUGUUAUAUUCAUCAUUCUUAGUCUAUUUUCACACGUCUUCUUGUCUUAUUCUCGUACAUGCUAAUUUCCCUACAUGUUUAGUUAAAGUUCUUGUUUCCUUUAUUCCGUAUUCAUUACUUAAUUGUUGUACUCUUUGCUUGAAGUUGUUAAAUCUUGGAAUAUCUUGUUGUUGAAAUUGGUAUUGAGAUAUAAAAGCCGUGAUUCACAUUGAGGCAAAGUGUCAAGUUGUGAAAUACCAUUCUGUGGAGUUGUCCAUUCCGGUUGUUAUGGUUGAGCAUUGUGGUUGAGCCAUGGGCUCUUUACUAUGAAAAUAUUGUAUUUGUUUGGUUUCUCUGGAAAGUUGUGAUAUUGGGCACUUGAGGUGCGAUUAUGAUACAUUGUGAUAUUGAUACGCAUGCGGUGGUAUAAGGUUUUUAUUACUACCCGUACUUUCAUUUUAGAAUUAAUCUUAAGUGAAUCAAUAUGAGCCAUAGAGUUGAAGGACCUUUACAAAUAUAAUGAUGGGUUAAUUUCAAGUUUUGAGGAAGUAUUGUGAGGGUUGGAAGGUUAAGAAGCUAAUCGAAUAGAAGAAAAUAGGUUUCGUCAAAAGUCGGCAAGUUGGGAAUAUUAUAACCCGUACUUUUGGGGCGAGACUAGGGUGAUUAAGAUGAUAAGAAGGUAAUAUUAUGAGUUAUUUAGGUCGUAUGAUAGUCGUGCAUUACGUUUUGAAGUCAAGCGAGUUGUGAAGCAAAGGUCGACGAAAGGCGUCAUAAGUUACGUUUAUAAAUUUUAAUGAAAUUUAGGUCAAAUGUCACUGAGCUUUUCUCUCAAUAUACUUGGAUUUACGGGGUGAUCCAUCCACCAAAUUGAAUAUCUAUGAGUCUAGGUUUCAACUCAUUAAACCGUUCAUCGAUACGACAUUCGAGUAGAGAGAUAUUUGCAUUUUUGCGAAAGUGCGCAAUCAGCUCCCUAAGGGACCCACUUAGGCGGUUAAGAUAUCUUGAUAUAUAUGUGAUGACUACAACCCAUUUUCACUCAUUAUUUUUCAUUCUAUUCAGACCCUAGACACCUUAAAACCUUCUCUCAAAGUUCUAUCAUGACCCAAUGUAAGGCCCCGUAAUAGUUUACCAAAAACUCAAGGUUUGUGGUGCCGAGGUAGGUUAAUGUGUAAGCCCCCUUGAAUUUCUAUUGCUAAUUCGAGCGAUUUCGAGCUUUGGAAUACAAUUUAAUUUAGAACCAAAUCACAUGAGAAUUACUGAAGUGAAUAAAGUUAUUUGGAUACUUGGGGAUAAUUAUUUUAUUAAUAUUUGAGUGUUGUAAUAAUGGGGAACACUUAGAUAUUAAUUUCAAAGCAAUAAGACUAAAGAAAAUACAGUGAGCUAUCUCCCUAUAGCGCAGCUAUAGCACAUGAGGGAAGUUGAAAAUUUUAGCAAACUAGUGAGCUAAAGCCUUAUAGCACAAGGAUAACACUAGUGAAAAAAUGCCGUAUCCUAUUUUAGCAAACCAGUGAGCUAAAGCCUUAUAGCACAGGGAUAGCCCAGUGGAAAAUUACUAUACCUGGGCCUAUUAGUACCUGAGCGGGGAGAGAGAAGAAUAAAAAAUUUCAAUACUAGGGCUUUUCUCUCCAUCACCCAUCCGGUCAAGGCUUCCAAUACACACUUAAGGUGAGUUUCUAAGUGUGUUUUUAUGAUGAUUCCACUUCUAAAUCACUAAUUACAACAAGGUUUUGUAUUGGAUUCCUUAGGAUUUCUUCAAAAUCUUAAGAACACCCCAAAAGUCGACUUUCAAGAUUUGGUCUACAAGAGGUAAUCUUUCAUCCUUAAACCUACAUGCAUGGGUUGUUAGUGAAUAUUUGAGAAAGGAAUAAGUACUAGCACUUGUGAGAUGGUGAUUGGAAGCUAUAAAUACUUAAACUAGAUUAUUGGGUGUUGUAGAGAUUUUAUAAUGAUUUAAUUAGCAAAAUUUGGUAGAUGUGAGUUUAUUGAUGAUUAUAAUGGUUCUAAGAAGGUAGUUAGUGGACAAAGGAUGUUGUAGUAUCUCUUGUUGGUGGUAAGAAGGUAUUGUUUGAUGAAGAAACACCAUUACUAUAGGUAGUUGAAUGCUAUGCACUCUAGGUGUUUGAUAAAAUGCCAAAAUGACCAAAAACCUGGAGAUCUUUACUAAUAUUGGUCCAAUUGAGUUAUGUUGAUGUAGAUUGAAGUUGUAAGAGUAGUGGGUGGUUUUAGUAGCACUAAAGAGCUCCAUCAAGGUAUGUUGGAUAAACUACUCUCUUAGAAUUAAAUUCAGUGAUGUUUUCAUAAGUUUCAAGUAUGGUUGUCUCAAGUUCCUUAUUCUAUGUUCCGAGUUGUUUCCAAUAAAUUCAAUUGUCCCGAAUAAGAAAUGUUUCGAGAAUUAAGUAUUCAAAACGUAUUCCGAAUGUUCCUAUCACAUUAUGUUGUCUUUUGGGAAUGUGUUCAAGAAUGAUAUGUGUUAAAAUACUAUGUCUUUGAGUUGUGUUUCAAAUGAAGGUUAUGAUGCCAAAUUAUGUAAGAAAACUCAAUAUGCUUAUGACUCUUAAUUGCUCAUAUAUUUACCUAAAGUCUUGAUUGGAAAUGUCUUAAUGUUGAUAACCUAUAAAGAUGGUUAGAAGUGAAAUAAGUGAUUUGGGGAUAUAAAGUGUGGCCAAAGUGCCAAGAGUGAAAUAACUUCUAAAGUCCGUCUGAAGAAACUUGGGUACAUAAGAUAAUUCUAGCAAGUGAGCAUACCGUUCAGAUGCUCAAAGACAUGUUACAGGCUAAGAUGCCAAAUUUAACGGAAAGAUAAAUUAUCGACUAUUGAGGAGCGCACAACAAUAGCUAUAGUAGUAUUUAUACAUGCGGGAGGAUCACAAGGAUAUAUUUUAAAUUGCACAGUGUAGCUUCUUAUAAAGCAUGAUGCGAAAGGAAAUGAAGAUUCCCCAUAAGACAGUUUGAAAGACAGAACUGUUAGACCGGAUUUAAUGUAUCAAGUUAUAGAAAAGUAAGCCUUAUUAAAGAGUGUUUGUGCUUAGAAGCAUCAUAGAUCUAACCCCAAGACACGAUGACGAGACUUAAGGAAAUCUCGAGUUAAUAAUGAGGCCUUUUUGAAAAUUUUGCUCACGAAGAGCAUAAUAACAUAUUGGGACAAGCUAGUCAAUACAUAUAUAAAGCCACUCCAAGCUACCUAGAGAAGGGACUAAUUCAAUUUUCCCUCAGAAUUAGGAUCUCUUCAUUCGGUUAUCAUGUUCCGAUAUUGAAGAAGCACAUGAUGUUCAGAUUAUAGAGAAAAUAUCUCACGAAGAAGUUCUAGUUGCUAUUUUAGAUCAGCAUGUCCACAAGUUGGGCACCUAGAAAGUAACUUUCGUAAAGAUAUGAUGGAGGAAUAAGAACGUCGAAGAAAACACGUGGGAAGCCAAAAGAAGAAAUGAAUUCUAAGUACCCUCAGCUGUUUCAGAUAGAAGAUUCUUAACGGUUGUAGCUCGAUCAUAUGUUUUGUUAGCCCAUGUCAUGUGAUUUCGAUUAACACUCAUUCUAUGAUUACAUCAUAUUAAGAAUUGAAGAGUUACAGUUCUUUCAGUAGCAGAAUUAUUUGGACACAAGGUAUGGAUAGUCCUAUUUGCAAAUGAUACUCUAUUGAAAUUUCCGUAAAAUCCGUAAGGGCUAGUUUCUCCUCUAAGACUCCUUUACAUUCGAGGACGAAUGUUUCAAAGGGGGAAAGAUCCCGUACUUUCAUGUUAGAAUUAAUCUUGAGUGAAUCAAUAUGAGCCGUAGAGUUGAAGGACCUUUACAAAGAUAAUAAUGGGUUAAAGCAAGUUUUUAGGAAGUAUCAUGAGGGGUUGGAAGGUUAAGAAGCUAAUCUAAUCGAAGAAAUAAGUUUCGUCGAAAGUCGGCAAGUUGGGAAUGUUAUAACCCGUACUUUUGGAGUGAGACUAGGGUGGUUAAGAUAAUAAGAAGGUAAUAUUAUGAGUUAUUUUAGUCGUAUGAUAGCCGUGUGUUAGGAUUUGAAGUCAAGAGAGUUGUGAAGCAAAAGUCGACGAAAGUCGUCACAAGUUACGUUCAUAAAUUUUAAUGAAAUUUAGGUCAAAUAUCACUAAGGUUUUCUCUCAAUGUACUUAGAUUUAUGGGUUGAUCCACCCACAAAAUUGAAUAUCUAUGAGUCUAGUUUCCAACUCAUUAAACCAUUCAUCGGUACAUUAUCGGAGUAGAGAGAUAUUUGCAUUUUUACGAGAGUGCGCAAGCAGCUCCCUAUGGAACCCACUUAGGCGGUUGAGAUAUCUUGACANNNNNNNNNNNNNNNNNNNNNNNNNGCUGAUUUUGGUGUGGUUCCAGCUCAUGUGGGGGUUGUUUUAAGUGGUUUAUGUUCUGUAGAAUAGUCUCCCAAGGUUUUCAUAUCAACCCUAGGUUAUUUCAAGUCUUCCAAAUGGAUUACACCAUAUUUCAACAUCAAAAGUUAGCUCUAGUGAAGAAUAACACCUCUUUGAGGUUGUGUUGUCAUUGAGGAUUGGUGUGAUCAGUGUUUGGAUGAAAUUACAAUUGGUCGAUGAUGGUUUAGGUAUGUAUAAUACUCCACUAUAUGUUCUUGAAGUUGUUUGUAUGUUGGUUGCAUUAUUUGAGCAAGAUACUACAAGAGGAGACUUGAAAUAGUUUGAGAUGUUAUUGUUCCUAAUGGACUGAUUUGGAAAGGUUGUUUCCAUGAACUUUAAAUGGUUGGAAACCUUGGAAAAAUGACUUGUUUAUUCUGUUGUCUUCAUGAAUAUAUUGUCUACAUAUCAAACUUGCUGUUGAUAUUGUGAAUAAGAAGAUAAAGGUCAACAUAAUAAUUGAAGGUUGUACUUGUCGUUGUUGUUGGAUUGUUAGGCUGUUUGAGUGUGAAUUAGGUGAUUAAUAGGAGGAUGGAAGUCCUCCGGUUGUUCUUGUUAUCGCGUUGGACAUGUUUUUAAGUUAACUAAUAUAUGAUAAUGGGGUUGAAGGGCACUAAAGGGAUUCAAUCCGAGCUUGCCGCUCGUCGUGAUAUUUCGAUGACAUGUUAAUGAAAUAUUUGAUACCCUACAUACUCGGUACUUUAUUAGUACUGACGUCCCAUUUGCUGGGGAUGCUGCAUUUCAUGCCCGCAGGUCCCGAUAGACAGGUUGACGGUCCUCCUAGUAGGCAAUCAGCUUAGCGAAAGGUGUUGGUGCACUCCACUUGCUCCGGAGUUUCCUAUUUGGUCAGUAUGUUUUGAGCAUGUAUUGAUUGGUAUGUGUCAUGACCCAAUUUCUCCUUCUGUGAACCAUCGUGAUGGCACCUAGUCUCUACGACUAGGUAAGCCUAACACUUUGCGGAAAUGAAACAAAAACACGAACAUUAACUACUAACAGUAACAAAUAUCUAAUAAGAAACUGAAUGCCACUCGGCAUAUACAAUUAUCACCUCUGAAAAUGUAACAAAACAAUUCCCAAAACCCGGAAUACCGUAAGUCACAAGCUACUAAGAAGUCUUAUCUUCUUUAUACAUCAUUUCUACAGAAAGAAGGCAAAAUGAACAUGGGGGAUAGAGGGGGACUCCGAGGAUCUGCGGGCGCGAGCAGAUGUACCUUGAAGUCUCCAAUAAGCAACAACGACUGCACCNNNNNNNNNNNNNNNNNNNNNNNNNNNNNNNNNNNNNNNNNNNNNNNNNNNNNNNNNNNNNNNNNNNNNNNNNNNNNNNNNNNNNNNNNNNNNNNNNNNNNNNNNNNNNNNNNNNNNNNNNNNNNNNNNNNNNNNNNNNNNNNNNNNNNNNNNNNNNNNNNNNNNNNNNNNNNNNNNNNNNNNNNNNNNNNNNNNNNNNNNNNNNNNNNNNNNNNNNNNNNNNNNNNNNNNNNNNNNNNNNNNNNNNNNNNNNNNNNNNNNNNNNNNNNNNNNNNNNNNNNNNNNNNNNNNNNNNNNNNNNNNNNNNNNNNNNNNNNNNNNNNNNNNNNNNNNNNNNNNNNNNNNNNNNNNNNNNNNNNNNNNNNNNNNNNNNNNNNNNNNNNNNNNNNNNNNNNNNNNNNNNNNNNNNNNNNNNNNNNNNNNNNNNNNNNNNNNNNNNNNNNNNNNNNNNNNNNNNNNNNNNNNNNNNNNNNNNNNNNNNNNNNNNNNNNNNNNNNNNNNNNNNNNNNNNNNNNNNNNNNNNNNNNNNNNNNNNNNNNNNNNNNNNNNNNNNNNNNNNNNNNNNNNNNNNNNNNNNNNNNNNNNNNNNNNNNNNNNNNNNNNNNNNNNNNNNNNNNNNNAGUCCCAAAGUAAAUAUGCAGUACAGGGGGAUCUCCCGGAAUACCGUUCUGUAGUCCCAAAGUAAAUAUGCAGCACAACCAAUUGAAAUAACAAUUACAAUAAGAAAUCCUACAGUUUAGACUAAGUUCAAGUCAAGGAAAGCAGGAAAUUUCACUAAAUAUGCUGCACAGAAUUCAAAUAGGCAGUUAAACAAGUAGGCUUGCUAUUCUAGUUUAAGCACGAUAGUUACAUACGCUAGUGUGUUUGAAAUAAGGAGAAAACAAGUUAUGACUUAGUAAGAAUUGGAGUUUUACAACAAAUAGCCCAUGUACGUACUCCUUACCUCACGUACACGGUGAUCACAUAUCAAACGUUACCAAAAUCCUAAGGGGAGUUCCCUCACACAAGGUUAGGCAAGCCACUUACCUCGAACCAAGCUCAAAUCAAUCCGUAAUCAUUCUCUUGCCACGAGUAUCCAACUCCGAGUGGCCCAAAUCUAGCCAAAUCAAUUACAUAACGUAAAUAUAGCUACAAGAAACUAAUAUAGCUAAUGACAUCAAAGCUAAAGCAAGAAAUUAAAAAAAUGCCCAAAAAGCCUCCUCCGGGACCACGUCUCGAAAUCGGGUAAAAGUUACUAAAUAAGAAAACCCAUUCACUCACGAGUUCACUCAUACAAAAAUCAUCCAAAACCUACGCCUAGUUCCCACUCAAAACUCAGAUUUUUGGUUGGGGAACUUUUCCCCCAAUUCCCCAAUUUCCUCACUCAAAUUCCUUAAUUUAAUGAAGAAAACAACUACGGAUUAAUGACAUAUGAUAGAAAUAUGAUUAGGAAUCGUUACCCACUGAUUUCCUCUGAAAAACUCCCAAACAAUCGCCUUCCUCCGAGCUCUCAAUCAAAUUAUGUGUUAUGAAAUUUCAACCCUCGAAUCUGCCCUUUUCUGCCUAGCAAUUAUCGCUUCUGCGGUUCCGCACCUGCGAAAUUCCCAUCGCAGGUGCGACUUUUCACUUAAGGUACCUCAUCCCCAUCUGCGAUCAAGAGGUCGUAUAUGCGGACCUUUUGUCCACUUCUGCGGUCCCAAAUAGCUCCUACAGUUCCUUCACUCGCACCUGCGGGUAUCGCGGAUGCGGAACACUCCUCGAACCUGCCAUCCUAGAACUCCUUCCCAUUUCUGCUUGUGCGGUUCCAUAGCCGCUUCUGUGGCUCCGCACCUGCGGCCCAAAGUGCGUAGGUUCGGUGACGCUAGAUACUUCAACAUCAACAAUGUCACCUAAGUCCAAAUCAACCCGUUAAGCACCUAAAACUCACCCGAGGCCCCCCAGACCUCAACCAAACAUACCAAUUAAUCCUAAAACACCAUACAAACUUAGUCGAGCCUUCAAAUAACAUCAAACAACAUCACAACACGAAUAAUGCACGGAUUCAAGCCUAAGGAACUUUGAAAUUUCCCAAAUCUACAACCGACGUCGAAACAUAUCAAAUCUUGUCCGAAUGACCUCAAACUUUACCCACAAGUCAAAAAUGACACUACGAACCUACUCCCACUUCUGGAAUUCCAUUUCGGGUCCGAUGUCAAAAUUUCCACUGCCGGCCAAAAUUUCCAAAAUUUUAACUUUCGCCAAUUCAAGCCUAAAUCUACUACGGACCUCCAAAACACUAUCCGGACACGCCCCUAAGUCCAAAAUCAACUAACGGAGCUAACAGAGUCAUAAAAAUUCAAAUACGAGGUCGUUACCCACAAGUCGACGUCCGGUCGACUUUUCCAACUUAAGCUUCCCAAUAAGAGACUAAUUGUCUUAAUUCACUUCAAAACCAAUACGAACCCUCCCGGCAAUGCAAAAAUAGCAGAAUAAGAUACGGGGAAAACAAUUAAUAGGGGAUCAGGGCUAUAACUCUCAAAACGACCAGCCGAGUCGUUAUAUCCUUCUCCUCUAAAAACAAUCGUUCAUCCUCGAACGAGCGUAAAGACAUACCCGAAGCUGUGAAAAGAUAAGGAUAACGGCUGUGCAUAUCCCGCUCGGUCUCCCAAGUCACCUCCUCGAUCGGCAGACCCCUCCACUGGACCUUUACUGAAGCAUUGUUCUUUGACCUAUGUUUUCUAACCUGCCUAUCCAAGAUAGCCACUGGCUCCUCAACAUAAGAUAGAUCCUUGUCCAACUGGACUGAGCUAAAAUCCAAUACAUGAGUCGGAUCACCGUGAUACAUUCGGAGCAUCGAAACGUGGUAUACCGGAUGAACCCCUGCUAGGCUGGGAGGUAGAGCAAUCACAUAAGAAACCUCCCCAACAUGCCGCAAUAUUUCAAAAGGACCGAUGUACCUCGGGCUUAGCUUUCCCUUCUUCCCGAACCUCAUGAUGCCUUUCAUGGGCGAUACCUAAAGCAAGACCCGCUCUCCAACCAUAAAUGCUAAAUCCUGAACCUUCUGAUCCGCAUAACUCUUCUAUCUCGACUGGGAUGUGAGAAGUUUAUCCUGAAUCACCUUCACCUUAUCCAUGGCAUCCUUGACCAAGUCUGUACCCAACAAUCGGGCCUCGCCCAGCUCGAACCAACCCACUGGGGACCGACACCGCCUACCAUGUAGAGCCUCAUACGGUGCCAUCUGAAUGCUAGACUGAUAACUAUUGUUGUAGGCAAACUCUGCAAGUGGAAAAAACUGAUCCCAAGAACUUCCAAAAUCUAUCACACACGCACGGAGCAUAUCCUCAAGAAUCUGAAUAGUGCGCUCAGACUGCCCGUCCAUCUGAGGGUGAAAAGCUGUGCUCAACUCCACCCGAGUACCCAACUCUUGCUGUACGGUUCUCCAGAACCGCGAUGUAAACUGCGUUCCCCGAUCGGAGAUGAUAGAUACCGGUAUGCCAUAAAGUCUGACAAUCUCACGAAUGUAAAUUUGAGCCAGCUGCUCGGAAGAAUAGGUAGUCAUCACAGGAAUGAAUUGAGCUGACUUGGUCAGCCUGUCCACAAUCACCAAAACUUCAUCAAAAUUCUGCUGAGUACGUGGGAGUCUAACAAUGAAGUCCAUAGUGAUCCGCUCCCAUUUCUACUCCGAAAAUCUCUAUCUUCUGAAACAACCCACCCGGUCGCUGAUGCUCAUACUUCACCUGCUGGAAAUUUAGACAUCUAGUCAUAUACUAUACUAUGUCCUUCUUCAUGCUCUUCCACCAAUAAUACUGCCUCAGGUCCUGAUACAUAUUUGCGACACCCCGGAUGAAUGGAGUACCGUGAGCUAUGAGCCUCCUGGAGAAUCAACUCACGCAAACCGUCCACAUUGGGCACACAUAACCUACCCUGCAUCCUCAAUGCACCAUCCUCCCCAAUAGCGACCUCCUUAGCAUCACCAUGCUGGAUGGUGUCCUUAAGGACAAGUAGAUGGGGGUCAUCAUACUGACGCUCCCUGAUACGAUCUUAAAGAGAAGACCGAGAGACCAUACAAGCCAAUACUCGGCUUGGCUCAGAAAUAUCCAAUCUCACAAACUGGCUGGCUAAGACCUGAACAUCCAAUGCCAUAGGCCUCUCUGCUGCUAGUAGAUAUGCUAAACUCCCCAAAUCUCUGCCCGAAGACUCAAAGCAUCGGCCACAAUAUUGGCCUUCCCGGGAUGGUACAAAAUGGUAAUGUCAUAAUCCUUAAGCAGCAAUAACCACCUCCUUUGACGCAAAUUAAGAUCCUUCUGCUUGAACAAAUGCUGCAAACUCUGGUGAUCAGUGAAGAUCUCACAAGGAACGCCGUACAAAUAGUGCCUCCAAAUCUUCAAGGCAUAAACAAUAGCUGCUAGCUCAAGGUUGUGAACAUGAUAGUUCUUUUCAUGCACCUUUAGCUGUCUGGACGCGUAGGCAAUCACCCUACGGUCCUGCAUCAACACCGCAUUGAGGCCAGCUCGCGACGCAUCACAAUAAACCAUAUAAGACCUCGAACCUGAAGGCAAUACCAAUAUUGGGGUGGUAUUCAAAGCUGUCUUGAGCUUCUAAAAGCUUUCCUCACACUCUUCCGUCCACCUGAAUGAAGCACUCUUUUGGGCCAGCCUGGUCAUAGGUGCUGUAAUAGAUGAAAAUCCCUCUACAAAGCGACGGUAAUAUCCUGCCAAACCAAGGAAACUGCGGAUCUCUAUAGAUGAUGAUGGUCUAGGCCAACUCUGCACUGCCUCCACUUUCUUUGGAUCUACCUUGAUCCCAUCACUAGAUACUACGUGGCCCAAGAAUGCCACUAAAUCAAGGUAGAACUCACACUUAGAAAAUUUUGCAUACAACUUCUUUUCUCUCAAAGUGUGAAGCACAGUCCUCAGGUGCUACUCAUGAUCCUCUCGAGUCUGGGAGUACACUAGAAUGUCAUCAAUAAACACAAUGAUGAAUGAGUCAAGAUAGGGUCGGAACACACUAUGCAUCAAGUGCAUAAAUGCUGCUGGGGCUUGCAAAAGACAUCACAUGGAACUUGUAGUGACCAUACCGAGUCCUGAAGGCAGUCUUCGGGAUAUCUGGCUCCCGAAUCUUUAACUGAUGAUAACUUGAACGUAAGUCAAUCUUGGAGAACACUCUGGCACCCUGUAACGGAUCAAAUAAGUCAUCAAUACAAGGCAAUGAAUACCUGUUCUUCACUGUGACUUUGUUCAACUAGCGGUAAUCAAUACAUAUCCGCAUAGAACCAUCCUUUUUAUUCACAAAUAAGAUAGGAGCACCCCAAGGUGACACACUGGGCCGAACAAAGCCCUUAUCAAGCAACUCAUGUAACUGAUCCUUCAACUCAGGAGGAGCCAUACGGUAUGGAAGAAUAGAGAUGGGCUGAGUGCCUGACAACAAAUCAAUGCCGAAAUCAAUAUCUCUGUCGGGCGGCAUGCCCGGAAGAUCAGAUGGAAACACAUCUGGGAAAUCCCUCACUACUGGAACUGACUCAACUGUAGGGGUAUCAAUACCGACAUCUCUCACAUAAGUAAAUACGCGUCGCACCCCUUCUCAACCAUUCGUUGAGCCUUAAGAAAUGAAAUAACUCUGCAGGGAGUAUAUUCUAAGGUACCUCUCCACUCUAAUCGCGGUAAGCCUGAAAUAGCCAGCGUCACGGUCUUAGCGUGAUAAUCAAGAAUAGCAUAAUGGGGAGACAACCAGUCCAUGCCCAAGAUAACAUCAAAAUCUACCAUGCCGAGUAAUAAUAAGUCGGCUCUGAUCUCAAAACCACUAAGAGCAAUCAAACAUGACUGAUACACGCGGUCCACAACAAGAUAAUCUCCCACAGGAGUAGACACAUAAACAAGGGAACUCAAAGAAUCCCGAGAUACUCCCAAAUAUGGGGCAAAAUAAUAGGACACAUAUGAAUACGUAGAUCCUGGGUCAAAUAAUACCGACGCAUCUCUAUGACAGACUGGAACAAUACCUGUAAUGACAUGGUUGGAAGUAACAGCCUCUGUACGAGCAGGAAGAGCAUAAUACCUAUCCUGACCUCCCCUUCUAGGGUGACCUCGACCUCCCCAACCUCCACCUCGUGCUGGCUAAGCAGCUGGGGCGGUAGCCGGUGCUGGAAUCAUAGCAUGAGAACCUGGUGGCGCACGUGGUGGCUGAGAAUUCUGUGGAGGUGCAACCCUCCUAAGUCUGGGCCAAUCCCUCACCAUAUAGCGGGUGUAUCCACACUCAAAGCAACCCCUCGGAGGGCGUGGCUGCUACGACUGACUCGGGCCAGGUCUGCUGGACUGGACGAUAAAAUCACCCCAAGUUGGAGGCACACUAGAUAUUGGCGGUGCAUAAUAAGGCCCCUGAGGCCUAGAAAGGGCUGGAACACUAUUGGCAGCUGGAAGAGCUGAAUGAACGGGGCUACCCACAUAACCCCUAUCAUGGCGGGCUGCUGGGCCACGAGCUCCAUAAUAGGAACCAGUCUCUUGAGACCUCUUUCUCCUCACGGUCCCGGGCAAGCAUGCACUCCAAUCUCCUAGCAAUACGCACAACCUACUAAUAAGGAAUAUCCAUCUCCAGCUCCCUGACCAUACUAAUCCUGAUACUGGGGUGGAGUCCCAUAAUAAAACGUUGAACCCUCUCUCGAACUGUGGCAACCAAGGCCGGUGCAUGUCGGGCCAAAUCACUAAAGCAGGCUGCAUACUCUGACACCGUCAUAGCACCCUGGUGCAGCUGCUAUAACUCCGCGCGCCAUGAGUCCCUGAGGCUCUAAGGGACAUACUCUCUUAAAAACAUGUUCGAGAAUUGAGUCCAUGUAAGUGAAGCUGCCUUAUUCGGACUACUCAACUCAUAAGCACGCCACCACUGAUAGGCUGCUCCUCUAAGCUGGAAAGUGGUAAAAGAAACCCCACUCGUCUACGCUACACCCAUAGUACGGAGAAUACGAUGACACUCCUCUAGAAAAUCCUGAGCAUCAUCUAUAGCCAAUCCGCUAAAGGUAGGUAGGUGGUACUUCUAGUACCUCUCAAGUCUGAGCUGCUCCACCUCAGAAGCGGCUGUCCUAGUCUCAUGCUGAACCGGGGCUACCGGCAGCAUAUGAAUGAACUCUGGGGCCUGAUCAACCUGGACCCUCUACUCAGGAGUGUGGGCUACAGGAGUCUGUACCCCUCCCCAGCGUGAGAUGUGGCGGGAGCUAACAGAAUUAAUCCAGCCUGAGCUAAGGUGCUGAACAUGCUCAUGAACUGAGCUAGAGUCUCCUGGAGGGCUGGUGCAGUAAUAGGGACCUCCGAUGCCUGCUCUCCAGCUGGAACUGCUAGGGGCUCCUCUGUUGCAGCUCGCGCGGGUGCUCUGGCUGCACCGCAUGGCCGUACUCUACCCCGACCCCGGCCUCUGGCGGCUCUAGCAGAGGGCGCGGGUGCCUGGUUGUCAGAUCCUCCGUUACGGGUCCUCACCAUCUGUGAGAAAGAAUAGAAUAAAGAAUUUUUAGAAUUUCAUGCCAAUAACUCGCACGACAAGGAAUCAAAAGAAGUAUGUUUAUUCCUAACAGUUCCAUAGUCUCCCGAAGAUAAGUACAGACGUCUCCGUACCGAUCCGCGAGACUCUAAUAAACCGGCUUGUGACUCACGACUCUUAUGAACGUAAAGCUCUGAUACCAACUUGUCACGACCUAAUUUCUCCCUCCAUGAACCGUCGUAACGGCACCUAGUCUCUACGACUAGGUAAGCCUAAAACUUUACGGAAAUGAAACAAAAACAAGAAAAUUAACUACUAACAGUAACAAAUAUGUAAUAAGCAACUGAAUGCCACUCGGCAUAUACAAUUAUCACCUCUGAAAAUGUACAAAACAAUUCCCAAAACCCGGAAUACCAUAUGUCACAAGCUACUAAGAAGUCUUAUCUGUUUUAUACAUCAUUUCUACAGAAAGAAGACAAAAUAAACAUAGGGGGAUAGAUGGGGACUCCGAGGAUCCGCGGGCACGAGCAGAUGUACCGUGAAGUCUCCAAUAAGCAACAACAACUGCAACUAGUGAUGAGGCUGGUAAGAUGAACCUAGAUCUACACACGAAAAACAUGUGCAGGAAAUGACGUGAGUACACCUCAACGGUACCCAGUAAGUGCCAAGCCUAACCUCGAUCGAGUAGUGACGAAAUCAGGCCAGGGCCCUACUUGUAUAAAUAUAAUGAAAUAGGACAGAAUGAAAUAUCACAGUAAAAAUAAAUACGGAAAUCUAACAGGAAUAGAAUCAAUGAANNNNNNNNNNNNNNNNNNNNNNNNNNNNNNNNNNNNNNNNNNNNNNNNNNNNNNNNNNNNNNNNNNNNNNNNNNNNNNNNNNNNNNNNNNNNNNNNNNNNNNNNNNNNNNNNNNNNNNNNNNNNNNNNNNNNNNNNNNNNNNNNNNNNNNNNNNNNNNNNNNNNNNNNNNNNNNNNNNNNNNNNNNNNNNNNNNNNNNNNNNNNNNNNNNNNNNNNNNNNNNNNNNNNNNNNNNNNNNNNNNNNNNNNNNNNNNNNNNNNNNNNNNNNNNNNNNNNNNNNNNNNNNNNNNNNNNNNNNNNNNNNNNNNNNNNNNNNNNNNNNNNNNNNNNNNNNNNNNNNNNNNNNNNNNNNNNNNNNNNNNNNNNNNNNNNNNNNNNNNNNNNNNNNNNNNNNNNNNNNNNNNNNNNNNNNNNNNNNNNNNNNNNNNNNNNNNNNNNNNNNNNNNNNNNNNGGGGAUCUCCCAGAAUGCCGUUCCGUAGUCCCAAAAUAAAUAUGCAAAAUAGGGGGAUCUCCCGGAAUACCGUUCCGUAGUCCCAAAGUAAAUAUGCAGUAUAGGGGGAUCUCCCAGAAUACCGUUCCGUAGUCCCAAAGUAAAUAUGCAGCGCAACCAACCGAAAUAACAAUUACAACAAGAAAUCCUACAGUUUAGAUUAAGUUCAAGUCAAGGAAAGCAGGAAAUUUCACUAAAAAUGCUCCACAGAGUUCAAAUAGGCAGUUAAACAAGUAGGCAUGCUAUUCUAGUCUAAGCAGGAUAGUUACACAUGCUAGUGUGUUUCAAAUAAGGAGAAAACAAGUUAUGACUUAGUGAAAAACGGAGUUUUAAAACAAAUAGCCCGUGUACGUACUCGUCACCUCUCGUACACGGCGCUCACAUAUCAAACGUUACCAAAAUCCUAAGGGGAGUUCCCCCACAUAAGGUUAGGCAAGACACUUAACUUGAACCAAGCUCAAAUCAAUCCGAAAUAACGCUCUUUCCACGAGUAUCCAACUCCGAGUGGCCCAAAUCUAGACUAAUCAAUUACAUAUAGUAAACAUAGCUACAAGAAACUAUUAUAGCUAAUAAAAUCAAAGCUAAAGCAAGAAAUUAGAAAAAUGCCCGAAAAGCCUCCUCCGGGCCCACGUCUCGAAAUCGGGUAAAAGUUACCAAAUAAGAACACCCAUUCACUCACGAUUUCACUCGUACAAAAAUCAUCCAAAACCGACGCCUAAUUCCCACUCAAAACUCAGAUUUUUGGUUGGUGAACUUUUCCCCCAGUUCCCUUAUUUCCUCACUCAAAUUCCUUAAUAUAAUGAAGAAAACAACUAUGGGUUAAUGACAUAUGAUCAAAAUAGGAUUAGGAAUCGUUACCCACUAAUUUCAUCUGAAAAACUUUCAUAACAUCGCCUUCCUCCGAGCUCUUAAUCAAAUUUUGUGUUAUGAAAUUUCAACCCUCGAAUCCGCCUUUUUCUGCCCAGCGAUUAUCGCACAUGUGAGCCAAGGAUUGCAUCUGCGGUUCCGCAUCUACGGAAUUCCCAUCGCAGGUGCAGCUUUUCACUUAAGGUACCUCGUCCGCAUCUGCGAUCAAGAGGUCGCACCUGCGUGUGCGCAUAUGCGGACCUUUUUGUCUGCUUCUGCAGUCCGAGACCGCUCCUGCGGUUCCUUCACUCGCACCUGCGGGCAUCGCAGAUGCGGAACACCCCUCGCACCUACGAUCCCAGACCUCCUUCCCAUUUCUGCUUCUGCGGUUCCAUAGCCGCUUUUGCGGAUCCGCACCUGCGGCUUAAAGUGCGCUGGUGUUGUGACACCAGAUACAACAACAUCAGCAGUUUCACCUAAGUCCAAAUCAACCUGUUAAGCACCCGAAACUCACCCGAGGCCCCCUGGACCUCAACCAAACAUACCAACCAAUCCUAAAAUACCAUAUGAACUUAACCGAGCUUUCAAAUCACAUCGAACAACAUCACAACACGAAUAAUGCACGGAUUCAAGCCUAAGGAACUUUGAAAUUUCCCAAAUCUACAACCGACGUUGAAACAUAUCAAAUCUAGUUCGAAUGACCUCAAAUGUUACCCACAUGUCACAAAUGACACUACGAACCUACUCCCACUUCCAGAAUUCCAUUUCGGGUCCGAUAUCAAAAUUUCUACUGCCGACCAAAAUCGCCAAAAUUCCAACUUUCGCCAAUUCAAGCCUAAAUCUACUAUAGACCUCCAAAACACUAUCCGAACAUGCCCCUAAGUCCAAAAUCACCUAACGGAGCUAACAGGAUCAUAAAAAUUUAAAUCCGAGGUCGUCCUAUGUGGAGUAUUCCCUUGUGCUUUAUUCUAGUUGUCUCAUGACUGCCUUUCCGGCCCAUUUACGCAUGAUGGUAUGAUAAGGAAGAUACUUUACAUGGGUACUCGGUUGAGUAAGGCACUGGGUGUCCGUCGCGUCAAUAUGAUUUGGGUCUGACAGUUUUGGGGUUGAAACGCAUGCGGUGAGAUAAGGUGGGCUUGAUACACGUGGCUAGUAAGGGAACUACUAGAAGUCAUUUGGUAUGAUAAGGUGGGCUAAAACGCAGGAUGCUAUUUCGGGAAAAUGAUUUUUAAUACUAAAUGUAGAGGCUCCCGCGGUGAUAUAAGGAAAGAUUGUGGAUUGUUUAUGUAACUUGAGACUACGAGGCGGUACCUCAGUAGUUACUCUUGUUGUUCCUCUAUUUGGUUGUUUGUUUCCUUGUCUUAACAUUUCCUUGCUUUAUUCCAUGAUGUACUAUCUGCCUUGAUUUUGCAUAGUUAAUUUUGGCUUAUCCCUUACUUGUUUUAGUUUCGUUAUUAUUAUUAUUACAUUGUUAAACUAUUUGUACAAUAUUUUCUUAUUUAUUUCCAGUAGGGCCCUGACCUGACCUCGUCACUACUCUACCAAGGUUAGGCUUGGCACUUACUGGGUACCGUUGUGGUGUACACAUGCUACUCUUCUGCAUAUCUUUUUGUGCAGAUCCAGGUACUUCCUAUCAGCCCAAGCAUUAGCUAGAGUUCUGCUACGGAGACUUCAAGGUACACCUGCCGGCGUCCGGAGGCCUCGAAGUCCCCCUUUCUCUGGAUCUCUUUAUUCAUUAUCUUUUCAUAUAUAGAUAUUGAUGUAUAGGAUUAUUAGAUAUUUCUACUUAGAGCUUGUGAAUUGUAUCUUGCCGGGUCUCGGGAGUUGUAUAUGUUGAGUUGCAAAAUUAUUUUAUAAAGUUUCUGAGUUGAGACUUAAUUAUUAAUUCAGUUAUUCCGCAUGUAUGUUAGGCAUACCUAGUGUUAUAGACUCGGUGACAUCACGACAUCCUUGAGAGGAAAAUUAGGGUCGUAACAAUUACUCAAACUUAAGAUACCUUGGCUAGGUUGAUAUACAUGUUCAAUUGUCAGACUCAACUCUUAAGAGUUAGUCCAGUGCACGAAGCAUUCCGCGUUCAUGUCGGGUUCGAGGAGAAGGGACUAACGUAAGGGGGUGUAAUGUAGACAACCUAUCCUAUUGCAAGCACCAGUAGUUGAUUCCAUGGCUCGAACCCAUGAUCAAUAAGUCACCCAAAGAUAACUAUACUAUUGCUCCAAGGCUCCCAUUCACCAUUAUGAGUUAGUGGUGAAUAAUUUAUUAACUCAUAUAAUGGUUGUCACUAUGACUGUUGUCAUGAUUAACCCUUUCUUUAUGGAAAAGUUUGGACAGUCUUUUCUCACAUAAAAUAUGUGCAUUUGUUAAAUUAAGUGCCUCCCAAAAUCACUUAAGCCCUUGGUUCUUUACCUAGUUUCAUAUGCUUAGUAAGUAAAGUACAAAAAAGUAAAGAAUACAUAAGUUGACGUGAAAAAUCACCCGGCUCAAAAGGUGCAAAAAUCACAACCUACCAUAUAGGAUUUAACUUCAACUCACUAGAACAAAUGAGCCAAAUGUACAAAUUAUAACUCUUGUAACCUAGUACAACUGCAAACUACAACUAUUUCACUUAUUGUAUGAUUAUUACAAGUUUAUCCAACAUACAAAAUACAAUAGAUGACUCGAGUAGUAAUAUUUUCAAAGAAAUAGAAAUGUAACUCAAUUACCUAAUACACAUGAACUAGACUAACUCAUGUUAUACUGAUAAUCAUAAAGAAUCGGCUCCUUCAGUUUGCUCUUCGAUCUUGAACAGACUUGGUCAUCCACCUUCGAUAUGAGUUGUUGAUCAAAAGAAAUCUUCUUUACUCACAAUAUGUACGUCAAAAGGGAUGAUUGCUACAGCCUUGGAGUACAAAAUUUAAGUCCACUUGGAAACCGAAUACUUAGGAGUUCUAGAGAUAAUAGAACUCUCAUUAUUUUAUGAGUCAUAGAGAUAAAAGAACUCCUCAAGUUUCGUAACUCCUGUCCAUGAAGAUCUCAUCCAAACAUCUUUAUUCCGUUACAGAUUUCUUUCUUGGACCAUAAUAACUUUUGAUACUUCUGGAAUAAGUUAAUAUCAUACAAAAAGUUUCUGUUAUAUCCGUGAGAACCUAGUUCUUCACGUCCAUUGCAGAUAUUGUUAAUCAUCAAAAUACCUAAUUCAACAGAUUUCCCCUUUUGUGUAAUGACAAAUAAUGUGCAUAUGAACUAGGAACCUUUAUUUCAUAUAGGGUAGUGAAAUAAGACAAUAAGAACAGUAGAACCAUAAGCACUCCCCACUAUCUUCCCCUUUUUGGCAACAGAGGAAUAAUGCAUUAGAUGGUGCUAAUUAAGCCAAAAGUCUCUAAUAAAAAUUAAUAUUAAAACAAAAAUAGUUCAGACAUUCUUGCAUUCUAACUAGAGGACAAAAUAAGAAAAGUCAUAACUAAGAAGAACUAGAUUCAGACACUAGAUAGGGGACAAGGACCAAAUUCUUAGGUGAGAAGUGGAUGGGCUCAAGUCUUUCACAAGUGUUGCAACAUACUGAGCAUGAGCCUCUAUAUCUUUCCUUUACCCCUCUCUUAGCUCCUUUGUAUCUUUCCUCAAAUCAUCAUUAUCUUCUCUAAGCUUUUGUUCUCCUCUAAAGCCAACUUCAGUCUCAUACAAAGCUCAAUGACUGUGCUACUUCUAGGCAAAAUAGCAGUCCCAGUUGGACCCCUAGCUUUAACCUCACCAUACCCACACCGUCAGAGUGUAACCCCAUCUAGUACAUCAUUGUGGUUCACAUGCUUAAGUUAUUGAAAAUAAAUGUUGAGCUUGUCGAAUAGCUCAGUCAGCAUGAACCCAUAUGUCAUAUCAUAUCUUGGCUUUAAGGUAUCAGUAACCCUGGCCACAUGCUGAAUCAACAAGCUAGGAAGAUUGAUGGCUUUUCAGUAUCUAGCAGUUCCAUCACAACCAUGUCAAACAUAGUGGAUUAAUGUCUUCUCUCAGAAUUAAACCAAUUAACUCAUCAAUCCGUAAAUCAAGUAAAGCAAAGAAAUUGACAAUGACACGGAAUCACCCUUCGUGCUUUUGCUCUCGUCCUCACCAUGUAACAUCAUAAAUGAAAUGGCACAGGAUCACCCUUCGUACUUUUACUCUCUUCCUCACAUGAUAUGAUAAUGAAGAUAAGCAAUCAAAUACACGACAUCACCCUUUGUGCUUUAAUCCUCACAAUAUGUCAAAUAAAUGAUAUUGAAUACAAAUAAGGCACGACAAUACCCUUCGUGCUUUUCCCUCUUCCUCACCGAGCAACAACACUAAUCCAAAAUAGAAAACAAGGUGGAAAUCAAUUUCACUUCAAUAUUAGUGUAAUGGUAAUGCAUCUCAACUUUCAAAAUCCCAACAACUUCAAAAUAAGCAAUAGAUAUGAAAAGCGAACAAUUAAAGAAGUAAUAAUCUAACUACGGCAUGGAAAGCAUAAUAAUGGAAACAACAUAAUACAAUAAAAUAAUUUUCACCCGUAUGCUUUAACCCAAUAACAACGUAUAUAUACUCGUCACCUUACAUAUAUGCCGUUCCUACACAUAAUUCACGUAGCAAGUAGACCAACAAGUCCUAAUCCCCCAAGUCAAAGUUAACCUCGACACUUACCUCACUAUACAACCAAAUCAAUGCUCAACCGUGGCUUUUCCAUUAGAAUUAGCCUCCAAACUAAUCAAAUCUAGCCAAAUAUAGUUCAAAUAAUUCAAAAUAGGCUUUAGAAACUACCCACGAGUGAAAAAGAUUCAAUCUUUAAUGAGUUUGGAAAAAGUCAACAAAAGCCAUACUCGGGCCUCUUGGUCAAAAUCCGAGAGUCGGACGAAAACCCAUUCACCCUGAGCCCGAUUAUAUCAUUUAUUUUAAAAUCUAAUCUCAAUUUGAGGUCUAAAUCUCAAUUUUACAGAAUCCCCAAUUUCUAUCCAAAUCCCUAAUUUCUACCAUGAAAAUCUUAGAUUAAAGAUUGAAAUCAAUGGGUUUUUAUGAAAAUAUAACAAAACAAGUUAAUAUUUACUAACCAAUGAAAUAGGGAUGAAAAACCUUUUCAAAAUCGCCUCUAGGUCAAGCUCUAACUUCAAAAUGGUAAAAAAUGAUUUAAAUCUCGACUUUCAGCUAGUUUAAUACAUGGGCAUCAGGUGUUCUUCGCGUUCGCGAAGUACUUGAUGCGUUCACUAAGAGCAGUGGCCAAAUGGCCUACGUGCUGGCGAGUCCAGCUUCGCAUUCGUGAAAGCAUCCCAAAGCUUCGCGUUUGCGGGAGGACAUACUCAUUCGCGAAGGGCAUUCCUCCAGGCCCUCGCGUUUGCAAUACAACCCUCGUGUUCACGUACCCUACCAGACCCUUGCCCGUUUUCCCUUUGCGAUCACGAAGAACAAUGCAUCAUACACCAGAAAUAGUUGAAACAAACAAUCUCUUAGGUGCAAAAAUGAUCUGAAGCCUAUUGGAAACUCACCCGAGCCCCUCGAGCUCCAAACCAAAUAUGCACACAAGUGUAAUAAUAUCAUACGAACUUGCUCGCAUGAUCAAAACACCAAAAUAACAUCUAGGACUACGAAUCAGACAUCAAAAUUAUUGAAAUUUCAAAGAAAACUCAAUAACCUCUAAAAUCACAACCAAGCGUCCGAAUCCUAUCAAGCAAACUCCGAUAUGCACCAAAUUUUGCACACAAGUUUCAAAUAGCAAACGGAGUUAUUCCAUGUCUGAAAUCCAAAAUCCGAACCCGAUAUCCAUAAAGUCAACCUACGGUCAAACUUAGGAUGUUUCCAAACUUUCAAAUUGCUAAACUUCGGCAAAAUAAGCCAAAUCAACCUAGGGAUCUCCGAAUUCUAUUCUGGGCAUACGCAUAAGUCCAAAAUUAUAAUAUGGACCUACUAGAAUCGUCAAAACACCGAUUUGGGGUCGUUCACACAAAAUGUUGACCGUAGUCAACUCAAGUUAUUUUUAAUGUCUAAAAGUCAUAUUUUCUUCAAAUAUUUACGUAAAAACCUUUCGGAAAAAGACAGACUGCGCAUACAAAUCAAUAAAUAUUAAUGAAGCUAAUAGAGGUUUGAAACAUGAAACUAAGGGCUGGUACUGUCAUGACCCAACUCCCACUGGAGCCGCGACGACGCUUAACACUACAUAUUAGGCCAGCCAACAGUUCACAAAAUGACUAAGUAUUUGGAUAAACAUGGUUUAGCAAACUUAAUAGCGGAAAUUCAUAAUUUUCUAAUGAAAAUAGUAACAAUACUGAUACAACCAUCCCCGAAAUCUAGUGUCAAUGAGUAGGUGGGCACUACCGAGUAUCAUAAUAUAAACCAAAUCCAUAGUACAAUUGUCUGAACAAUAGAAUAGUAACAAGAAAAAUAAAGGAAAGAGAGUCAAGGUCUGCAGACGUCAUAGAAGCUACCUCGAAGUCUCAUGACACUGGCACCAGCACGGAUCUAGCAAUCAUCACGUUCAGAUGUACCUGGAUUUACACACGAAGUGAAGAGUAUAGUAUGAGUACAACCGACCCCAUGUACUCAAUAAGUAACAGAACUUACCUUGGGCUGAAAGCAGUGGCGAGCUCAGAAGAAGACAGUCAAAACCAAUAUAAAUGACAACACAGAUAUAAUGAUGACAAUAACAAUAAGUAACUCAAAAUAAUUAUCAAAAUCUACUUGUUCAUAUUAUAGGAGUUUAGACAUGCUUUCAAGUAUAACAAUCAGAGCACAUCACUCAUAAGAACAUGUCAGAUACAACUAGCAUGAGGAAUAAUACAUCUCUAUGCAUGCAUGUUAAGUAUGCAUGUCAAAUGAAUGAUUUUACGGGAAUAUCCCCAUAUACUCUCACUCUCAACAUACCCAAGCUGUCUGUCCCAAAUGCCCACCUCAUCACAUAUAUAAUCACUCAGCACUGUACGGAUGCCUGACAUCUAUGUCCCUCACUAAUGCAUGUGUAUAUAUCACUGUGUCUGCACUCAGUGUAGGUAUGUCUGACUCCGGAAGGGCGAAUCCUGCCCAAGCGCUAAUCAAAAGCCAAUAAGGCAUGUUGCACCGUACAACCCGAUCCACAUAAUAAUAAUAAUAAUAAUAACAAUAAUAAUAAUAAUAAUAAUAAUAAUAAUAAUAAUAAUAAUAAUAAUAAUAAUAAUAAUAAUAAUAAUAAUAAUAAUAAUAAUAAUAAUAAUAGUAAAGCCAAUAUAGCCUUCAAGGGCUCACAAUCUCGUAUCGCUCAGCCCAACAGCUCCAUAUAUGGAACAAUAAUGAAUGAUGAACAAAUACCAAGAUAUGACAUGCCAAUGAAGAAUCAUGACUGAGUGUAAAAAUACAGUUAAAUCAGAUAAUCCGAAAUAACAAAAAUAGCCUCAUCAGGUCACAAUUAAAUAACCACACAACCUAAAUAUGAUUUCUAGCAUGAAUCAUGGCUCAAUUAAUCUAACAAAUAGGGAGGCACAGAUAAAACAAGAUAUGAUAGCAACAUAGUCCAAUAGUCAACCUGGAACGUGAUUACCGCGGUGCAUGCCCACACGCCUGUCACCCAGCAUGUGCGUCACCCCAACACAUCCCAAAUAACAAGUUUUCCUGGGAUAAAUACCCUCAAUUCAAAGUUUAGAAAUGUUACUUACCUCAAAACGCGUAACUCAAUACUCCAACAAGCCCUUGCCUUGCAAAUCGGCCUCCGAACGACUCGAAUCUAGUCACAAACAACUUAAUACCAUCACUAAUAGCUGUAAGAAAUAGUUCCAAAUGAUAAAGCUAAGAUAUGUAACUUCAAUCAAAAGGUCAACCCAAAAAGUCAACCCCUGGCUCGCACCUUGGAACCCAACAAAAUUCAAAAAUGCUGGUCACCCAUCCAAUUACGAGUCUAACUAUACCAAAAUCAUCAAAUUCCAACCACAAAUCGACCCUCAAAUCAUCAAAUCUCACUCUCCAAUACCAUAGUCUAAAACCUCCAAAUUUCACUUCAAAUUCACUUAAUCUGGGUGUAAUAAUCAAUGGGUAAUCAAUAUUUAUCAACAAAAGUGAUUAAACUUCACUUACCUCUUCAAUUGAAGCAAAAUCCCUCUCAAAAAUCGCCCUUAACCGAGUCCCAAUACUCUACAAAUGAGUAAAAUCACGAAACAUUUCUAAUAUAAAAUAUGCCCAGCAAUAACGCUUCUGUGGUCCAAAAGGUCGCACCUGCGAUGCUGCACCUACGGUCAAACCAUCAUAGGUGCAAAAAUUCCUUAAACCCUGACCAUGUGCACCUUCGGCUCAAAAUAUGUACCUGCAGGACCGCUUUUGCACAACUGCACCUACAGUUACCUUCUGCAUCUGCGGCUCAAGCCUACCCAACCCAACUCCGCUUCUGUGUAACACCAUAUGCAUCAACGGGUUCGCAGAUGCGGAAAAUCGUUAGGCUCUGUGGCCUUCUCCGGCACUAGCCAAAGUCGCUUCUGCAUUUGUAGGGCCACUUCUGCGGUCAAAUCCUUGCAGGUGCGAUCACACCAGUACCUAAAACUUCCGCAUUCCCUCAAGUCCAAACAUCUAUCUUAUUCAAUCCGAAUCACACCCGACGCCCCCCGAGACACUAUCCAAACAAACCUACAGGUCCUAAAACAUGAUAAGAACUUACUCAAAGCCUCAAAUCACAUCAAAACCACGAAUCACACCCCAAUUCAAGCCUAAGGAACUAAUGAACUUUCAACUUCUAAAACUAAUGCCGAACCAUGUCAAAUCAACUCCGAAUGACCUGAAAUUUUGCAUGCAAGUUCCAAAUGACACAAUGGACCUCUUCCAAUUUCCGAAACCAUAAUCCGAACUCGGUAUCAACAAAUUCAGCCCUCGGUCAAUCCUCUCAACCUUCCAAACCUUCAACUUUUCAACUUUCGCCAAAAGCAUCAAUUCAACCUACGGACCUUUAAAGCAACAUCCAGACAUACUCCUAAGUCCAAAAUCACCAUACAAAUAUAUGGGAUCUAUCAAAGCUCCAUUCCGGAGUUAUCUACACAAAAGUCAAACUCCGGUCAACUCUUUCAACUUAAGCCUUCACCUUUGGGACUAAGUGUCUCAAUUCACUCCAAAACGUUUCUGAAACCAAUCCAACCAACCUGGCAAGUCACAUAACCAUUAAUGAAUGUGGAAGAGGCAAUACAUAGGGAAAUAGGGCUACAAUACAUGAAAUGACCAAUCAGAUAGUUACAAGUACUCAAAAUGAUCUAUCUGGUCGUCACAUACAUGAAAUCUAAGUUUAACUCUUAGCAUCACAAUCAUCAAAAAGAAAAAACAAAUCAUGUGUUUGACUUAUGAAAAUGAAUCUAAUACAUGUGAAAAUACAUGUUAAAAAUAUAAUUAAAUUAAUAAAAUUUUGCUAUCUAUUACAAAUUAAGCUUCUACAUGAGGUGAUGUGAUCACAUAUUUAAUAUAACUGAUUAGAGAAAAAGGACUUUGAUUAGAUAUUUUACGAACGAUGAAAAACAAGUGUAGAACACUAAAAUAAGAGUUUUUCUUCUAUGCAAUAAAGGUGCAAAAAUAUUCUCACAGUCACUGCAGGUGGAUUUAUAAGGUUUUAAUAACAUCAAAGACCUUAAGGUAGAUCCUAGCAUGCAUCAGUACACUUAAGAGGGCCAUUUCUAUGGUGCAGUAUGUCAACAAAUCUCAAUACAUGAUUUUUGUGUACAAGUUGUCAUGACAUGCAUACAUAAUCAGAAUAGUAUAGUAUCAUAGUCAAGUCUAUCAACUAGAGUCAUUUAAGUAAGGACAUGUCAUUAUGAGCAUUGUGAAUAUCUCUUAAUGAGAAUUAUUCACUGAGCUUAAACCAAUACAACAUCAUAGAACGGUCAGGAUUAUUAUAGGUACAGGGUCUUAAGAGGUUAACACACAGAUACAAGUGCAAAGUUCCUCAAGCCAAGGUCAUAUAAUGGUCCAUGAACACAGCAUAACUGAAAUGACAAAUGUGAGCUCAGGUAUAGAGGUUAAGAAGAGUUUUUCAAUUAAGAUAGAAGCAAGAAUUUCAUGUGGCUACCAUCACAAAGCUCAAACAGCCAUGAGAUGUGCUACAUCUCAUGUUUUCAUACGUUAAAGUAUGUCAUAAGUCAAUUGAUGUAAGAUCCGAAAUGAGAUCAUCAUUGAAAGUAUGUAAAGUAAGUUAUUCAUGUUACCUUGGAGGCAAUAAAUAUUUAGGAUCAUGAAUAACAAGUACCAAGAGGGUUGGAAGGCCUAGAAGCUAAACGAAUUGAAGAAAAUAAGUUUCGUCUAAAGUCGACAAGUUGAGAAUGUUAUAAUGUGUCCUUUUAGGGUGAGACUAGGGUACUUAACAUGAUAAGGAGGUUAUGCUUUAAGUUAUUUUAGUCGCAUGAUAGUCGCGUAUUAUGUUUUGAAGUCAAGCGAGUUGUGGAACAAAAGUUGACAAAGGUAUCACGACCCAAAAUCCCAACCUGUCAUGAUGGCACCUAACACAUUUACUAGACAAGCCGACAAUCACAUAACAACUAAGAAUUUGAAUUAAGACAUGAUUUAAAAAUAUCAACAAUGGAAAAUCUCAUAAAUAUCUGAUAAAAAUAACUAAAACUCUACUACAACCAUCCAAAAACCUGGUGUCAUCGAGUACAUGAGCUACUAAGUAUCAACAUAGUCUGAAACUCUAAUACAACUGUGUGAGAAAUAGAACUGUACUAAAUAAAAUGAAAAGAAGGAAAGUCGAGGUCUGCAGGCAUCGUAACAUCUAUCUCAAAGUCUCCGAGCAGGUACUGGCACCAAAUCUAGCAAUCGCUACGUCCAGAUGUACCUAGAUCUAUACAUGAAGCGCAGGGUGUAGUAUGAGUAGAACCAACCUAAUGUACUUAAUAAGUAAUAGGACUAACCAUGGGCUGAAAGCAGUGACGAGCUUAGAAGGAUACGGUCAGAACCAAUAAAAUGAUUAUAUGGAUAUCACAAUGAGACUCCGGAGGGGCGGAUCCUACCCAAAUGCUAAUAUAAAGCCUAUAAGGCCUGCUGCGGCGUGCAGCCCGAUCCUCAAUAAAUAAAUAAGCCAAUAAAUCCUAUUGUGGCAUCCAACCCGAUCUAAAAUAGCACUCUCAACUCGGCUCUCAGGCCCAACUACCAAACUCUCAAGUCUCACGGGGAUCACAAUCUCAUACUACUCAGCCCAACUCAGUAUGAACAUGUAAUUAAACAGUAAAUGAUAAUAGAGACUGAGAUAUGAUAUGCAAGUAAAGGAUCAUGAAUGAGCACACAGUUGCAGUUAAAGCAGAUAGCUCAAAACAGCAAAAAUAACCUCACUAGGCCUCAACAGGAUAAGCACAUAGCCUAAACAUGUUGUCUAACAUGAAGUUCAAUUACUCUAACAAGUAAGGAUUUCAUGGAUAGAACAAGACUUGAUAACAACACAGUACAAAAGAAUCAACUGAAUCAUAUUUACCACGGUGCACGCCCACAUGCCCGUCACCCCAACACAAACAUAUAACACAUUUUCCAGGGAUUCAUACCCUCAGUACCAAGUUUAGAAGUUUUACUUACCUCAAAGUGCGGAACUCAAUGCUACAACAAAACCUUUGUCACGCCCCAAACCCGGGGAGGUGUGGUCGGCAUCCGGUUCCAUACUCGGACCGAGCAUACUACUCUAGAACUUUGAACUCUAGAGGGGUAGCCCUCAACUUAGGCUGACGAGGCCUACUUACAAGCUGACAAUACCAACCAAGAUCGAUGGGGCCAUAUUCUGAAUUAUCUGAAAGUAAUGUCUCUAUCAUCUGAGGUGUAAACAUACCCAAAAGCUCAUAUAUAUAAUUGUGCAGGCCAACAAUAAUGUCAUGAUCAUCUACUGAUAUACAAAAUAUACAGGACUCAUCUACAAGCCUCUAGAGAUAACUGAACUGUAUCAUGGUCGGGACAGGGCCUCGACCUACCCAUCAAACAUGUAUUUUCAAAUAGACUCCAAGGUCUAGACCUGGUAACUUCGAGGAAGUGGAGCUUACCAACCAAGAUGAUGUUAGACUCUGUCUACUGGGAAGGUCUAUCCAGCUGUCUAUCAUGACCUGCAGGUAUGAAAUGCAACGUCCCUAGAAAAGGGACAUUAGUACAAAAUAAUGUACCGAGUAUGUAAGGCAAUAGAAUAACCGAAAGCUGAAACUGAACUGAUAAUAUAAUAACUGAAAGUAACUGGAGUCAAAGAUGAUUUGAGAAUAUGCUUACUUGCUGAUACUGACUCAACUCUCUCAAUAUAGUAAGUAAAAUAGUUGUCCGACCCUAUAAUGAUCGGUACGUGUAACUGGUCUGCCGUAAUAGGCUCGCUCAUAGGUGUUUGACCAUAAUAGGCUCUAUAUUUCGGCCAUUCUGGGCCCACUCAUAGGCUCUCAGCCACAAUAGGCUCAAUAUAUAACUUCCCAUCUGAUCAGAAGUUGCCCAAUAGGGGCUUGCCAACCGAUUAUAGCUCGAUGGUGAUGAAAAUACUGUAAUACUACCCAAUAGGGGCCUGCCUACCGAUUAUAGCUCCAUGGUGGUGAAAAUACUAUAAUAAUAUAUAUGGACCCUCUUGUCACAACCCAAAAACCAAACGUCGUGAUGGCAUCUAUCGUGGAACUAGGCAAGCCAACUAUUCGACCACUUCAACCAAAUAAAAGCUUUGAAAAUUAUACGGAAGCAGUUGAUAUUUAAGAAAAAACUUUUUAACAAAAAAUAGAAAUAAAUCCACAAUGUAGUACAAAUAUUUCCCAAAACCGGUGUGUCACCGAGUACAUGAGCAUCUAUACAAGGAACGGUUUACGACAAUGUCUAAGGAAUAAGAACUGAAAUGCAAUUAAAGAUAAUGAAGGAGAGUGAAGGCAUGCGAACGCCAUGCUGCUACCUCGAUAGUCUCUGGAAUGAGCUGCUCAAAUAUCAACACCCGCUAUGACCGGGAACACCUGGAUCUGCACAUGAAGUGAAGGGUGUAGCGUGAGUACAACGAAAUCAGUAAGUAACAAUAAUAAAUAAGGAACUGAAAGAUAGUGACGAGCUACACAAUUAUAGUUCGUUUUCUGUAAUCUCAGCAAGAAAGUAGACAUGCUUUCAAAUCCAGCAAUUUAAGUCAAAUCAGUUUAUACAUUACCAAGUUCAAGUAAAAUCGGAUACAAUAUCUUCCAGGAGUUCCAAAACAGCGACAUAUAGAAGCUAAGUGCAAUAACAAAUGAAAGCAAGUACAAAAUCUCAGGGCAACAAUCACUCAAUAUUUCUCAAUAGCUCAAACACUCGGCUCUCAGCUCUCAACACUCACAUACAAUAGGUAUCUGUGCACACUGGGGGUGUACAGACUCUGGAGGGGNNNNNNNNNNNNNNNNNNNNNNNNNNNNNNNNNNNNNNNNNNNNNNNNNNNNNNNNNNNNNNNNNNNNNNNNNNNNNNNNNNNNNNNNNNNNNNNNNNNNNNNNNNNNNNNNNNNNNNNNNNNNNNNNNNNNNNNNNNNNNNNNNNNNNNNNNNNNNNNNNNNNNNNNNNNNNNNNNNNNNNNNNNNNNNNNNNNNNNNNNNNNNNNNNNNNNNNNNNNNNNNNNNNNNNNNNNNNNNNNNNNNNNNNNNNNNNNNNNNNNNNNNNNNNNNNNNNNNNNNNNNNNNNNNNNNNNNNNNNNNNNNNNNNNNNNNNNNNNNNNNNNNNNNNNNNNNNNNNNNNNNNNNNNNNNNNNNNNNNNNNNNNNNNNNNNNNNNNNNNNNNNNNNNNNNNNNNNNNNNNNNNNNNNNNNNNNNNNNNNNNNNNNNNNNNNNNNNNNNNNNNNNNNNNNNNNNNNNNNNNNNNNNNNNNNNNNNNACCCGAUCCAUAAAUACAUAUAGCUCAUAGCUCGGCACUCAAGCCCUAACUCAGUCACCAACCUCUCCAAUCUCUCAAGCUCUCAGAAAUCAUAAAUAAAAUCAGCCCAAAUAAAGAUAAUUAUAAUAUAUCAACAACAAACAAGAAGAGACUAAGAUACGAUACACAAGUGAACUGUGACUGAGUACAAAACAUCAAUUAGCAAUUAAUUCACUAAGUACACGAUAUCUGCGGGUCCCAACAGUGUAAUCACAUAGCCUAAGCAUGACUCCUAACAUGAUUUGCAGUCAAAUAUCUAUAACACAGGGAGUGCAUAUAGCUAACGACAAGUUAUUCAACUUUACAGUUCCACGGAAUGGACCAAGUCACAAUUCCCAUGGUGCACGCGCACACACCCGUCACCUAGCAUAUGCGUCACCACCAAACAAUCAUAUAACAACAAAAUUCGGGGUUUUCAUACCCUCAGGACCAGAUUUAAAACCGUUACUUACCUCAAUCCGAGCCAAAACUCUACUCCAAAAUUCCUUUGCCUCGCGAAUCGGCCUCCAAACGUCCCGAAUCUAGGCACAAGAAAUACAAUACAAUCAAUACGGCUAAAGGAAUUAAUUCCAUAAGAAAAAUACGAAUUUUAAGCCAAAAUAUGAAACUGGUCCAAACCCGAGCCACGGGCCCGUGUCUCGAAAUCCGACAAAAAUCACAAAACCCAAAAGCCCAUUCACUCACGAGUCUAACCAUACCAAAUUUAUCAAAACUCUUCAAAUCCCUAACCUCAAACCCUCAAAUUGCACCUCAAAAACUCACCAACUAGUUGUAAAAUCAGUGGGGAAACAAUAUUAUUGGCCAAAAAUGAGUACAAGAAGCUUACCUCAAGAAUCCCGUCGAAACUCCUCUCCAAAAUUGCCUAAGACCGAGUUCAAAAUGUUGAAAUGAAGCCAAAAUCAUGGACUCUCGUUUUUAAACAUUCUGCCCAAACCUUUCGCACCUGCGGCCAAUUAUCCGCACCUACGGAACCGCUUCUGCAGUUAAAUCUCUGCUUCUGCGGAGUCCACUUAACCAGUUGCCUCCGCUUCUGCGAGCGCGGGACCGCAUCUGCGUACAUUGCAGGUGCAGAAAAUUCCAUCGCACGUGUGGAAUCAUCCGCAUAUGCGCCCUUCUGCUCGCUUCUGCGACCACACAUGUGCGGCAGAAUCUUUGCUCCUACGAUCUCUGCUACCUCUCCCUUGGCCGCUUCUGCAGCUCUUGUCCCGCUUUUGCGAACUCGCACCUGCGGUUCCCACUCUGGAGGUGCGAUUACACCAGCAGCAACAAAACUUCAGUUGCUUCUCAAAUCAAACUCCAAGUCCGUUAACCACCCGAAAUCAACCCGAGGCCCCCGGGACCUCAACCAAAAAUACCAACAAGUCUUAUAACCCAAUACUAACUUAGUCAAACUAUCAAAUCACCUCAACCAACAUCAAAAACAUGAAUUGCACACAGAUUCAAGCCUAAUGAACUUUGAAAUUUCCAAAUUCUACAAACGACGUCGAAACCUAUCAAAUCACGUCCGAUUGACCUCAAAUUUUGCACAUAAGUCAUGAAUGACACCACGAACCUACUCCAACUUCCGGAAAUCCAACCCGACUCCUAUAUAAAAAAGUCCAUUCCCGGUCAAAUUUCCAAAAUUCCAACUUUCGCCAUUUCAAGCCUACUUCUACUCCUGACCUCUAAAUUACAAUCAGGACACGCUCCUAAGUCCAGAAUCAUCCAACAGAGCUAACGGAACCAUCAAAAUUCCAAUCUGAGGUCGUUUAUACAUAAGUCAACGUCCGGUCGAAUUUUCUAACUUAAUAUUUCAAUUAAGAGACGAAGUGUCUCAUUUCACUCUGAAUUCACUCCGGACCCGAACCAACUAACCCGAUAAGUCAUAAAAACAAAGUGAAGCACAAAUAUGAGAAGAAAAGGGGAACGUGGCUACAUCUCUCGAAACGACCGGCCAGGUCGUUACAUCCUCCCCCUCUUAAAUAAAUAUUCGUCCUCGAACGGGUCUAGAAACAACCUAUAGUCUCACAUAGGCGUGGAUAUCUGCUCCGCAUCUCCUGCUCGGUCUCCCAAGUAGCCUCCUCAACGGUCUAACCUCUCCACUGCACCUUCACUGAAGCUAUAUCCUUUGACCUCAACUUUCAAACCUGACGAUCCAUAAUAGCCACUGGCUCCACAUCAUAAGUCAAAUCACCAUCCAACUGAACCGUGCUAAAAUCCAAUACAUGAGACGGGUCGCCAACAUACUUUCGGAGCAUGGAAACAUGAAAUACUGGAUGCACACUUGACAAGCUAGGUGGCAAGGCAAGCUUAUAAGCCACCUCCCCAAUCCUCUGAAGUACCUCAAAAGGCCCAAUGAACCUAGGGCUCAACUUGCCCUUUUUCCCGAACCGUAUAACACCCUUCAUGGGUGAAACCUUCAACAGAACCUUCUCCCCAAUCAUGUAAGACACAUCACAGACCUUCAUAUUGGCAUAACUCUUCUGUCUAGACUGCGCCGUGCGAAGACGCUCCUAAAUCAAUUUAACCUUGUCCAAUGCAUCCUGAAUUAAGUCUAUACCCAACAUUCUAGACUCACCAUGCUCAAACUAAUCCACUGGAGAUCUACACCGCCUCCCAUACAAAGCCUCAUACGGGGCCAUCUGGAUGCUCGACUGAUAGUUGUUGCUGUAAGCAAACUCCACGAGUGGCAGAAACCGGUCCCAUGAACUUCCAAAAUUAAUGACACACACACGUAGCAUAUCCUCCAAUAUCUGAAUAGUGCUCGGACUGCCCGUCCGUCUGAGGGUGAAAUGCUAUACUCAACUCCACCUGAUUGCCCAACUCACACUGCAUGGCUCUCCAAAACUGUGAUGUAAACUACGUGCCUCUAUCUGAAAUGAUGGAAACUGGCACACCGUCAAGGAGGACAAUCUCUCGAUUGUAAAUCUCAGCCAACCGCUCUGAAGAAUAGGUGGUGCCCACUGGAAUGAAGUGCGCGGACUUGGUCAGUCGAUCCACAAUCACCCAAAUAGCAUCGAACUUCCUUGAAGUCCGUGGAAGCCCAACUACGAAAUCCAUGGUGAUCCGCUCCCACUUCCACUCUAGAAUCUCUAACCUCUGAAGCAAGCCACCUGGUCUUUGGUGCUCAUAUUUUACCUGGUGACAGUUAAGGCACCGAGCUACAAACCCCACUAUGUCCUUCUUCAUCCUCCUCCACCAAUAGUGCUGCCUCAAGUCCUGAUACAUCGUCGUGGCACCCGGAUGAAUGGAAUACCACGAACUAUGGCCUUCCUCGAGAAUCAACUCACGUAGCCCAUCCACAUUGAGCACACAAAUCCGACCCUGCAUCCUCAUUACCCCAUCAUCCCCAAUAGUCACAUCUCUGGCAUCACCGUGCUAAACCCUGUCCUUGAGGACAAGCAAAUGAGGAUCAUCAUACUGGCGCUCUGUGAUGCGAUCAAAUAAGGAAGAGCGAGAAACCAUACAAGCGAGAACCUGACUGGGCUCCGAAAUAUCCAAUCUCAUGAACUAGUUGGCCAAAGCCUGAACAUCAACUGUAAGAGGUCUCUCACCAACUGGAAGAAAAGCAAGACUACCCAUACUCACUGCCUUCCUACUCAAGGCUUCGGCCACCACAUUGACCUUCCCUGGAUGAUACAGAAUAGUGAUGUCAUAGUCCUUUAGCAGCUCCAACCAUCUCUGCUACCUCAAAUUGAGAUCCUUCUGUUUGAACAAGUGUUGGAGGCUACGAUGAUCAGUAAAGACCUCACAAGACACACCAUAGAGGUAGUUCCACCAAAUCUUCAAUGCAUGAACGAUGGCAGCUAGCUCCAAAUCAUGAACAUGGUAGUUCUUCUCAUGAGGCUUUAACUGGCAUGAAACAUAAGCAAUCACUCUACCCUCUUGCAUCAACACACACCCAAUGCCAAUCCGAGAAGCAUCACAAUACACUGUAUAAGGGCCCAAAACUGACGGCAAAACUAGAACUGGAGCUGUGGUCAAGGCAGUCUGAAGCUUCUGAAAGCUCUCCUCACACUCAUCCGACUACCGUAAAGGAGAACCCUUUUGGGUCGAUUUGGUCAAGGGCGAUGCAAUAGAUGAGAAACCCUCCACAAAGCGGCGAUAAUAAUUGGCCAAGCCAAGAAAGCUCCGAAUCUCUGUAGCUGAGGACGGUCUGGGCCAACUCUGAACUUACCUCUAUCUUUUUCAGAUCCACCUGAAUACCCUCACUGGACACCACGUGCCCCAAGAAUGCCACUAAGCUGAGCUAAAACUCACAAUUGGAGAACUUGGCAUAAAGCUUCUCCCCCCUCAACCGUUGCAACACAACACUCAAAUGUUGGGCGUGCUCCUCCUGAGUAUGAGAGUACACCAGGAUAUCGUCAAUGAACAUAAUAACAAAUGAGUCGAGAUAAGGCUUAAAUAUACUGUUCAUCAGAUGCAUGAACGUUGUUGGGGAAUUGCUCAACCCAAAAGACAUCACAAGGAACUCAUAAUGGCCAUAACGGGUCCUAAAAGUGGUCUUAAGAAUAUCCGAGUCUCGAAUCUUCAAUUGGUGAUAUCCUAACCGCAAAUCAAUCUUGGAGAACACCCUCACCCCCUGAAGCUGGUCAAAUAGGUCAUCAAUGCACGGAAAAGGAUACUUGUUCUUGAUUGUGACCUUGUUCAACUGCCUGUAAUCAAUGCACAUUCUCAUAGUACCAUCCUUCUUCUUUACAAAUAGAACUGGUGCACCCCAAGGUGACACACUAGGCCUAAUAAACAUCUUAUCAAGGAGUUCCUGAAGCUGCUCCUUUAGCUUCUUCAACUCAGCUGGUUCCAUAUGAUACAGUGGAAUAGAAAUGGGCCGAGUGCCCGACACCAAAUUAAUACCGAAGUCAAUAUCCCUGUCAGGCGGCAUGCCCGGCAGGUCCAUAGGAAACACAUCCUGAAAAUCUCGCACCACCGGAACAAAAUCAAUAGUAGGGGUCUCUACACUAACAUCCCUCACAAAGGCCAGAUAAGAUAGACAACCAUUCUCAACCAUCCGCUGGGCCUUCAAGUAUGAAAUCACUCUACUGGGAAUAUAGUCUAUAAAGCUGCUCCACUCAACCCUAGGCAACCCCAGCAUCGCCAACGUCACGGUCUUAGCGUGACAAUUUAGAACCGCAUGACAUGGAGACAACCUGUCCAUACCCAAAAUCAUGUCAAAAUUGACCAUACUAAGCAACAAGAGAUCCACUCUAGUCUCCAGACUCCUAAUAGUCACCACACAUGACCGAUAUACACGGUCUACACUAAUAGUAUCGUCCACCGGUAUAGACACAUGAACAGGUGAAAUUAGAGACUCAUAGGGCAUAUCAAGAUAAUGAGCGAAAUACGAGGACACAUACGAAUAAGUGGAACCAGAGUCAAAUACUACAGAGGCAUCCCUGUGGCAGACUGAGACAAUACCUAUCAUUAAUGUAUCGAAAGCAAUGGCAUCUAGUCUAGUGAGAAGAGCAUAGAAUCGGGCUUCACUGACACCUGAUCGGCCUCCCCCUCUAAGGUGACCUCUAGCUGAUUGGGCCCCACCCCGAGCUGGCUGGGCAGGUGGUGAAUUAACUGGUGUUAAAGUUGUGGUCUGACUCCUCUGCUAAGCCAGACCUCCCGUAAAGCGGGGACAAUAUCUCCUGAUAUGGCCAAACUCUCCACACUCAAAGCAACUCCCCAAUGGUGGUGGUGGGGACUGGAGGGAGCCCCGAGCACCGAGAUAACUGGUGAAGGACCUGGCAUAGACGAGCCCUGACCCGAUGGAGCAUGGGACAAACUCUGAGCUGGAAGGGCACUGAGAGAUGAGUGACCCUGCUGAUAACUGUGUGAACCAUGUCCAGAUGAUGCACCACAGUGAAGAGCCGUCUGAGCAUGCCUGUAAAGAUGACCCCUGCCGUGGUAGAACUGACCCCCGGAAGGAACACCACUGAAUACAUCCUGUCCUUGAGGCCUCUUAGCCUCCCUCUCAAUCCACUCCUGGCUACGGACCAUCUUUAUCUGACGAGCAAUGUCGACAACCUCAUCGAAAGUAGCACCAGACACCCUCUCUCUAGUCAUAAGCAACCGCAGCUGAAAUGUGAGGCCAUCAAUGAACCUCCCGAUCCUCCCUCUAUCGGUGGGAACCAACCAGACUUCAUGACGGGCCAACUCAGAAAACCUCAUCUCAUACUGUGUCACAUAGAUAUUGCCCUGACGAAGCUGCUCGAACUGCCUGCGUAGCUUCUCUCUGCGGGACUGAGGCACGAACUUCUCCAGGAAGAGAACAUAGAACUCCUGCCAUGUAAGGGGUGCUGCGCCGACCAGCCUAUGCCUCUCAUAAGCCUCCCACCAACUGAAGGCAGCCCCAUAGAAUUUAAAAGUAGUGAACGAGACCCCACCGGUCUCCAAAAUACCUGUUGUACAGAGAAUCCUCUAACACUUGUCUAAGAAACCCUGGACAUCUUCCGCCUCUGUACCACUGAAAGAUGGAGGCUGGAGUCUCCCAAACCUCUCUAAUCUUCGCUGCUCAUCAUAAGAUAUAACAGGAACCACAUGGGCCUUAGCAGCUGCAACCGACUGGCUUGUAGUGCCCCCGGUAUCUGAAGUCCCUGCACCACCUGAUCUAGAGUACGAGCAACAGGGGUAUGAGUACCUCCCCCGGCCUAAGAAGUGGUAGGUGAGGCUUGAGCCGAAACCACCUGAGCAAUGCCAGUGCAAACUGUCAGAAUCUGAGCUAAGGCCUCCUAAAAGCCUGGAAUCACAAUUGGCACAGGUGGUGCCUGAGUUGGUCCCACAGGCUCAUCCACAACUGGAACCUUCUCAUGAACUGGGGAAACUAGCGUAUCUGCAGGUGCUGCCCUAGCUACUGUGUGAGCUACACCUCUGCCCCUACCGCGACCUCGGCCUCUCGCCGUCCUGACUGGUGGUACUGGUGGUUGUCCACCCUGCCUAGUAGUACCUGUCCUCACCAUCUGUGAGAGAAUAGAAAAGCAAAAGUUUAGUUACCAGAACCAACAGAUUCGCACGACAAGAAUNNNNNNNNNNNNNNNNNNNNNNNNNCGUACCGAUCCGCAAGACUCUACAAAACCUGCUCAUGACUCGUGAGACCUAUGUAACCUAGGCUCUGAUACCAACUUGUCACGACCCAAAAACCAAUCGUCAUGAUGGUGCUUAUCGUGGAACUAGAAAAGCCAACUAUUUAACAAGUUCAACCAAAUAAAAGCUUUGAAAAUUAUACGGAAGCAGUUGACAUUUAAGAAAAACCUUUUUAAAAAAAAACAGAAAUAAAUCCACAGUGUAGUAUAAAUCUUUCUCAAAACCGGGGUGUCACCGAGUACAUGAGCAUCUAUACUAGGAACGGUCUACUACAAUGUCUAAGGAAUAAGAACUAAAAUGCAAAUAAAAAAAAUGAAGGAGAGUCAAGGCCUGCAAACGCCAUGCAGCUACCUCAAUAGUCUCCGGGUUCAGCUGCUCAAAUAUAAACACCCGCUAUGACCACGAAAACCUGAAUCUACAUACGAAGUGGAGGGUGUAGCGUGAGUACAACCAACUUAGUAAGUAACAAUAAUAAAUAAGGAACUGAAAGAUAGUGACGAGCUACACAAUUCUAGUUCGUUUUUUGUAAUCUCAGCAAGAAAAUAGACAUGCUUUCAAAUCCAGCAAUUUAAGUUAAAUCAGUUUACACAUUACCAAGUUCAAGUAAAUCCGGAUACAAUAUCUUCCAAGUGUUUCAAAACAGCGACAUAUAGCAGCUAAUUGCAACAACAAAUGAAAGCAAGUACAACCUCUGAGGGCAACGGUCACUCAACCUUUCUCAAUAGCUCAAACACUCGACUCUCAGCUCUCAACACUCACACAUAAUAGGUAUCUGCGCUCACUGGGUAUGUACAGACUCCGGAGGGGCUCCUUCAGCACAAGCGCUAUAUUGUUGCGGCAUGCAGCCUGAUCCAAUAUAAAGAGCAAUAAGGUUCGUUGCGGCGUACAACCCGAUCCAUAUAUAUAUAUAUAUAUAUAUAUAUAUAUAUAUAGAGCCCUGAGGCUCAUUGCGGCGUGCAACUCGAUCCAUAUAUACAGCCCUAAGGCUCGUUGCGCCGAUCCAUAUAUAUAGCCCUAAGGUUCGUUGCGGCGUGCAACCCGAUCCAUAUACACAUAUAGCUCACAGCUCGGCACUCAGGCCCUAACUCAGUCAGUAACCUCUCCAGUCUCUCAAGCUCUCAGAAAUCAUAAAUAAAAUCAGCCCAAAUAAAGAUAAUAUAAUGUAUCACCAAGAAACGAGAAGAGACUGAGAUAUGAAACACAAGUGAACCGUGACUGAGUAUAAAACAACAAUUAGAAAUUAAUUCAACGAGUACACGAUCUCUGCGGGUCCCAACAGUGUAAUCACAUAGCCUAAGAAUGCCUCCUAACAUGAUUAGCAGUCAAAUUUCUAUAACACAUGGAGAGCAUAUAGCUAACGACAAGUUAUUCAACUUUAUAGUUCCACGGAAUGGACCAAGUCAUAAUUCUUACGAUGCACGCCCACACGCCCGUCACCUAGCAUGUGCGUCACUACCAAAUAAUCAUUUAACAACAAAAUCCGGGGUUUCAUACCCUCAAGACCAGAUUUAACACUGUUACUUACCUCAAUCCGAGCCAAAACUCUAGUCCAAAAUGCCCUUGCCUCGCGAAUCGGCCUCUAAACAUCCUGAAUCUAGCCACAAGCAAUACAAUACAAUCAAUACGGCUAAAGGAAUUAAUUCCAUAAGAAAAAUAUGAAUUUUAAGCCAAGUCCGAAAUUGGUUCAAACCCGGCCCCGGGCCCGCGUCUUGAAAUCCGAUAAAAAUCACAAAACCCAAAAGCCCAUUCACUUACGAGUCUAACCAUACAAAAUUUAUCAAAAUUCGACUUCCAAUGGAUAUUCAAUUCCCCAAAAUUAACUCUCUAAAUCCCUAAGCUCAAACCCCCAAAUUUCACCUCAAAAACUCACCAACUAGGUGUAAAAUCAAUGGGGAAACAAGAUUAUUGACAAAAAACGAGUACAAGAAGCUUACCUCAAAAAUCCCCUAGAAAAUCCUCUCCAAAUUCGCCUAAGACCGAGUUCAAAAUAUUAAAAUGAAGCCAAAAUCGCAAACUCUUAUUUUUAAACAUUCUGCCUAGGCCUUUUGCACCUGCGUCCACUUAUCCGCACCUGCGGAACCGCUUCUGCGGUUAAAUAUCCGCUUUUGUGGAGUCCACAUAACCAGCUGCCUCCGCUUCUGCGAGCGCGGGACCGCAUCUGCGUUCAUCGCAUGUGUGGAAAAUGCCAUCGCACCUGCAGAACUAGACACAUCUGUGCCCUUCUGCCCGCUUCUACGACGACGCAGGUGCGGGAGAAUCUUCACACCUGCAAUCUCGGCUACCUCUCCCUUGGCCGCUUCUGCGGCUCUUGUCUCGCUUUUGCGGACUCGCACCUGCGGUUCCCACUCCACAGGUGCGAUUACACCAAUAAUAGCAAAACUUUAGCUCCUUCUCAAAUCAAACUCCAAGUCUGUUAACCACUCGAAAUCAACCCGAGGCCCCUGGGACCUCAACCAAACAUACCAACAAGUCUUAUAACCCAAUACAAACUUAGUCGAACUCUCAAAUCACCUUAACUAACAUCAAAAACAUGAAUUGCACACGGAUUCAAGACUAAUGAACUUUGAAAAUUUUAAAUUCUACAAACGACGUCGAAACCUAUCAAAUCACGUCCGAUUGACCGUAAAUUUUGGACACAAGUCAUAAAUGACACCGCGAACCUACUCUAACUUCCGAAAAUCCAAUCCGACCCCAAUAUCAAAAGUCCACUUCCGGUCAACUUUCCAAAAUUCUAACUUUCGCCAUUUCAAGCCUAAUUCUACUCCCGACCUACAAAUCACAAUCCAGACACGCUCCUAAGUCCAGAACCAUCCAACAGAGCUAACGGAACCAUCAAAAUUCCAAUCCGAGGUCGUUUACACAUAAGUCGACGUCCGGUCGACUUUUCCAACUUAAGCUUUCAAUUAAGAGACUAAGUAUCUCAAUUCACUCAAAAUUCACUCUGGACCCAAACCAACUAAUCCGAUAAGUCAUAAAAUCAUAGUGAAGCACAAAAAUGAGUAGAAAAUGGGAACAAGGCUAUAUCUCUCGAAAUGACCGACCGGGUCGUUAAACCUCCGCUCUCUAGACUGGAAGAAGACAAUACUUAACUGAAUAUAAAUUCCCGAUAAGAGAGAAUACUAUCACUUAUGAGACUGGGAUAGUGUACAUAGAUUCAAAAAUACAAACUUCUCUUUAUGUCUCAUUAUCAAACACAUGUAGUUACGGGAUCAUGACAAAAAUGAAGGAAAGGUUUAGCCUUACCAAACCUUAUCACAAUCUGUCCAAUAACCACGUUGAACUCGUCUCGUCACACCUUAAUCUACAACCACGAUAAUAAUACUAUCAUUAAGUUACUGUAGGCACAACUAUCGCACAACAAAUGACAAGCUUAUUUUAUAAUAAAACGGGCAGCAUCUUCCCUAUAAUCAUUACUAACUCUCAAUUCGACAUAACACUGCCACCAACAACAACACAACAAUAAAAACAUGUAUACAUCGUUUUUCAAUCUUUUAUCCAUCACAAAAUACCACAAAAUAGCCCACGCAAUCAUACAUAAAAUGACAACCAUAGUAGUGUCAAACUACUCAAAAAAUAUAAUGACGAAUGACCAGCCAACCACCCUGCCAUUAUGUUAUAUUUCUACACACCCUUUCUCCUCCCAAACUCCAUAAAAACAGUAGCAAAACAGACAACCCAAUAGCAGCACAAAAUAUCCCACAAAAUAGUCCACUACAAGUUGAACAACUCGCACUCACGACUUACGAUCACCGUCCCGUGAGUUCUUAUACUUAUAGAAAGAUUUUCUAUACUUUUUGAGCAGAAAAAAUUGAUGAAAGAGAGAAGUAUACUUACCUUAUUUGGUGAAUAUCUCAGCUCCUAUCUUGGUUCUUCAACCCUUAGAUUUUCCCCUAACUAGAACUUGAAAAGAAGAGAAAAUCAUUUAGGGUUUUGCGUUGAAUUAUUGAGAGAAGUUUGAAGGGGGUUAUCUCUUAUUUUUUUGGCUCUAUAAUGAGUGGGAUAUUUGAAAGAAAUCAGCCCUUAAAAGGGCUCUUUGGCCAACCCCAACUAGCCCCUUUUUGGGCAUAUUUUGCCCUUCAUUUAAGCAAGUGGGUGACACACCUACUUGUCACCUAUGCAGUAUGCAUGGUCUCGUGAAAAUGAAAACAUACCUCUCCACUACGAUAUCAUAUUGACAAAAAUUUUAAUGCUUAAGACACUAGACUAGUAGAUCUUUAAUUUGGUAGGUGGAUCAUCCCGUAAUUCCAAGUAUAUUGGGAGAAAAGCGCAGCUACAUUUGACCUAAGUUUCAGCACAUUUAUGAAUGUAACUUGUGAUUACUUUCAUCGACUUUUAUUCCACAACUCGCUUGACUUCAAAACUUAACACAUGACUAUCAUACGACUAAAAUAACUCAUAAUAUAACCCUCUUAUCAUGUUAAGCACCCUAGUCUCACCCCAAAGGUACGUGUUAUAACAUUCCCAACUUAUCGACUUUCGACCAAACUUAUAUUCUUCAAUUCGUUUAGCUUCUGAACCCUCCAACCCUCUUGGUGCUUGUUGUUCAUGAUCUUAAAUAUUUUUAAGCUCAAAAGUAACAUGAUUAACUUAGUUUGAGUAGUAUGUACUAGGGAGUCUACAAAGUCGUGUCUAGUAGAGUCUCACUUAUGGGUGUGUUGCGCGCUACACUUAUAAUUGAGAGGAUACAUGGCAUUUAGGAAAUUUUACCCUUCUUUCGUUUCCAGAUCAUGCCAUAGAGCUGAGUCAUAAGAAGUGUAAUGAUCCGAUCGGUCAUUUUGUGUGAUUGCGCUUCGUUACCCCUUUUAUUGCUUCACAUAUGUGAAUUUAUGCUUUUAUAACUUGCGAGGUUGAUUAGUUUCGUUCGGGGAGGCUUUCAGGUUGAUUUGGACCCUUGAUUCUAGACUUAGAAGCUUUAAUUUGAAAAUGUUAACCAAACUUUGACUUUUGUGAAAAUGACCCUGGAACUGUGCUUUUAUGACUUAGAUAGCUCUGUAUCAUGAUUUCGGACUUGAGCGUAUGCCGAGAAUUGAUUUUGGAAGUCCGUAGGUUGAUUUUUGUUGAUUUAUCAAAAUUUGACAAUUUUAAGUUAAAAAUUUUGACCGUAGGUUGACUUUUAGCUAUUGAGAUCGAAAAUUGAUUUUGGGACUCAGAAUUGGUCUGUUAUGGAAUUUAGAACUUGUCUGUAAAAUUUGGCGUCAUUCAGAGUUGAAUUGAUAGGAACCGGACGUGUAGUUGUAAUUUUAGAAGUUCUUGAAAUUCUCUUUGAAAAUCAUGCGUUUUAGAGUCCAAUUCAUAGCUUUAGAUGUUAUUUUUGUAUUUUGAUCGCACGAGCAAGUUUGUAUGAUAUUUGUAGACUUGUGUGGAUAUUUGGUUUGUAGCCGUGAGGGCUCGGGUGAGUUUCGUACGCUUAGCGGAGUGUGGUUGGAAUCAAAAGAGUUGUUAGUUUCUGCACAAGCCUCAGAUCUCGCAAUUGCAAGGUUUGAGUUCGCAUUUGCGUAGUUGAGCCAAGCUUGUUGGGUUCGCAUUUACAAAUCCAGUGUUCGCAUUUGCGAAGUGUGCUGGGAAUGAGCUACUUCGCAUUUGCGAUCGCUUUGGUCGCAAUUGUGAAGGUUCAUUGUUCGCAAUUGCUAACUAUUCAUCGUAAUUGUCAUGUUAGCAGAGAUGGGAGGGUCUUCGCAUUUGCGGGGUUCGCAAUUGCAAAUCCCAGGUUGCAAAUGCGACAUAUACGACUGGAUAAAUAGCCGAGGGACGGAAUUCUUUAGUUCAUUCUCUAUUUUUGAACCCUAGACUCGGUAGGAGAAGACUUGGAGAGGGGAUUUUCACCUACAAACCUUGGGUAAGUGAUCCUAGUCUAUUUAUAAUCAUAUUCCAUCAACUAAUCUUAGAUUUUAAUAUCAAAAUCAUGUGAAUCAAAAUAGAAAUUUAUGAAACUUUGUCAUAUUUUUGAAAAUAAGAAAUUGAGUUUUGAGAGUCGAUUUGGACUCGGAUUUUGAAACUAAUCACAUAUAUGAACUCGUGGGGUCACGGGCAGACGAAAUCUACCAUUGGACUCGGGUUUUGACCGGGCGGGCCCUAUGUUAACUUUUGUUGACUUUUUGGGAAAAGUGUAAAAAUCUUAACUUUAUCUAUUGAAAUUGAAUUACCUAGCAUUAUUUGAUGUUAUUGAGUCAAUUUUGGUUAGAGUUGAGUUGUGUGGAGGUGGAUUGUAAGGAAAAAGCUAUUUUUGAGUAUUGAAUUGGCCUAAUUGAGGUAAGUGUCUUGGCUAACUUCGUGUGGGGGAACUACUCCUUGGGAUUGGUAUUGUUUGAUUCAAUUGUGCUAAGUGAAAUCCGUGUACGCAAGGUCACGAGUUGGUACACAGGUUGUAUGUAGUAUUUCACCGGUUUAGACUACUUAGACUAUUUCCAUGCUUUAAUUGAAAUGCCAUAUUAUGUUCUAACUUAACAUGGUUAAAUCAUCCUUAAUUGUGUUAAACUAUCCUUAAAUGCCUUAGUUGACUUGUUUAGUAAUUGUUCCACAUCCUACUUGCUAAAUUGCUCUCGUGCUUUAGUUGAACUUGGUGUCCCCUUUAUUGUCACAUGUUAUCUCUUCAGUGUUAAUUAUCAUUGUUGAAUUAAUUGUUCAUGUUGCCCCUUAUUUGUUGACUUCUGUUAAUUGAUACUUAUUGUUGAAGAUUAUUUCCUUUAUUGCGAGUUAGUUUUAUCUAAUAUCAUGUUUACAAGUUAUUUUCUCAUUGUGAAAGUUGUUAAUACGUUGGGGCGAUGUUGGUUAUUAUUUAAACAUCUAUCCUAUUGAGAAUUUUCCAUCCAUUAUUGUUGUUGAUAUUCUCGUAUACGUUGUAUUGGAACCAUGGGCUAUUAUUGUGGAAACAUUGAUAUUGUUGUUGUUGGCAAGUUGUGAUAUGUGGUCACUCAUGGUGCGAGUUGUUAUUGUGAUAUGAUAUUGAUGUGCAUGCGGCGGUAUAAGGCUUGGGUUGAUGUGCAUGCAGUGGUAUAAGGUGGGACUUAUGUGCAUGUUGCUUGUAGGGGAACUAAGUGAAGCCACGCGGCAUCAUAAGGUGGGCUAAAGUGCAUGUAGCUAUUUCGGAAAAACUAUUUUCAAAACCUAUUGUCAAAUGUAAGGCUCACGCGGCGACAUAAGAAAGGAUUGUAACUGAAAAUGUGAUAUGUGAAUACGAGGCGGUACCUCAGUUUUUAUUCUUGAUAAUAAGAGGCAGUACCUCAGUUUGAUUUCCUUAUACACGAGGUGGUACCUCGUUGUGUUUCUGGCUGUUAUUUCAUGUGGCAAAGUGUCAUGGAAGGAAUAUUUCUUUUUAAUCCAUUCGGUAUCAUUCUAGUAGUUGUAGUUAGUACAUGAUCUUUGUAAUACUUUAGUUUCUUCUUUCAUGCUAUUUCUACUGUUUAUUUCCGGUAUUUGAUCAUGCUAUCAUCUUGUUCCGUAUUAGUGAUUUCUUACUUCCCAUUUUAUAUCUGUAUUUCAUUUUUACAGUCUGUUUCAUAUCCUAGUAGGUGUAUUGAUCUGGCCUUGUCACUACUCUACUGAGGUUAGGCUUGAUACUUGCUGGGUACCAUUGUGGUGUACUCAUACGAUGCUUCUACGCAUCGUUUUGUGCAGAUCCAGGUACGUCCGCUCGUGCCGGAAGAUAGAGAUUUUCCCUGCUAGCUGCAUUUAUCGGAGACUUCAAGGUAUGCCUGCUCGGCGUCCGCAGGCCUCAGAGUCACCUUCUUUUAUCCUCAUUUACUAUUUUACUUACUUUCAGACUGUGAUGUACUAGUUACUCUUGUUAUACUCUAUAGAGCUUAUGACUCAGUUCCACCAGUUUUGGGGUGUGAAAUUGUGAGAUUCUAUUUACAGACGAUUUUAUCCAUUAUUUAGUCGCUUUCAGUAUCUUGUAUUUAUAUAUCUGUUUAGUGGUUGAUAUUUGUUAGUCUUACCUAAUACUAGAGACUAAGUGCCAUCACGACAUCCUUCGGAGGGAAUUUAGGGUCGUGACAAGAAGUUAGUAUGAAGCUUAUGCCAGAUUAUGUAUGCACCAGAGGUGCAAGUAUUAUAGUAGAGCUUUAAGGUAUGGAUGUAAAUUCCACCUAUGUGAAAGGAAGGUUAUGAAAGCGAUAGAAGAUGCGAUGCGAGAUUUAAAGGUAAGUAAGCAAAGGUGAAGAGAGUACGAGAUACUCAAGUACGGAAGGUUGUGGAUAGUCUAGACUUCAAAUAUAGGUCUAGAAGCGGUGUGAUUCAGUAUCCAGAACUGAUAGUGGUGUCGUCAGUAGCAUAUCUUCCACCAUAUGGUUUCUAGGUACCGAGAGGUCUAGUUGCGAGAGUAAAGAAGCACCGGAGGCGACAUGAUGUCUCACUUCAGUUUCAAUAUUGACAUAAGUAAAUCUAUGGUGCUAGAAAGUUAAAUGAAGGUUGAGAGUAGUAUGGAUAGAUAUAUGUAGGUCGCAAGCUAAAGGAUGGUAGAGCAACAAAGUUUUAGGUAGACAGGAAUAAGGAUAAGAAAAGGUGAGUGAGAAGGUGAUGAGAAUAGGUAAGACCUCAGGAUUAAGCCCAUCAAAAUGAGAGAGCUGAUGGUUUUCGUAAGUUAUAGAAAGCUCAACAUAUCUUGAAUGAACUCGAAGGAGUGUAAGUCUAGGAGAAUUUAGAAGAGAUGGAAUGGUGCCCUUGUAGUAGAAUAAGAGUGUGAGUGAUAAACGAUAAGAGGAUGAUGUUUAGGAAUAUAGCUUUUGAUUGAAGUAAUGAUUCAAUGAGAAGGGAUUUUAUGACUUGCACAGGAUUAGAAUACCUCAUAUAAGAUGAAUCAUGUUGAGAUUCUAUGAAACACGGUUAUUGAAGUAUAGUAUAGUCCCUAAGGUGGAUCAAGAAAAUAACUUCAGAUGUUCCCUAUUGAAAAUUUAUUACGUAAGAAGUUUCAAGUUAUCACUAGUGGAUUAUAGUCAACAUUAAGGUGAAUCAACAAUAGAUGGAUAAAAGUUCCAAAGUAUGAGAUGAUAUUAGGCUGCCAUUCUUAAGAUGAACUGUAAUGAGGAAGCAUUAAAGGACUUAGAUUUAUAAAUAUAGAAUAAGCAGCGAGAGAUUAACCUAUAGUUAGGUAGCAGACCUCAGUAAUAAUAAAUCGGAGUAAGUAUUAUGGUAGAGUAUGAACUUUUUAGAUGCAUUAAAGCCAUAAGGAUAGAUAACCAAGGCUAUGAAACAGAAUACAACAAUAGUCGUAAGUUCGACAAAGUACCAAGCGAAGAACUUCAGUAUACCUAUAGAGGCUUAGAGGAACAACCUGUCAUAGUUCUGUAUAUGUUUGCAAAGUGAGGCCCAGAGAUUGGCUAGAAACUGGAGGAAAGAGAAUAGAAGAGUCGCGUAGUUGCACGUACAAGGGCAGAGUCGUACAGGCUACAUGAAAGAAGGUAGCAACAACUAUGAGAUUGGAAGAAUUCUGACCACAUGUCGUGGUUUGAGAAAGAUGCCCAAAGGGGAGGAAUGCCUUGGCCUUUAGAUUUAUUCACAGAACAGUUGCCUAGACGGCACGGACAGUAUUAAAGUAUUUUUAAGAGCUGUAGGUUAUGAGACUGAUAAGAGCAUCAGCUAACAUUCGAGGACGAAUAUUCCAAGGGGGGAAUAGUGUUACACCCCAUGUUUUUGUAUGUAAGGAUACGUCGCAAGUCAAUUGAUGUAAUCUUAGAAAUGAGAUCAUCUGUGGAAGCACAUAAAGUAAGUUAGUCAUGUUACCUUGGAGGUACAAAUAUUUAAGAUCAUGAAAAUCAAGUACCAAGAGGGUUGGAAGGUUUAGAUGUUAAAUGAAUCGAAGAAAAUAAGUUUCGUUGAAAGACAACAAGUUGGGAAUGUUAUAACCCAUACUUUUGGGAUGUGACUAGGGUGCUUAACAUGAUAAUAAUAUGAUUUUAUGAGGUAUUUUAGUCAUAUGAUAGUUGUGUGUCAUGUUUUAAAGUCAAGCGAAUUGUGAAACAAAAGUCGUCACAGGUUAUGUUCAUAAAUGCGUUAAAACCUAGGUCAAAUGUAGCAGAGCUUUUCUGCUAAUAUACAUGGAAUUACAGGAUGAUCUACCUAGGAAAUUGAUUAUUUAUCAGUCUAGUUUCUAACGCAUUAAACCGUUCAUUGAUGCAAUAUUGGAGUAUAGAGAUAUUCGUAUUUUCCCAGGACUGCACAGACUGGUAGGUGACAAGUAAGUAUGUCACCUACUUGUUUAAAUGAAGGGGCCAAAUAAAUCUCCAAUAAGGGGCAGCAAGGGGCCUUUUAAGGGAUGAAUUAAAUCAUUUCACUCACUCAUAUUUCAUACUAACAACUUCAGAUUGAAACCCUACAACGCCUCCCCCAAAAAUCCCACACAAACCCUAGGUGAUUUCGGGUGAUACGAAGUGAUUCUAGUACCGAAAAACCAAGACAACUUGCUAAUUUCCCUUUCUCCUUCUUGUAGCUGCAUUGGGGGAAUGGUUUUGGAAUAAUAGGGACUAGUUUUAGUGGUUUCUACUUAGUCGAAGGUAAGUUUAUUCCUCUCUUUCCCUUAUCUAAGCUUCUACGAGUUGUAGCUCGAUCGUAAAGUCUAGAACUUGCGAGUUUCGAAAGAUUAGUAUGUUGUUUAUUGUGGCGUCACUGUUGUCUGGUUGUGAACUUAAUUUUAAGUUGAAUUCAUGAUUGUUUAUAUGAGAAGAGGCUUAAUUAUGUACUGUGGGUUGUGUUUCUCGAUUUGAAAGAAAAGACAAGUCGAAAACGUGUUUUCGUAAUCUAAAAAAUAAAUUUUGAGUUGCUAAACUUGUGGGACUAUUGUGGGGUCAUUUUAAAGUUGUAUUGUGGAUAAACAUUAGUAGGGAUAAUUGAAUAUGUAUCAGUUAAUAUUAUUGAUAAAUUCUAGAAGGAAGACAGGGUUUAAAACUAUAGUUGUUUAGUCACAAAUCGAGCUAGCCGCUCGUCGAGAUUGUUAAACUAUUUUGAAAGGCUUAUUAUGAGUAUUGUUGAUGUUGUUUGGGCUGUUGUUGGUUGUGGUAACUUGUGGGAAAUAUAUAUAAAUAAGGGAGGUGUUGUCUGUUUUAUCAUAGAAUAAAGUGUGUUGUUCAAAUGCGAUAAGUUAUGGCAUUCGUAUUGUGACAAAAGUAUUGUUCAUUGCUUGUAGACACGGGAGCUGCAGGUUAAGUUAGCUUGCGGAUUGGACAAUAUUUUGAGGUAUGUAAGGUCUUCCUUUAUUUUCUUUGGCAUGAUUUCGUAUGUUACGUUGCCCUUAUAAGGGAUUCAAGGGGGCGAGUCUUUGUGUACGUAAUAUUCCGACGAUUAAGGUCCGUUCACGAGUAUAGUCAAAUAAAUAUUGAAAUGGAUUGUGCUGGUCGUAGUUUCAUGUAUUCUUAACGAGUAAAUAGUGCCUUCCAAAAGGUCCUUGUUUUCUAUAUGUAACAAGACGUCCAAAUGUCAAUUUAAGAUUACGCACUGAUGGUCUAAUAAAUCGGAAGCAAUAUAGUAUGCGUAUAAUGAGGGAUAGCUAUACAUGAAUAGUCAACAAGGUAGCAUAAUGUAUAGUUUGCAGAAAAAUAAGAAUGAUUCGACAUAAAGAACUCCAUGACUUCCAAUACUUACACGUUUGUGUUCACAAAACUGCUAAAGACCCACAAAGGUAGUUACGUUGCUCUCAAGUUUAGUAAGGUUGAUUAUAUAUGAGAGUGGUGUUAAGAGACGAUAUACGUUACCUACGGAGUCGUAAACUACAGAAUACGAUAAGCUUAGCAAUAAGAAUAAAAGUUGAUAGAGCGUAAAUUAUGCAACUCUUGUUACAUAUUGAUGAAUCAAUAUAUAUAGUCGUGGGAGGCAAGGCACACAGGGGAUAGGNNNNNNNNNNNNNNNNNNNNNNNNNUAUAUAUAUAUAUAUAUAUAUAUAUAUAUAUAUAUAUAUAUAACGAGUAGCCUCACAAGCUAAUAAUAUUACAUAGCUAUAAGUAGAAAGAAUCAUGUAAUCCCCAACAACGAGCCGUGAUGUGAAAUAAGGAUAGAAGUGCAAUAUCAAAAUAGUUACAAUAUUCUUUAUGGCUAAAUAAUAUAGAAUACGAAGGAUGAAGUAGAAAGUGGCUAAGCAAUAAGGAUUGGUUAUCGUAACGAGUUACUCACGAACUUGUAUAUUUAUGAAUACGAGUUUAUCUAUUGAUGAUUGAAUGAUGUCUGCAUGAGUGAUAUCAAAUUAAUAUGUAUAAGACAUGAUCCCUACGGAUGGUCUAUGAACGCGUAGGUGUACAGUGAAGCCCUAUGGACGAUCUAUGAACACAUAUGUGCAUAAUGAAGGUUGGUUAUGGACGGUCUCAGUUGCAGCAUAGCCAGACCUAUGAGCCAUACGAACGGUCAACUAUGUUACGCGUACGAGCCACUGGUUAUUCAUGUUUAUGAGUGUGCGACGAUCUCUUAUAAAACACGUAAGUGCCACAUUUAUGUUUUAAUAUAGCCCUAGAGAUGUUUGAUCUGUCUGAGGUAAGUAUUCAGAUAUAAGGUAUGAUGGCUAGAAGAAUGUUAUAGAUGAAGUUCCAUAAUAUGAUGUAUUCCAGUAUAGAUAGCAUAUGGGAACAAGUUUAGGUAUACCAUGACACGAAUUAGAUGUAUAUACGACAUUAGAUAUUUUCGGCCAACAGGGCCUUCCCUUUCAGUCUACAGCCUUUGUAAGGUAAGUUGGAUAAUUCAAUACUUAGACAUGUUACAAGUAAGAAUAAGGUAAGUAUGAUUCCCGGAUCUUAUUUACCCUCCAGAUUUCAUUCAAUAUAUUAUAUAUACAUGUUAGUUCAGUUUCAAUUAAGUUAUUCAUAUGGUAUCUGCCUUACAUACUUAGUAAAUUUCUUUGUACUAAUGUCCCAUUGUCGAGGCACUGCAUUCAUGCCUGUAAGCUCAAGUAUCCAAUUUGACAAGCUCUUAUCAUAGACGGAGUUGAUACCCAGUUGAGGAUUGGCAAAGAUCCAUUUCAUUCGGAGUACAGCUGAGUCUAUAGGUUAUCAGACUGUCCUAUGUAUAUAUAUACUUAUGGAUAGGUUAGUGUCAUGUACUGACCAUAUUUUGAUGUCAGAUACUCUUAGAGGCUUUGUAGACACAUGUUCAGUAUGUAUAUCAUGUUAGAGGCCUUGACGGCCCAUGUGUAUUCAUGUUUUGAGUACGAUGGCUCGCUGAUACAAUAUUUGUCCACUUACAGUUACACAGUACAAGUUGUCGCUAUGUUGGCCCAUGAUAGUUACAGAAUGAAUGAGUUCAACCAAGUCGGCCUAUGUAUGUUCUAGUUUUUGUCGAACGAUCAUGAGUUAUAGAGUGGUUCGCUCCGGCUAGUACGACACUGGGUGCCAACCAUGCCUCACCUAGGUAGGGGUGUGACAAAGUGCUCUCCCAAACCUAUCUUGGUGUGGCCAGCACCUGGUUCCAUACUCGGACCGAGCGUACCACUCUAUAACUUUGAACUCCGGAGGGGUAGCCUUCAACUUAGGACGACGAGGCCUACCUACAAGUUGACAAUACCAAUCAAGACCGAUGGGGCCAUAUUCUGAAUUAUCUAAAAGUAAUGUCUCUAUCAUCUGAGGGGUAAAAAUAUCCAAAAGCUCAUAUAUAUAAUUAUAAAGUCCAACGAGGCCGUCAUUAUCAUCUACUAAUAUAAAUAAUAUACAUGACUCAUCUACAAGCCUCUAGAGAUAACUGAACUGUAUUAUGGUCAGGAUAGGGCCUCGACCUACCCAUCAAACAUGUAUUUAUAAAAUGGACUCUAAUGUCUAGACCUGGUAACUGCGAGGAAGUGGAGCUUACUAACCAAAAUGAUGCUAGACUCUGGCUACCGGAAAGUUCUAUUCAGCUGUCUAUCAGGACAUGCAGGCAUGAAAUGCAGCGUGCCCAGAAAAGGGAUGUCAGUACGAAAUAAUAUACUGAGUAUGUAAGGCAACAGAAUAACUGAAAGCCGAAACUGAACUGAUAAUAGAAUAACUGAAAGUAACUGGGAGUCAAAGAUGAUCUGAAGAUAUGCUUACCUGCUAAUACUGACUCAACUCUCUCAAUAUAGUAAGUAAAAUAGUUGUCCGGCCCUAUAAGUCUCGGUACGGGUAACGGCUCUGCCGUAGUAGGCUCGCUCAUAGGCGCUCGGCAUACUAGGCUCUAUAUCUCAGCCAUUCUAGGCUCGCUCACAGGCGCUCAGACACAGUAGGCUUAGUAUAUAACUUCCCAUCUGAUCAGAGGUUUCCCAAUAGGGGCCUUCCCACCGAUUAUAUCUCGAUGGCGGUGAAAAUACUAUAAUACUGCCCAAUAGGGGCUUGCCCACCAAUUAUAGCUCGAUGGUAGUGAAAAUAUUGUAAUACUAUAUAUAUGUAUGGACCCUCUGCUCUCUUGACUGAAAAAAUACAAUACUUAACUGAAUAUAAAGUCCCGAUAAGGGAGAAUACUAUAACUUAUGAGACUAGGAUAGUGUGCAUAAAUUCAGAAAUACGAACUUCUCUUUAUGUCUCGUUAUCAAACACAUGUAGUUACGAGAUCAUGCCAAAAAUGAAGGAAAGAUUUAGCCUUAACAUACCUUAUCACAAUCUGUCCAAUAACCAUGUUGAACUCAUCUCGUCAUACCUUAAUUUACAACAAUGAUAAUAAUACUAUCUUUAAGUUACGGAAGGUACAACUAUCACACAACGAACGACAAGUUUAUUUUGUAAUAAAACGGGUAGCAUAUCCCCUAUAAUCUUUACUAACUCCCAAUUCGACAUAAUACAAAAAACAAUAAGAACAUAACAAUAACUAUAUGUAUACAUUAUUUUCCAACCUUAUAUCUAUCACAAAAUAUCACAAAACAGCCCACAUACCCCAAUCACUUCAUACACAAAACGACAAUCAUAAUAGUGUCAAACAACCCAACAACGUAAUAACGAAUGACCAGCCAACCAACCUACCAUUAUGUUGUGUUUCUCCACACACUUUCUCCUCCCAAAUGCUAUAAAAACAGUAGCAAAAGAGACAACCCAGCAGCAACAAGAAAUAUCCUACAAAACAGUCCACUACAAGUUGAACAACUCGAACUAAGGGCUUUAUAUCACUGUAUCGUGAGUUCUUAAUAUUACAGAACGAAUUUAUAUACUUUUCCAGCAGAAAAAAUGGAUGAAAUAGAGCAUUAUACUUACCUUAUUUGGUGAAUAUCUCAGAUCCUAUCUUGGUUCUUCAACCCCUAGGUUUUUCCCCAACUAGAACUUGAAAAGAAGAGAAAUUUAUUUCGGGUUUUGUGUUGAAUUCUUGGGAGAAGUUUGCAGGGGGUUAUCUCUGAUUUGUUUGGCUCUAUAAUGAGUGGUAUAUUUGAAGGAAAUUAGACCUUAAAAGGGCUCUUUGGCCGACCCCAACUAGCCCCUUUUUGGGAAUAUUUGGUCCUUUCAUUUAAGCAAGUAGGUGACACACCUACUUAUCACAUAUGCAAUCUGUGCGGUCUCGUCAAAAUACAAAUGUCUUUCUACUAUGAUGUCGUAUUGAUGAACGGUUUAAUGCGUUAGAUAUUAGACUCGUAGUUCUUCAAUUUGGUAGGUGGAUCAUCCCGUAAUUCCAUGUAUAUUGGGAGAAACGUGCAGCUACAUGUGACCUAAUUUGAAGCACAUUUAUAAAUGUAACUUGUGAUGACUUUCAUCGACUUUUGUUCCACAACUCGCUUGACUUCAAAACUUAACACAUUUCUAUCAUACGACUAAAAUAACUCAUAAUAUAACCCUCUUAUCAUGUUAAGCACCCUAGUCUCACCCCAAAUGUACUGGUUGUAAUAUUCCCAACUUGUCGACUUACGACGAAACUUAUUUUUUUCAAUUUGUUUAGCUUCUGAACCUUCCAACCCUCUUGGUGCUUAUUGUUCAUGAUCUUAAAUAUUUGUAAUCUCUAAGGUAACAUGAUUAACUUACUUUAUAUACUUUCAAAGAUGAUCUAAUUUUUUAGCUUACAUCAAUUGACUUAUGACAUACUCUUACGUACGAAAACAUGGGGUGUAACACUUUUGCUUCGCAAAUCGGCCUCCGAACGACCAAAUUUAAUCACAAACAACUUAAUAUAAUUAAUACAAGCUAUAGGAAUCGAUUCCACACGAUAAAGCUAAGUUUUUUAACCAAAUUAAAAGGUCAACCAAAAGUCAACCCCGGCCCACGCCUCGAAACCCAACAAAAUUCACAAAUUCCGAAUAUUUAUUUGAUAACGAGUUCAACCACACCAAAAUCAUUCAAUUUUGAUCACAAAUUGAACCUUGAAUCCCCAAAUCGUACUCUCCAAUACAUAGACCACAAAUCCCCCAAAUAUCACCUCAUACGCACACAAUAUUAAUGGACAAAAGUGAUCAAAAGUUGCUUACCUCUUGAAUUAUGGUCAAAUCCCUCUAAAACAUCGCCCCUAGCUGAGUUCCACAAGUCCAAAAAUGAAGAGAAAACUCAAACCCUCGAGAAUAACAAUCCGCCCAGCGAUUCUCGCUUCUGCGAGCUCACCAGCCGCACCUGCGGUGCCGCUUCUGCAGAAGAAAGCUCGCUCCUGUGACAUUUCACUAAACUCCCGACCAGCCGCUUCUGCGGCAAAAUCCUGCUUCUGCUGUCCAAGAUCCGCACCUGCGGAGUGUUUUUCGCUUCUACGACGACAGCCUCCCAAGAAAACAUCCGCUUCUGCGACCAGCUGCCCGCACCUGUGAGCUCGCAGGUGCGGAAUUUCCCUAGCACCCGCGCAACUACCCAUCUCAACUCAGGACCGCUUCUGCGGCUCCGCACCUACGUCCAAAACCUCGUAGGUGCGGUUGCACCGGAACUGAACAUAACAAAAAUUCCUCAAGUCAAAUUCUCAAUCCGAUUACAAUUCGAAUAACACUGAGGCCCCCUUGACACCAUCCAAAUAUACCAACACAUCCUAAAAUGUCAUACGAACUUAGUCAAAGCCUCAAAUCACAUCAAACAACAUCAAAAACACGAAUCACACCCCAAUUCAAGCCUAUUGAAACUAAUGGAUUUCUAACUUCUAAAAUCGAUGCCGAAACUUAUCAAACCAACUCCAAUUGACCUUUUGCACACAAGUCAUAAAUGAUACAACGCACCUACUCCAACUUCCGAAACCAAAAUUCGAGUCUGGUAUCAACAAAGUCAACUCUCGGUCAAACUUCUCAUCCUUCCAAACCUUCAAUUUUUUAACUUUCGCCAAUUCAAACCAGAAUGACCUACGGACCUCCAAAUCAAUAUCUGAACAUAGUCCUAAGUACAAAAUCAUCACACAAAGCUAUCGGAACCAUCAAAACUCCAUUCUGUAGCCGUUUACACAUAAGUCAACAUCCGAUCAAUUCUUUCAACUUAAGCAUCUAACCUUGAGACUAAGUGUCCCGAUGCAUUCUGAAACAUCCCCGAAACCAAACCAACCACCUCGGCAAUUCACAUAACCAAAAAUGAACAUAAAAUAAGAAAUAAAUGAGGGAACAGGGCUACAAUACUCAAAACGGCCGGCUGGGUUAUUACAAUAGUUCAUCACAAGUUACUUUCAUAAAGGUGCUGAAAAUUAGGUUAAAUAUAGUAGAGCUUUUCUCUUAAUAUAUUAAGAAUUACGAGGUGAUCCACAUAUUAAAUUGAAGUUCUACAAGUCUAGUUUUUAAUUCAUUAAACCGUUCAUUGAUACAAUAUUGGAGUAGAGAGAUAUUCACAUUUUUGCAAAACUGCACAAGCAGCUCCCAAUGGGACCCACUUAGGCGGUGGUCGACCUACUUCACUUUAAAAACAAUUUGGAUGACCUUUCGUUCACAUGUUUUCAACCAAUAUUCGUCCAUACACUCCUCCUAGCCCUCCUAAAUAGGUACCAUAACGGUUUGAAGGGGGAAUCCGAGUGAUUAUACCAUAUUUCACCAUCAAAAGUUAGUUCUAGUGAAGAACAAGACCUCUUUGAGGUUGUAUUGUCAUUGAGGAUAGUUGUGGGCUGUUUUUGGCUGAAAUUUCAAGUUGUUACUACUGGUUAAGGUGAGUAUAAUAGCCUACUAAUUGUGCUUAAUCUUGCUUGUAUGUUGGUUAAAUUGUUAGAAUGAUAAACGACAAGAUAAUACUUAGAUUAGCCUGAGAUAUUGUUGUUCUUGAUGAGUUGUUUUGAAAGUUGCUCUAAUGAACUUUAAGUGGCUGGAAAUUAUGGAAAAAUAUAUUGGCUAUGAUAUUUUUAGUAUGAUUAUGUUGGUUUACAUGUCAAGCUUGUUGAGGGAAUUGGUAACUAGAAAAGAAAAUGGAUAUAAAGCACUUAGAAGUUGUCCUUAGUGAUAUUAUCUUGUAUUGGGCUAUUUAGGGUAACUUUGAAAUUGAGUAGAAGGUUGGAAAUCCUUUAAAAAGUAUUGGUUAUUAUAUUGUAGAUACAACUAAGUUCCAUAAUGAAUGAUGAUCGGGUUGAAGGGUGCUAAAGGGUUUUAAUACGAGCUUGCCACUCGUUGUGACAUGUUGAUGACCUGUUAAUGAAAUAUUUUGUACCCAAUUAUUGAUGUUGUUCUUAUUGUAUUGCUCUGGUUGUUGUUGUUGGUAUAUUAUAUUGGAGGAGGCCCUUGUUAUAGGGGAGAUGUUGUCCGAAUUUACGUAAAUGAGCUACUAGCUUAAGUUACGGACUUAGCCUUUACUCGACACUGAUUUUUGAAUCUCUUUAUGCUAUGGUAGAUUGAGUUGUUUGGAAGGUAUUAAGAACUCAACAGGGUAAAGGUACGUUAAGUCUAAUCCUUACUUUUUUUGGCAUGAUCCAAGUAACGAAACUCAAAUGUAAAGUUAUUCCAUAAAUGGUUCUACUCUCAGUAGUUAAGGAUGUCUAAGUUAUUCAUUCAUAUGAAAUGUAAUUCAAAGAAAGCCUAAGUAUGAUCCUAAGUCUCUAUUGAGUCAUACGAUAAAGAUGUUAAUGUUCAUAACGUAAUGUUAUAUGCAUCUUCAUUUACCACCGAGCUACGACCGUUUGGGCAUUUACAUAUUUACCAGCGAGCUACGGCCGGUUAGGCAGUCAUGCAUUUACUACGAGCUACUACCAGUUAGGCAGUGACACAUUUACCACUUGGCUACCAUAGGCCACGAAGUUACCACCAGUUGGGCAGUUAUGUAUUGUUAUUUUUUGUUGGUUUGGUAGUUAUGCAUUUACCACCGAGCUACGAUCGGUCGGACAUUUACCACUGAUCAAUUUGGCAGUCAUGUUAUGAUAUAGAUCAUAGUCCCAAGGAGAGGCAUUAAAUAUAUAAGUAUAAUAAAUAUGCAUAUCAUGGCCCUCAGUGACACUUCAGAGGUUCAGGUUGAUUCUUAUAUCUUUCUCAUUGAUGUCGACUUAUUGUUAUAUUUCAGUUGUGCUUUACUUACUCGGUACAUUAUUCGUAUGGACAUCCUUUUUAUUGUGGAUGCUGCAUCUAUGCCUGCAAGUAUAGGUAAUCAGUUGGACAAGCCCUCAUAAUAAAUGAGGUUAGCAUUCAGUGAAGGAUUGGUUAGACUCCUUUAUUCGGAGUGCAACCGGGUCUAUAAGUCAACAUGUCAGAGGUUUGCUGCAGCAUUAUGGGUAAGCUGGGGCCCUGUCCCGAUCAUGUUUCAAUGUCAGAUACUUUUAGAGGCUUUGUAGACAUAAAUUCACUAUGUACAGUAUGUCAGAGGCAUUGAUGGCCCGUGUGUAUUCAUGUUUUACAUACGAUGGCUCGCUGGUAUAGUAUUUGCCCACUUACCGUUAUACAUUACGAGUUGUGGCCAUGUUGUUUUAUGAUAGUUACAGAAAGAAUGAGUUCAACCAAGUCAACCUAUGUAUGUUCUAGUUUUCAUCGAAUGAUCAUGAACUACAGAGUGGUUCGCUCGGGCCAGUAUGUCACCGGGUGCCAGCCACGCCUCACCUAGGUUAGGGUGUGACAAGAUGGCAAACAUUAACACUCAUUACAGGGGUCAAUCCUAACACGUUAUAUUCAGAUAUGAGAGCAAGUUUUAUAAUAUGCUAACAAGGUUCAUCAUGUGACUUCUUUAUCAUGAGGAACACAAAGAAAUCAUUUAAUCAUAGUAGCAUGAAUAAACAGUCAAGUAGAGUCAAGCAGAUUCAACAUGAGAGUAUGAACGGUGGUGGGAAUCAUUUUGUUGAACUGAACACAUGCAACAUAAUAUCAUAGACAUAAGGAUCAACUAGCACAUUUUAGUAGGUAUGAGGUAUUAACAGGAUUCAUACAUGAGACUAUAACAACAUUGAAGUAUUGUAACAAGCUAAGUCAUGAGAGAGAGAGUUCAUUAACAACACAAAUUUGAUAACAAUACCAAGACAUCAUGACUUAUCAAACAAUCACUAAUUUAACAGUAAAAUGGCAUGCGGAGGCAGAACAUAACAAGCAUAAUCCUACAUCACUAAUAUAUUUUCACAAAUAACGGGCGACUAACAGAGAAAACACCAUAAACACAAAAUUGCACAAUUAACUAAAGGAUAGAAAGAGAGAGAGAGAGAGAGAGAGAGAGAGAGAGAGAGAGAGAGAGAGAGAGAGAGAGAGAGAGAGAGAGAGAGGUCAGUGUGCACUGACCUUCUAUAGGUCAGCAAACCAAGUAGGAAUCGAUUGUUAGCCUUUUAGGAAUCCAAAACCAACAAUGAUCAACUCACAUAUGGUUGAACUCGAAUAGAAAGGAAAGAAGAAAAAGAGAAAUUAGAGAAGAGUUACUGGAACUUAAACUUAGCAGAAAAUUAGAACUUCUAAUGCUAUGUUUUCCGGUGAUAUUAGGUAUGUGUUGGUGUCUAUUGAUGCCUGUUAGGUGAAGCCAUUAAAUGUUCUAUUUAUAGUGGCAUUCAAGCCAUUUAGGGUUUCGGUUGAAUUCAAAAUGGUAGUUGAGAGUGGCGAUAGAUGGAUGAUGAUAACAAGGAGGGUGAAAAUUCGAAGAAAAUAGGGGAAAACAGUGAAGAUUAUUACUUGGGCACGAGGAGGUCCACCGUUGAAGCUAUCGGACCAUCGGUCAAACCCUAUUGUCUCGAGGUCACUGAGUUUGACCUUUGUACAUCGAGUAAUGAUGAUGAAGUUGAAGAAAAUUGUCAUGUAUGCUCUGAUUCGAUGGAAUAGAGGAAGGAUUGAUGGAAUUUCAGAUUGCAUAGUUUAGGUCUACGGUUUCAAAUUUGGGGGUUUUGAAUUGUAGCGAUGACAGGUAAGGUUUCAGGAGGGAUUCGCGGUUAGCAAGAACAGAAAGGAUGAUUCAUGCUUGAUUCGCCUGUUUAACGGGCCGGGUUGACCCAUUUCCGAACCAGCCCAGACCGGUUGUAACCCGGACCGGCCCGGACCGGUAGUUAGGGUGCCGGGUGGGCUGGGUUAGGGGGUUGGUCCAUUUUUAAAAAACAUCCGGUUAACCGCACCGGUCAAACCCGAUCAACAAAAAAUACUGUUGAACCGGUUAACCGGCACGGCCCGGACCGACCCCCACCGGUUCAACGCCUAUAAAUCUAAUUUUUUUUUAUUAAAGUGAUAUGACCGUUGGCAACGGUCAGCUUCAAUUAGGCCGUUGCCCAACAAGUUGAUUGCAAAAAUAGCCCUGUUUAGGGGCAAAAUUNNNNNNNNNNNNNNNNNNNNNNNNNUUAUCGUAUUAUUUAUUAUUUGAAGUUUGAAUAAUUGAACUUCAAACUUUGAACAAUUGACGUUUCUUCGUGGUAACAUUGGAGUUGCGAAAUCAACAAAUGUUCAAUUUAUUGCCGAAUUCGGUGCACUCCCUCCAACUCUUUCUCUUAUUUACUAUUUUAUUUGUAUAUUUAAUUUUUGCUAGUAGUUAAAUUUUCACAAUAUGUUUAAUGCUGCAAAAAGAGUUUGUAAUAAGGUUGCUAAUCGGGAUAAUCGGAAAAAUAGAAAAAGAGGUACUACUUCAACAUCUGGUAGUAAUUUAAAUGACUUUACACAUGUUUCUGAAAUAUUAUCUGAUAAUAAUAUAGAUUAUGAACAAUUACGGGAAAAUUUCGGUAUAGAAGAUAAUGAAUUAGAAAUUAAAGAUGAGACACCAUUUACACCUAGUAGUAUUGAAGUUGGUAGUAGGGGUGGUGGUUCUGGUGCUAGUAGUAGACCACAUGUGGCCCCGACUACUAAUCGGAGAAAAAGAAGUAAGGUCUGGAAAUGUUUUGACGAAAUAGAGAAUACUGAUAGAGUUAGAUGCAGACUUUGUAAAGAUGAUUUUAAACAUAAGACUGGAGGACAAUUAGGGGGGACUGGGACAUUUAGUAGACAUAUGAGAAUUACUCAUCCUAUAGAAUGGGGCUCUGAUUAAGAUGAAAAUCAAGGAACUCUAAACCCUCGUACUGGAGGAUUUAUGAAAUAUGAUAAAAUGAAGGAUCGUGAGGAGUUAGCAAAAUGACUGCUUUGGGUUGUCUAUCUUUUUCUUUUGCUUCUUCAUCAUAUCUUAUUAUGUAUAUUCAAAGAAUUUAUAAUCAUUUAUUUAAAGGUAUCCCUAAAAGUACUUGUAGAUCUGAUAUUUUUAGACUUCAUGGACAAUAUCAAACAUACGUACGUUAUUUGUUUGACCACCUUCCUUGUAGAGUUUAUCUAACUUCUGAUAUUGGCCAUACUGUUAAUGGAAAUGAUUAUUUGACAAUUACAUAUCAUUGGAUAGAUAAUAAUUAUUAUAUGCAAAAACGUAUUAUCGCUUUUAAAUAUGAUGAAGAUCAAAGUCAUACUGCUAUGUUUAUAAGUACUACUAUUUGUGAAGUUGUUGAAUUUUAUAAUCUUAAGAAAAAAGUAUUGUGUAUGUCUUUUGAUAAUACUUCUAAUAAUAAUGCCUAAAUUUCAAUAUUAAGACUGCAUUUGCAACCACCACUUGACGAAAAUUUUCAUGUUAGGUUUGCAUAUCAUGUUUAUAAUUUAAUUGUUAAAAGUGGCCUUAAUUUAUUUUCAACUGAGAUUACUCAUGUUAGAAGAGUAAUUGGUGUUAUUCAAGGAAAUAAUAGAUAAUCUAGAAUUAGGGAAUUUAAGAAUAAGUGUACCGAGCAUAACCUUAACCCCAGAUUCAUGCCAGACGAAAUUGUUAAUAGAUGGAAUUAUACAUACCUAUUUUUACAAUGUUGCUACUAAUAUAGAUUGUCAAUAACUGAAGUUGCUAAUGCGCAUUGUACUGAUCUAAAUUGUAUGUUAACAACUACUACUUGGGAGGCCAUUAAUGAUGUUGUUAAAUUUUUACAUAUAUUUUAUACAGCUAAUGUUGAGUUUUCUGGAGCAUAUUACCCUACUGUUACUAUGGCUUUAGUACAUAUAGCUGAAAUUUCUUUUCCACUCUCUGAAUUUAAGAAGAAAGAAAUAUAAGGAUGUUUUUGAAAAAAUACAAGCAAAAUUCAAAAAAUAUUUCUUUCCAAUUCCUCUGAUUUACUUAAUUGGUGCUGUUUUAAAUCCUUAUAUUAAGAUGUCUGAUUGUCACCAAUUAAUCAAUGCUUUAUAUACUUAUAUGGAGAUUGGACCAACUGAAACCUCAGAUAUAUAUUGUUGUAUGAACAAGCUAAAUGAUUAUUUAUAACAAUUAUAUAAUUAUUAUGCAAAUAUAGUUGAUGAUGCUACUCUUAAUGCAGGCAAUGUUAAUCCCACUAUGCAUUGUACCACUUCUACUACUAUGGAUGAUGAUGAAGGUCUUGAUGGUUUUAAUAUUUGGUCUACAUUUCCUACCACUUAAACCAGUAGCAGGAAUAUUGAUGAACCUCAAUUCUACUUGCAAAAGCAAAAAGAGCCUCGCACAAAGGAAAUUUCACCAUUGGGAUAGUGGCAUGAGAAUGAAAAGCAAUUUCCUGUUCUUUCCGCUAUGGCUUGGGACGUGCUGAAUGUGCCAAUUUCAACUGUUGCAUCAGAGAGUGCAUUUAGUCAAGCAAGACAACAACUUGGAGACACUCAUCACUCAUUGGGAAGCAAUACUUUGAAAGUUUUAGUAUGUUUCAGAGAUAGGAUUAGAUCGAAACGAAGAAAUCAGGGACGUGAAGAUGUUGAUAGACCAGAAGACGAGGUACUUGGAGAUAUAUUAACACAUGGUAACCCAUCUGAAUUUAACACUCCAGAAGAUGGCCAAGAAGUUCAUAUUGAUUACGAAGAACUUACUAAGGCAAUGCAAAACCUUUGAAUUUACUCUUUUUUCGUUAAUUUACUUUUUGUUAAAUGUAAACUUUAAUUUGUAAGUUUGAAAUAAAAAAAGCACUUGCAAAUUAUAAGUGCAAUUUUUUUUCCAUCUUCAUUAUAUUCUAUUAUCUUAAAUUCUUAAUGAAAUAUUCAAAAUUUCAAAUAUAAAGAUUUUAAAGUCUUUGUAUCCUUUUAUUCAAAUACACUUUUUAUAAGAUUGUUUUUUUAUUUUAUAUUUUUCCUUUAUAUUAAUAUAAAUUACGAUAGUUAUACAAAAUACAAAAAAAAAUAUUAACCCGGUCCGGCCCCUUGGACCCGUAACCGUUCCAGUUUAUUUUUUUACCCGGAUGGACCCGGACCCGUUAAGACCGGUAUGAAAAAACUGAUAAUCGGCCUGGAUUGGAAACCGACCGGUCACCUUUUUUCUCAAUCCGGACCAGCCCAGCCCACCCGUUAAACACCUUUACCUUGCACACAUUUGUGCAAGGUUUUGGAUUGAUGGGGUUGAUGGGGAUGAGAGAAAAGAGAGAGAAUGGGGAAAGAAGGGCGGCCAGUUGGGUGAUAGAAUAUGAUUAGGGUUAUGGGUUCUUUUGGGUUUAAAGGGGGGGACGAGAUUUGAGCUGUUGGAUCUUUUGAUCAAUGGCUCCAAUAUUUCAGAGAUAGAAAUUAGUAAAAGGGUUUAUUAUAGAAAAAUGAUGGUCGUUGGAUCUUUAUGAUCCAACGGUUGAGAUGAGAUCUGGUGAAGGACUGGAAAUAAAAGAAAAAUAGGGAUUAAUUAUAGACUAUUGAUGAAUUAGAUCAACAGUCUGGAUUAUUUUGUGCUUAUUGUGUGAGUGUAGAAGAGGGGUAAUGUGGCGCUUUGUUAUUGGCUCAUACGGUGUGGCAUGGAUUGCCAACUUGGAUGGAUAGGGUGGGUUCUGGACCGGGUCAUGGUGUAUUGGGCUUGUAUUUUGGGCCAAAUCAGCAGAAAUAGAAUUUAAUCCAUGGCCACAUUUGGUCUAAUUAGACAACUGCAAUUACGGCCUUUUUUAGUUUUUAACCCCUUUAUAAUUAAAUUAUUUAGACUUUAUUAAUCUUAAUUAAAUAUGAUAAAAUAUAAUCAUCAAAUAUAUUAUAUAUUACUGUAAUUAAUUAGUUAUUGAAAUGAAUUAUAAUACUUCAUUUAUUGAAUUAUUAUUACUGUAAUUAAUUAGUUAUUGAAAUUAAUUAUAAUACUUCAUUUAUUAAAUUAUAAAAGCUAAUUUUGGCUAAUUAAAGUAAUAAAGGUAAUAUAGUUAUAAAUUUGAGACUAAACUAUUAAAUUAGUUGUAAAAAUUAUUUAUUAAGAUAUAAAAGCUAUUUUAAUUAGUCAAAAGAGUAGGAAUAAUAUAAUUUAUAUCCUUUUAAAUAAAGGCUAAAAAGGCACUCAUCACUCAUCUAGGCCCCUUUCCUAUUUCGCUUUGCCGCUUAUUAAGAGAAUAGGUCCCGAAAAAGCAGCCCGCCUUUCAUCAUCUGUACCAGCUGCCACGCAAGAACUAAUAGAAAGGAUUUUGACACCCCUCUCAUCAUAAGAAGCAGAACGCGCCAUCACCUACAGUCCUUUCCUCUGCUGGGGACUUCCACGAAAUGAAAACGGGCGGCACUGUGGGAUUUCCUGCGAGAUCUGUUAAACCACCGAGACUAAAUGGAAUCCGUUUGUAAGGAUUUUAUAUUGAAAAGGCGACCAUUUCACUGGCUCUAGUAUUCACAGGCUUUCAAGGAAUGGAAUAUUAUCAAGCACCCUUCAGUAUUUCGGAUAGUAUUUAUGGUUUUACCUUUUUAUUAGCAACUGGCCUUCAUGGUUUUCAUGUGAUUAUAGUAACUAUUUUCUCAAUCAUAUGUGGUAUUCACCAAAAAUGAAUCUACUAAUGCAGGUUACAGAUUCGGUCAAGAGGAAGAAACUUAUAACAUGGUAGCCCUUCACUUGGCUAACACGGAAAAAAGCACCAACUAGGCGCGACCCCACUCAGCUCGAAGAAGUAGCUCUUUUAUUUAAUACUAAAUUACUAUUAAUAUAAUAUUACAAAUUACUAUAUCAUUUAUAUUUUAAGAAAAUAGGUGUUGUUGAUUUUAAAAUAUUUUACUACAUUUAUUGAUGAUUAAUAAGUGUACAACAACAUACCUAGUAUAGUCCCACAAGUGGGGUCUAGGGAGGAUAGUGUGUACGCAUACCUUACACCUACAUGGAGAGGUAGAGAGGUUGUUUAAGAAGAAGAAGAAGAAAGAAGAGGGAGACAAAAGAUGAUAAGGAAAAAGGGGAGACAAAGAGAAGCCAAAAAAGAAAAAGUAGCAUCAAAUAAUAACAAUCAAGGAAAUACGAUACACGAAUAGAACGAAGUAAUAUGUGUAAAUAAUUUAAUUUUUAAAGGGAUGGUUAAAAUUAGUGGUCAAUAUGACUAUCAGUCUAUAUGCUAUAAUUGACUCACACAAGUCCAAUGAGUCUGAUCCUCCUGUACAGCUAGGGAUGCACAUUGGAGGAUCCCUUCCCUUUGAUGGACAUCACUUUGAUGAAUGGAAGAUGUGUAUGGAGUUGUUUCUUUAGGCAACUGAUUAUGACCUGUGGAUAAUUGUCAAUAAUGGUCCAAUCAUACCUACAAAAGUGGAUAGCAAUGAAAACAAGAGCAUCAAAAGAGAGAAUAUAAUGUUGAGGAUCGCCAUAUCAUCCAAAAAAAUGUUAAAGCAAAGGACCUCCUUUAUAAGAGUCUGCCAAGGAAUAUUCUCUAUAAGGUGUCCUCCUUCAUCUCUGCCAAUGACAUUUGGAGGACCCUGGAAGCUGAUUACGAAAAUGAAAGCAUUGAGUUAGCACUGAUGGAAAUUGAAGAAAGCAAGUCAUAAGAGGAAGUGAUAGAGAUGAUGGCCAUGAGUGAUUCAGAGGUUGAAGACGAACCAAAUCAGGUAAGUGUCUCUAAUCUAAAAGAAAACAUUCAUGUUAGUCUAAAAACAACUAAUGGCCAUAAUAGAAACCAUGAUGAGUGAAAUGGAUAGGUUAAGUGCUGGAAAUGAUCAGUUCGUAAGCAAUCUUUCAUGUGUCAAACUUGAUUUCAAAAUCUUGAAUCACACAAAACUAAUCUUGAAAGACAUAUUAAGGAACUUAAGGACCAAGUCCUUGAGCUCACUGCAGUCAAUGGGCAACAAGUUUCUGCAAAUGGAAAGGGAAUAAUAAGUGAUGUGCAAAACAAUCUUGAAAAAGAACUGAAAGAGCUUAAGGAUAGUCUAUAUGAUGCUGAUAGCAGGAAUAAAACACUACAAGAAGCACUUGAAAAGGCAAAGUAUGAACUAUCUAGAUUAAGCAAGUGGCAUAGAUCUUCUGAUGCCUUGAAUUGGCUGAAUGAGAAUUGCAGUACAAAUAAAUAAGAAAUUGUCUAUAGGAAACUAGUACCUAGAUUUGAUCCCAAGUAUGUAGGAAUUUCUAAUUAUAAGAUGCGCACUCACUGUGGAAAGGUGGGACAUUUCAGAGACAGUUGUCCUGCUUUAAUUCAUGCUUAGUUCAAAAACUCUUUUGGCCUACCUGAUAAGUGUGGAUUUUAACAACUUAUUAGUUCCUUCUUGCUUUAGUUUUAGUCUGAAAGUGUUGAUUUUUAUUUUCAAAACUAAUAACAUUGUGCAAAUUACAGUCAUGUUAGAGGAUUGGACCUUAACUAAAAUAUCUAACUCAAAAAGGAGUAAUCCAGCUCAAAAAGGCAAGAAAGAGCAAAGCAAGCCAAAAUGUGAUCCGUAGAAGUAAUUCUACGAUACCAUACAAAAGUGCGGUCCGCAAAAAUGCAUGUGCGGCCACAGAAUAGACACCUGAAGCUUUAGAGGAUUUUGAAGAAGCACGGUCCGCACACUAAAUUGUGAGGUCGCAAACGUUGGUCACACUAAUAAUAUUUUAGAAGUUCAGAGAAGGUGCAAAACGACCGAUUGUGAAGCUUUGCCAAAGUGUAGCAGCAGAUGGAAAAGUGCGGUCACAGAAGCUGAAGUGCAGCCGUAGAUGGAAUUGUACGGCUGCAGAAUUCCUCCAACUGAAGAAGAGAAGAAAAAUGCGGACUGCCCAUGGAAUUGUGCGGCCGUAGAACCUCAAGAAGGGCAUUUUUGUCAGCAAAUUUUAGGGCACUAUAAAUAGACGGGAAACACUUUUUUAGGGCAAGUUUCGAAUUGUAAUCAGCUGUAGCAGUUAUAUUUUGUUAUUUUGGGAAAGUUAUGACUAUUUUUUGGUGAACAAUCAUUAGUUUUAUAUUUUAAUCUUAGUUUAGGGCUUUAAUUACUUCUUUUUCAUUGUUUUCUUCACUUCCUAGCACGAGUAGCUAGAUUUUCUAUAGGGUUGUGAACAAUCCUAGUGUGUAAACCGUACAGGUUAUUUAGCCUUAUUUAUGUAUUAUUUCAAGAAUUAAUGGUUUCAAAUAUUGAUUCAUGCCUAUUUGGCUUAGUUCUUGCUUGAGAAAGAGGGACCUAGUCUAGGAAAACUUGGCUAACAAGGAAUUGGGCUAGUUAAGGUUUUGGCUAGUCUAAUCAAAGGGUUUGAACUAGAGAUAGAAAAAACCCAACUUGAGCUCAUAUAAAUUGUUUGAAUUGAUACUCAAUUGGACUUGAGGAAGCCAAUUUGGGCAUAACCACUCUAUAACCGAGAGGUAUUGAGUGUAUAAUUGAGAAUUUAGAGUUCUAAUUUACCCCGAUCAACAAAACAAGCAUUAACGUGAUUUACCCAUUAGGUUAGCACCUAGGCGAAGGUUACAUCCCUAGGCUUUUCUCAUUUGAUUAAAAAUAUCAAAAAUAAUUACUCACUUUCUAGUUUUGUCUAAUUAAUUUAAAUUUGUUAGUGUUAAUUUUGGAAUUAAAAAACAGACACCCUUUGUUGGAAGCGUAAUUGAGUUGUUCCAUGUACUCUUAUCAAGUAUCUACCCUUGCACCCUACACAAACUCCCUGUGAAAUUCGACCCCGACUCUUGUUGGGUACUAUAAUAUCAACGACCGUUUCACUCAUUAUUGAGUGAGGAUUAGACCUGGAUCAAUUUGGAACCGUUGUCGGGGAGUUUUUGCGGUGUUAGCUAUAUAUUUGAGUGUGUUCUUGAAAUAUCUUCUUUCCCUUCCGUGUUACUAAUUUGUUGAAGAAAUCGUAGGUACAAAAUGGCGAACAAUGAGCUCGAAAAUAUGCCAUUGGUUGAGUUGUAUGGUGAGGAGGAACAACUAGAUGAUGGGUCUCAAGUGCCAUAACCCAAUCGUCGAGGCCGGGGUCAAAACGACAACGUUCCCCCACCACCACCACCUCCACCACCACAACCACAAGCGGCACAACACCGGAUAUUGCCCAACGAAGGUUAUGCAUGUGUAAUAGUCCCCCCUCGCAUUAGGUCAAGAAACUUUUAAAUUACCAAUGUGAUACUCACUUUACUAGAGCAACAUGGCUUUUUCACCGGUGCGCCAAAUCAAAAUGCCUAUAAAUAUUUGAAGGGCUUUGUGGAUAUGUGUUGGAGGAGUAAGAAAAGAAAAUGUUUCCGAGGAUUCUUUGAGGCUAAGGAUUUUUCCCUUCUCUCUAGGGGUAAAGCUUUAGAUUGGUUGGAACGCUUGCCUAAACAUUAUUUCCUUACUUGGGAUGAAUUGCCGGCAAAGUGCAUUGCUAAGGCUUUCUCUCCCGGGCACAUGGCUACUCUUAGGGAUGAAACAUUGGCUUUUAAGCAAGAGACCAAUGAACCUUUGCAUGAGAUUUGGGAGAGGUAUCGGACAAUGGUGAAGGAGUGCAUGAAUAAUUAUAUGACCGACAACAUGAUCUAACAAACUUUCUACCGUAGUAUUAAUACUACGAACCAAUGUGUGGUCAAUCAAUUGUUCGGUGGCAACUUUAUGACAACACCGUAUGCGGAGGCAUGUGAGAUUCUUGAUGAGAUGGCGAAAAUGCCAACGACUUGGGAAUCACGAGCCAAUGUUCCACAAGAUGAUUCUAACAUGAUUCACCUCCAUAAAGAGUUGCAAGACCAUGGGUAAGCCAUUGCCAAAUUGACAAUAACAAUGACUCAAAUUGCAAAGGCCCAACUUAAUAGAGUUCAAGCUCCUAAGAAAGUUCAUGCUAUGGAAGGGGUGAAUGUGUUGGUCAAUAAGAAGAGGACCAAGGGUCCACAAGUGCAAACCCGAGUGGAGAGUUAUGUGUAAGAUGAAGGUGUUUUUGCUCAAAAUAAUUCUUAUCAUGGGCAAGAAGAAGAGGUUCAAUAUGUGAACAAUUGCCAAGGGAAAAGGAACAACUUUCAAGGCUCCAAUCAACAACAAUGACGACCACAAAACAACCAAGGCAAUUGGGGUUCUAACAAUCAAGGAAAUUGGAGUGGAAACAACCAAGGAAAUUGGGGAGGCAACAACAAGGUGAUUAAGGAAAUAAUCAAGGAAAUCGGGUGUCGGGUUUUCAAAGGCCCCCAAUGUAUCAACAACCUAGCAAUCCACCUCAUAAUCCUUCCCAUGGUUCAAGUUAUUCAAAUAAUGAGAUGGGCUAUAUUGAGAAUAUGUUUAAGCAAAUGAUGGAAAAGAAUGCAGAUUCGGAUGCCCAACUUGCCUCACACAACAUAUCAAUACGUAAUCUUGAAGUUUAAAUAGGGCAAAUAUCUACAGAUCUUAAUACCCAUCCUAAGGGUGCACCACCAAGUGAUACGGUGGUGAACCCAAAGGAUAGUAACCAUACGGGGCAUUUUAUGGCAGUUAUCACAAGAAGUGGAAGAGGCAGGAAUACACCCACCUCAACUGAAAGGCGACUUGUGGAUGAUGACCAAGUGAUACAAGAAGAGGAAAUAUCAAAAAAUGAUGUUCAAGCAAAUGAUGAGAUUCAGAUUGACAUUGAUGUUAGUGUAGAAGAGACUUAAGAGGGGGUGAACCCGUCUAGGGAGCAUAUCAUUAACAUACUGGAGUCGGUAGUGAAAAAGGCUAUGGCACCAUUGCCUAAAUCUCAACCUCCCUAUCCUCAAAGACUUGCCAAUAAAAAUGGUAAGAAUCAAUUCAAGAGUUCAUUCAAAUGAUGAAAAGUCUCUCUAUUAAUGUCCAUUUGUAGAAGCUUUGGAAUAAAUGUCCGAUUAUGCAAAAUUUAUGAAAAACCUUAUGACCAAGAAGAGGUCAAUGAAUUUUGAAACUAUCAAGGUCACUCAUCAAGGAGUGUAAUUGUUCAUUCCAUGGUUCCUAAGUUGGAGGAUCCAGUGCUUUCACGUUUUCUUGUACAAUUGGGAGUGCCAAUUUUGCUAAAGGUCUUUUGUGAUCUUGGGGCGAGUAUCAAUUUGAUGCCCUAUUCGGUGUUUAAAACUUUGGGAAUUGGAAAACCAAAACCCACAUCUAUGAGGUUGCAAAUGGUCGAUCAUACCAUGAAUAGGCCAUUAGGAGUGAUUCAAGAUGUUUUGGUCUGGGUUGAUAAAUUCAUUCUUCCGGCGGACUUUGUUAUUCUAGAUUGUGUAGUUGGUUAUAAAGUGCCUAUCAUUAUUCGGAGCCAUUUCCUUACUACGGGUAAGGCUCUUUGUGAUGCGCAAUCCGGAGAACUCGCUUUUCGGGUUGGUGGUGAAAAAGUGGUAUUCCAUGUGUAUAAGUCUAUGCGGCAACCAAAUAGCAAUGAUAUGUGUUCUUUUGUGGAGUUGGUGACCGAUGUUAUUAUUGAUGAUAUAAGUGGUACAAUCAAUGUUGGUGAUAUGUUGGAAGCCGUUUUGCUCAACUUUGAUGAUGGCGAGAUGGAUGUUUUCAUGGAGUGUGUGAAUGCUUUGCAAGGAAUGGGGUCGCACAACUAUGUACCCCAAAAAUUAUCUUUGGAUCUUGAGAAUAUGAAGACUCCUCGUACAAAGCUUUCUAUUGAAAAGCCACCUACUUUGGAGUUGAAGCCAUUUUUUCCAUACCUUCGGUAUGAAUUUUUUGGCCCUUGUUCUACUUUACCGCUUAUCCUUUCCUCUUGUUUGACUAACAUGCAGGUUGAUUCCAUAUUGGCAGUGUUGAAAAAAUAGGAAUAAGGCUAUUGGAUGGACUUUAGCGGAUAUUUGGGGUAUAAGCCCCACAUUUUGCAUGCAUAAGAUCAAGUUGGAGGAUGGUUCUAAACCGUCCAUUGAACAUCAAAGAAGACUCAAUGAGGCUGUGCAAGAAGUGGUCAAGAAGGAGAUUAUCAGGUGGUUGGAUGCCAGGGUUGUCUACCUCAUCUCCGAUAGCUCAUGGACCACUCCGGUUAAAUGUGUCCUAAAGAAGAGGGGCAUGAUGCUUGUUACCAAUGAUAAGAAUGAGUUGAUUCCCAUAAUAACGGUGACCGGUUGGAGAGUUUGUAUAGAUUAACGUAAGAUCAACAAAGUAACAAGAAAGGAUCACUUUCCACUUCCUUUCAUGGAUCAAAUGCUCGAUAAGUUGGCCAGCCUUGUUUUCUAUUAUUUUCUUGAUGGGUACUCGGGCUACAACCAUAUUCUUAUUGCUCUAGAAGAUUAAGAGAAAACAACCUUUAUAUGUCCUUAUGGUACUUUUGCUUUCAAGAGGAUGCCUUUUGGUUUAUGCAAUGCACUGUUGACUUUUUAAUGAUGUAUGAUGGCUAUUUUCACGGAUAUGGUGGAGGACUACCUUGAAGUUUUCAUGGAUGACUUCUCGGUGGUUGGGGAUUCUUUUGAUGAUUGUUUUGCAAAUUUGGACUAAGUGUUGGCUAGAUGUGAAGAGACUAAUUUGGUGCUCAAUUGAGAGAAAUUUUAUUUCAUGGUUGAGGAAGGCAUUGUACUUGGCCAUAAAAUCUCAAAGAAUGGAAUUGAAGUUGAGAAGUCAAAGAUUGAGGUAAUUCUUAAGCUUCCACCCCCAACUUCGGUGAAGGGUGUGCGGAGUUUCUUAGGCCAUGCAGAUUUCUACCGACGCUUUAUCAAAGAUUUAUCUAAAGUGGUGAACCCUUUAUGUAAGCUCCUUGAGAAAGAUGUCAGGUUUCAUUUCAAUGAUGAUUGUUUGCGAGCUUUUGAACAAUUGAAGCUCAAGUUGACAACUACUCCUAUCAUUACCGCUCUAAAUUGGAGCUUGCCUUUUGAACUUAUGUGUGAUGCAAGUGACGUAGGGGUUGCUGCUGUUUUGGGAAAACAUAUCAACAAAGUUUUUCAUCCGGUUUACUAUUCUAGUAAGACCAUUAAUAGUGUUCAAGUAAAUUACAUUGUUACGGAGAAAGAACUCCUUGCUAUUGUGUUUGCAAUUGAGAAGUUCCGCUCGUACUUGAUUGGUGCCAAAGUCAUUGUCCACACGGAUCAUGCGGUGCUUCGCUAUCUCAUGAGCAAAAAGGAAUCCAAAGCUCGGUUGAUGAGAUGAGUACUCUUGUUGCAAGAUUUUGAUAUUGACAUUCAAGGCAAGAAAGGUAGUGAAAACCAAGUGGCGGACCACUUCUCGUUUGGAGGAGGAGGGGAGGCCACAUGAUGGCCUUGAAAUCAAUGACUCUUUCCCGAUGAGCAACUUUUUUCACUAUCAAUGAAAGAGGUACCGUGGUUUGCGGAUUUGGCAAAUUGUUUUGUGAGUGGUAUCAUUCCGGAUGAGUUCUCUUCAAACCAAAGGAAGAAGCUCAAAAGAGAUUGUUAAGAUUAUUAUUGGGAUGAGCCAUACCUUUUCCGAAUUUGUACUGAUGGGGUGAUUAGAAGGUAUGUAUCGGAAGAAGAGCAAGGUGAUAUUCUUGGCGCUUGUAAUUUUUCGCCAUAUGGUGGUCAUCAUGAUGGAGCAAGAACGGCGGAAAAAGUUGUAAGUUGUGGAUUUUAUUGGCCUACUCUUUACUAAGAUGCAAGUGACUUGGUAAAAAGAUAUGAUGAAUGUCGGGCCGGUGGAAUUUCAAAGAAAAAUGAGAUGUCUCUCACAACCAUCUUGGAGAUUGAUAUUUGUGAUGUUUGGGACAUUGACUUUAUGGGCCCUUUUGUGAGUUCUUGUGGAAAAACUUACAUCUUUGUCAUGGUGGAUUAUUUGUCAAAAUGGGUUGAGGUCAUCACCUUACCCAACAAUGAGGUGAGAAGUGUAGUGGCUUUCUUGAUGAAGAAUAUUUUUACCAGAUUUAGUACUGCAUGUGUAGUCAUAAGCGAUGGGGGUCACACUUUUAUAACAAGGUUUUUGACACAUUACUUAGCAAGUAUGGUGUUACUCACAAGGUUACAACUCCCUAUCAUCCACAAGCUAGUGGACAAGUGGAAGUCUCCAACUGGGAGAUAAAGAGUAUCUUGUCUAAAAUGGUGAAUGCAAAUCGGACAGAUUGGUCCAAGAAUCUUGAUGAUGCGUUAUGGGCUUAUAGGACGUCUUACAAAAUACUAUCGGAAUGUCUCCAUACAGGUUAGUGUUCGGGAAAGCCUAUCAUCUUCUGGUGGAAUUAGAGCACAAGGCAAUGUGGGCCUUGAAGAAAUUGAAUCUUGAUUGGGAUGUAGCCACUAACUUGCGGGUUGCACACUUGAAUGAAUUAGAUGGGUUCCGAUAUCAUGUGUAUGAGAUUUUCAUCCUUGUACAAAGAAAAGAUGAAAUAUCUUCAUGACAAGUACAUUUGGAACAAAGAAUUCAAAGCUGGCGAUUUUGUAUAGUUGUUUAACUCAAGGUUAAGGAUGUUUCCCGGGAAGCUCAUGUCCAAGUGGAGUAAUCCGUUUGAAAUUGUUGGUGUGACACCCUUAGGUGCACUGGAUUUGAAUAACAAGAACAAUAAAAUAUUCUAAGUCAAUGGUCACCCGGUGAAACACUACUUGGGAAAAGUUGGAGAGAGCCACGUGGUGGCGAUUAUUUACUUCACUUGAGGAUGCUUUGAGAUUGUGUCAUGCUGCGACGUUAAAUCAGGCGCUUCUUGGGAGGCAACCCAAGUUCUUUUCCUUUUUUUGUUUGACUAAUUAGAUGUUCUUUAUAGUUUUUAACUUGAUUUGAAGCGUGCUGCAGGGUUGAGUGUUAGAUGAAAGAAGGGUGGACAAAAUUGUGUAAGUAGAGCAGAAAAUACGGAUCGCACUUUUAAAUUAUGCGGCCGCAAAAAAGAUUGUGCCAUCACUGAAUACUUUGUGUGGCCGUACAUUUGAUCUGCGGAUCGCACUUCAUGAAGCUAACCAAGGUGUCAAAUGAUAUGGUCUCUGAACCUUUUCCCUAUCAGUGCGGGCCAAUUGUGUGGACCACACAUGAGAAGCAGACAUCUGAAGGCCAGGUGAAGGAGUGCGGACCGCACUUGGAAUUGUGCAGCCGCAAUCGACCCUUUUCUCUCUCAAUUACUCUAGGUAUAAAUAGAAGUUUAGGCCUCAUUUUACACUUUUCACUCCCUUGAAAAAUUACUGUUACUCUGAGAGCUUACGUGAGGAUCUCAUGCUAUCAAACACACCCAUUUUCACUCACAAGAUCUUGCACACUUACAUCAUGUGCUAAGCUUCAUUUCAUGUUGAUUUAUUUUAUUUUGAUUUUUGAAUUUAUUUUCAUCUUUUUAGCUUCUUUUUAGGCCAUCUAUAAUUAUAUUCCAUCCGUGUAUCCAUGUGGGGUAGAUUUGUAAUGGGUAACUGUUAAACCAUGCUAGAAUGGUUGGGGUUAGUUGAAUAUUAUGUGUAUACCAUGUUGCCAAUUAGAUUUGAACAAGUAUUUGCAAAAUCUAUGUCACGCUGCAAACCUGAAGAGGCGUGGCCGGCACCCGGUGCCAUACUCGGCCCGAGCGCACCACUCUGUAACUGUGAACUCUGGAGGAGUAACCCUCAACUUAGGCCGGUGAGGCCAUAUUUUGAAUCAUCUAAAAAUAACAUCUUCCGCAUCUGAUUGGUAAACAUACCCAAAAGCUGAUAUAUAUAAUUGUGCAGGCCGACGAGGCUGCCAUGAAUGUCUCCAACCAGCAAUACCAAACUGAACAUAUACACAGUGCUGGAAAGGCAACAAUACUAAUAUACAAAAUACAUAGGACUCGUCUACAAGCCUCUAGAGAUAAUUGAACUGUAUCAUGGUCGGGACAGGGCCUCGACCUACCCAUCAAACCUGUAUAUAUAAAAUGGACUCCAAGGUCUAGACCUGGUAACCCCGGGGAAGUAGAGCUUACCAACCAAGCUGAUGUUUGACUCUGUCUACUGGGAAGGUCUAUCCAUCUAUCUAUCAGGACCUGCAUGCUUGAAAUGCAGCGUCCCCGGCAAAAAGAUGUCAGUACGAAAUAAUGUACCGAGUAUGUAAGGCAAUAGAAUAAAUGAAAGCUGAAACUGAACUGACAAUAUAAUAACUGGGAAUCAAAGAUAAUCUGAAGGUAUGCUUAACUGCUGAUACUAACUCAACUCUCUCGAUAUAGUAAAUAAAAUAUUUGACCGGCCUUAUAAGGCUCGGUAUGCGUAACUGCUCUGCCAACGUAGGCUCGCUCAUAGGCACUCGCCCAUACUAGGCUCUGUAUCUCGUCCAUUCUAGGCUUACUCAUAGGCACUCGGCCACAGUAGGCUCAAUGUAUAACUUACCAUCUAAUCAGAGAUUGCCCAGUAGGGGCAUGCCCAUUGAUUAUAGCUCGAUGGUGGUAAAAAUACUAUAAUAUUGCCCAAUAGGGGCCUAGCCCACCGAUUAUAGCUCGAUGGUGGUGAAAAUAUUANNNNNNNNNNNNNNNNNNNNNNNNNNNNNNNNNNNNNNNNNNNNNNNNNNNNNNNNNNNNNNNNNNNNNNNNNNNNNNNNNNNNNNNNNNNNNNNNNNNNNNNNNNNNNNNNNNNNNNNNNNNNNNNNNNNNNNNNNNNNNNNNNNNNNNNNNNNNNNNNNNNNNNNNNNNNNNNNNNNNNNNNNNNNNNNNNNNNNNNNNNNNNNNNNNNNNNNNNNNNNNNNNNNNNNNNNNNNNNNNNNNNNNNNNNNNCUGAAUAUAAAGUCCCGAUAAGGGAGAAUAUGAUAACCUAUGCGACUAGGAUAAUGUACAUAAGUUCAGGAAUACGAACUUCUCUUUAUGUCUCGUUUUUAAACAUAUGUAGUUAUAGGAUCAUGCCAAAAUGAAGGAAAGGUUUAUCCUUAACAUACCUUAACUCCGUUGAGUCCUUAAUACCUUCCAAGAAAUUCUUCAAACAACUCAACUCAAUCUAUCAUAGCAUAAGGAGAUUCAAAAUCAGUGCUGAGUAAAGGCUAUGUCCGCAAGUUAAACUAGUAGCUCAUUUAUGUAAAUUUGGGAAGCAUAUCCCAUGUAGCAAGGGCCUCCUUCAAUACCAUAUAUCAAUAACAACAACCAGAGCAAUUCAAUAAGAACAACAUCAACAAUAGGGUACAAAAUAUUUCAUUAACAAGUCAUCAACAUAUCACAACGAGCGGCAAGCUCGGAUUGAAUCCUUUUACCACCCUUCAACUCCAUUAUCAUUCAUUUUUUAACUUAGUAAUAUAUCAAGUAUAAUAACCAAUACCUUUUAAAUGAUUUCCAACCUUGUACUCAAUUUUAAAGUUACCCAAAAUAGCCUAACACAAGAUAAUAUCACUGUCGACAACUUCCAAUUGCUUUAUAGCCAUUUCCUUUUCUAGUUACCAAUUUUCUCAACAAGAUUGACAUGUAAACCAUCAUAAUCAUACUAACAAUAUCAUAGCCAACUUAUUUUCCAUAAUUUCUAGCCACUUAAAGUUCAUAAGAGCAUCUUUCAAAUCAAUCCAUAAAGAACAACAACAUCUCAAGCUAAUCCAAGUAUUAUUUUAUAAUUUAUUAUCCUAACAACUUAAUCAACAUACAAGCAAGAUUAAGAAAAAUUAUUUGGCUAUUAUACUCACCUUAGAUAGUAGCAACAACUUGAAAUUUCAGCCAAACACAGUCCACAAUUAUCCUCAAUGACAACACAACCUCAAAGAGGUAAUGUUCUUCACUAGAACUAACCUUUGAUGUUGAAAUAUGGUGUAAUCACUUUAGAAUCACUUCAAACCCUUAUGGUAUAUGUUUAGGAGGGUUAGGAGGAGUAUAGGGACGAGGUUGAGUCGAAAAAUGAGAAAUAAAACUCGUCCAAAUCGUUUUUAAAGUGAAGUAGGUCGAUCACCGCCUAAGUGGGUCCCAUUAGGAGCUGCUUGCGCUGUCUCGCAAAAAUGUAAAUAUCUCUAUACUUAGAUGUUGUAUUGAUUAAUGGUUUAAUGUGUUAGAAACUAGACUUGUAGAUAUUCAAUUUGAUAGGUAUAUCAUCCCAUAAUUCAAAGUACAUUGGGAGAAAUGCUCAGCUACAUUUAACCUAAUAUUCAUCACAUUUAUGAAUGUAACUUGUGAUGACCUUUGCAAACUUUUGUUCCACAACUCGCUUGACUUCAAAACAUAAUACACGACUAUGAUACGACUAAAAUAAAUAAUAGCAUAAUCUCCUUAUCAUGUUAAUCACCAUAAUCUCACCCCAAAAGUACAUGUUAUAACAUUCCCAACUUGUCGACUUUUGACGAAACUUAUAUUGUUCAAUACGUUUAGCUUCUAAGCCUUCCAACCCUCUUGGUACUUGUAGUUCAUGAUCUUAAAUAUUUGUAACCUCCAAGUUAAAAUGAUUAACUUACUUUAUGAACUUUCAAAGAUGAUCUCAUUCUGAUCUUACAUCAAUUAACAUACGACGUGCUCUCACAUACGAAAAUAUGAGGUGUAACAAUCUAGGUAAAAUAAAGACCUUCUCACUUAUUUUUGAAAUCUCGGCCGCACUUAAAAUUGUGUGGUCCACAGUUUGCUAAUUGUGGUAGCUGGUAGAAGGAUAGUAUUUCUGCGGCCGCACUUUAAUUGUAUGGACCGUAGAAUUCCUAGAGAGGUCACCCUGAGGUCUGCACUGUCUAUCAGAGAGUUGUCUCCUGAGAAAGCAAAUCUACGGACCGCACUUCAAAUUAUGUGAGCCGCAGAUGAAUUCUGCGGUCGCACAAUGACCUCUGCACUGUCCAACUAAGAGUAGGCAUCUGAGGCCUCUGAACAUUUUUGUCAGAAUUGCGGCCACACUUGAAAUUGUUCGGUCUGCACUCCCAUUCUGCGGGCCGCAUAUCAAAAUAUUUGGACCGCACUUCCCCAUUUAUACAUCACGUUUAUUCCUAUGCAAGCCCGUUGUUUCUUAAUUGUUCUCCCUCGCUUACUUGAGUCAUAACGGUGUUGAAUUAUGAUUUGUAACUGACAAUUCUCUUUAUGUUGAUACAGACAAUGAUUCGAUCACGAGGGCGCGACAAAUCCUCCAAGGGAAGAGGAGAGUUUUCAAGGGGUCAGGGCAAAGAUGCACUUCCCUCAAGUGUGCAAAUGAAAAUAAGGAAGAAAGCUACAACAGGCAGAGGGGGAGGUAGAGACCUCUCCGAGUCUAGCUCUUAUGCCCCGUCUAGGAAAUCCUCCAAGGGAAAUUCAGUAUCUAUUCUGGAAAAGAACACAGCUGAGUAGUCCAGGCCACGGGGGUGAUCUGAGCCUCUAGAUAUGCCUUCCAUAUCUCACAACACUUCCUAGGGUUCGGAAAGGUUUAGCCAGGAGUCCGAGGCAGCUGUUGUAGGGUCUAAAUCUGGUUCCUGAUGAUGGGAGAGGGUGAGAAGGUACAUCCACCGGUUUAGCUCUGGCAAAGAAGAAGGAGGCUUGGGAGGAUAGAUUUGUGAGCCGUCAGGCUUUUCCUGAUUUCCGAUUGUGAUGGACGUUGUGGUCUUUGACUCAUUAGAGGCAGUCUAUUGAGAGAUCAUGAUAAGUAUAACCCUGCAGUUCACAAAGAAAAAGGGAUGGAUGUUAUUUACGGAGAAGUUAUUUAAUGUUAAGGAGCACCUUGUCCGCAAGUUUUAUGCCAACACUUCACACAUUCGCAAAGGGGAAAGGAUAACCAAAGUUCACAAUAUUAAGGUGAAAUUUGAUUAGCACAUGCUGGACGCGUACUUAAAUUUGGAGCCGAGGGAGUACUUAGAGAAGUUGGCUUUGAAAGAAGAGUCCAGGCCGUGGCUUGCAAAGAUUUUAGCAUCGGGGCCACCUCCACCAUGGAUU
This 145255-nucleotide long non-coding RNA is filed under the name Nicotiana tabacum (common tobacco). RNAcentral's name for it is "long non-coding RNA (NTAB_LNC016007)". Lineage: Eukaryota; Viridiplantae; Streptophyta; Magnoliopsida; Solanales; Solanaceae. The record is from RNAcentral.